AACUAGCUCUAAAGAAAGACAAGUGCAGCAAAUUAAAGAUGUUUAAUUAAACCUCUCUAAUCUUAAACAUAAGUAGUUGAGGUGCCGAAUAUGUUUGGAUCGAUCCAGUACCGUAAGUAACAAGGCAGCUUCUUCUAAUUAAACAUAUCGUCCCGUCUGGUUAUUUCCGUUUGCCAGAACGCAACCUCACCCAUGAUCACAUAAUUAUCCACCAACAAAACAAUCGUUGCCAAGGUCAUAAUCAAGCUAUCAUCAGACUGUCCGUGCUCUCCGCGGACGGCAGCUGCUAUAACCUCGUGAUAAAUCCAUGACAUUGCAACACCAUUUUCCAUCAAGAAACGAUGUGCGGGACCCAAAUCUGCACUACGAAAAGCACCACGAAAGAAGUUGAGCAGCAAAGGUAUGUAAAUCGAGAGAAGAAAAUAAUACGCAUUGAUGCUUAAAGAGAGCAGAACGCCGGCCCGCCUGCUUUGUGUGCAGAGAUGAGAUAAAGCUACUACGUAUUGUGCCCAGUAAAAGAUCGAAGAAGCUGAUUCGAUUCUGAUGCUGAAUCCCCAGACCAAGACUAAGGUUGGAGCAAGGGUUGCUAUGCCUGCAUAUUCAGAGCCCAAAACCUCCGCGAACAAGAUCAUCCAGCUGUUUAAGUUUGUGAUGAGCAUCAUUGUUAACAAAGAUGACAUGUCGGGAAGAAGCUCAUGAUUGUGGGUUGGCCAAAUAGGCAUUUUCCCUCUUUUUUGUAAAUUUUUUUCUCGGUAUUGUAUGUAACUUGUCUGUUUGGCUUCUGGGAAAACAAAUAUGAGAGGAGAAAGUGAUUGGAGAAAAUUAAGCUGAAUUACAUGAUGAGGGUUGAGGCAGUCCAAACCAUGUGCUUCUACUCUGUUAGUGCAUUUACCUAUCUCAUAUAACAAAUGGAAAUGGCAGAGAAUUCAAAUUAAAGCUGCACAAAAUGGGAAACUGAGGUAUAAAGUGCUGGGUGGAAGUGACAAAUUAAGGAAUUUUAAAGGUCAUAGUCAUCUCAAUUUAUAGACUUCAUUAAUGCCAAUAUCUUAUUAAUUUCUGAAGUUGAAAAUUAACAUAUCGUUGACGAUGUUGAGCUGUACAAAGCUCGUUACUCAUUCCAGUCACUUUAUUUCUCAAAUUUAUGAUCUUUCAAAAUCUUCUCAACUCCCACUGUUAUUGCUGUUUUUUCUGUUGAUCAAUUAAAAUUCAUUUCUUCUGUUUGAAUGCAGGCACAUUUAUUUUUCAUCAAUUUUUUUUAUUUACGCAUAUCUAUAUUUUGAGUAAUUGUAAAAAAUUAUGUAUGGGAAUUAAGAAUUAUUGUUAUGUUAUUAACCAAACUCUCAAGAUUUUAAAUGCAGUGGAAAGUUUUGUAUGUUUCAAUUUUAUUUUUAUCAAUAUUUUUUUGGAGAAACAAUUGUUGAAAAAAAAAAGUAAAAUAAGAGAGCGAGAAACUUUUGCCAAAAAUUGAAAAGGAGACUUGUACUCCAAGUUAUUGCUAUAUGCCCACACAUAACACAAGCGUAAUGUAUAUCUCCAUAAUUAAAUGAUGAAUGAUUAUUCACGUCUCUUGUAGAAGAUGAAAAAUUCAAGAACAUACCAAUAAGUUUGAAAGAAGAAAUACUGAUUAGAUGUGAAGAUGAUCGGUGUGAACUUAAACGUGUUAUUGGAUCGUUUGAAAUCUUGUGUUGCGAAGAUGGAUAAAAUAUUGAAGCUAAUCACGUCGAUGAGUGAACAUGAUAAAAUAAUCAGUGUUCAAGACCAUUUGAGCAUUUUACAGUUUAAAUGCAUAGAGAAAUUGUAUGAUGAAUGGAGUGAUGAUGCGAUAGAGGCAUCGAUUAAUAAACUAAGGUUACUUGAUUUUAACCUAAAAAAGACUCACUUGCCUUUUGAACUUUGUAAAGGCUAAUAUUUAACAUUUAAUUUCUCCAAUAUUUUAAUAGUACAUUUGUCUAUAUCUACAAGUGAGGUUUAUCAUGAAUAUAGAUUUUUAAAUUGUAAGAACCAUGAUUUUAUAGUAAAAAAAAAAAAAAAAGAACACAACGAACGACAAAAAUAGAUAAUGAACACAUAUUCUUUUAAAAAAUUUAAAUAAUUUAUGUCUAAAAAAAUAACAAUCAUAACAAGAUCAUGUUCUUUUUACCUACUCACAAUCAAUAAUUUUAUGCAUUCUAAUAAAAUAGUAAUAAUUAAGUCAAAUAAAAAUAAAAUAAGCUCAUGAUCAACACCAACUACCAACAGAGACAACAAAUAUUUUGUGAUAGAUUGUGGACAAAAUAACGUAUAUCAUAAAAGCAUGCGAACUCGUGAUGGAAUUACAGUUUAUGAAGGAUUAAUGACCAACUUUGUGAUAGAAUUAUUGACAAUCAUGAACUUAAGAUAUGGUCUAAGACAAAAAAUUAUAUUAACUAUUAUUUAAAAAUAAGAAAUGAAACGGUGCGUUUAUGUAGUGCUCGAGUAAAAACACUCCGGUAUUUUCCAAGUCUAAACACAGUCAUCCUCACGGUAACGGGUCACAGCCUCACUAUUAAAUCAUAAACUCAAACCCUCACUCGAUCAUUCAAAUUUCUAUGACGUCACUGCGUAUAUUACAAAGCAAAGAGAGUUACCAUAUUGCUAUCGUUCAGACCUCAAUGUUGCCGCCGUUGUGCCAAUCAUCUAUCGGAGUUCUUGGCGAAGAGUGGUCGGGAUUUGCUCCCCGGUCGCUGGAGGCCCCAACACUGGUGAGAUUCGAUGUGACACAGUGGAAUUAGCUGUGAAGCGAUGAGUUAGUGGUGGCCAGGGUUUCACUUUCGUUUCCCCCAAACCAGUUUUCUUCCCAAUUCCCCAUAUGCCCCUCAUGUAGUGUCAUAUUAUUAAUCGAUGGUUCAUGUUCUUUCAUUUCUAUUUCAUAACAAAUUACUUUUAAAUUUAUAAUUUAACUUGGUAAUUAAAUAUUUAUUGGUUUAAUUGUUGCAAUUCGAGCUGGAUUAUGAGCUGAUGGGUUCCCUCGAUGAGAAUUCAGCUCAGUCUCUUGAUCAACUAUGGGACCUCACAGUAAUACCAACUUAUUCAGCCUUUUCUUUUGUCCAUAACAUACGAAAAGGAACUUGCUAACCUCCCCGUUCAAUUUCACAUUUUUGUUAAAACCUGGAUUUUAUUAAUUUUUAUUAUUUGUAUAUGUGCCCUAUGGUGGAGUUACUGAAGAGUUGAAAGGCAGUUGUUAGAAAACAAAAAAUUAAUAUUCAAUUCCUUAGUUCAUCCUUGACUUGGCUUCCAUGGCUUUUUGCACAAACCAUGCUUGACUAUCGAAAUUAAGGAAUUAGGUUGGAUAAUGCUUAGAUGGUCAAUAAUUAGCCAAACAAGACAAGUAAUAUCCAUUGGUUGAUGAUGCGUGAUUACUGGAUGGGUCAUCUUAAUAAUAGUGCCUUUGAUAUUAGGUGUACUUUCUUAUUUGUUUUGGACUCAUCCAGGGACCAGAAGGCAGAGGCUGAGACUAAGCCUUUUAUGAAAAAUUCUCUGUCCUAGGUUAAGUUUGGCACUAUUGUGCCGAGUAAGUUGCAUUAAUUUCUUUCACUCUCUGUGUUUUUGAUUCCUUGAUCAGUUUUCAAUAUGCAAAGCACUGAACUUAAAUUUCUGUGACUGUGUGGUAGAUUGACUUGAGUGGAAAUUUGCUUUCAAAUUAGAAGGUUUGCGUUCGUACAUUUUACAAUUUGUAAGAGCUGCUCCAAAUAUGUUUUGAUCUGUACUCUCUCUUUCGCCUUUGUCUUUCUUGUCAUACAUAAGCACAAAAAUUAUUAUCAUCUAUGUGCAUUGAAGGAGCUUUAGCUUUAAAUUUAUUAGCUACAAAACCUGCGUUUUCUGCUAGAUAACCUUUUAAAAAGCACGGUCAUAUUUAGCAUGACAUCGAUGCACAUAACUGGCUUUUUAGUCUUUCAAUAAAUUCUAAAUUUCUCAAAGCUAAAUGCAAUAGGUGAUCUCUAUUGGUUUGUUUGAGUUUCUCUGAUUAAACUUACUCUCCUUUUUACUGUAAAAUGGAAAUGAAAAAUCUCUUGAGUGCGCUGAGAUUUCCUACAAUUGGGUUCUUAAGUCAAGGCGUUGUUGAAUGAAAUGAAAUUCGCUGGUGGUGCAGUGCAUGCCAGAACAACUAAGCCUACUUCUACUCUUUAGUGGUGCAUCUACUGAAGUUUCAUUAUUACUGAUAGUGGAGAGCUGAGACAAAUUGGUCGAAAGUAGAUGUAUAAUUUCUUAGCAAUGUUUUGGUUCAUGCUUUGAUAUUUUCAUUUGUUUGGUAUUUCUUGAGAUUACUAUUAUUAAUAUAUUGGUAAAUGAUGUUGAUUAUUGCUAUAAACCACUAUUUGUGAGUAUACAUUAAGUGAUUGCUCUACAUAUGUUUUUCGUUUAAAAGAAAUGAUAGUUUAUAUAUACAAGCUUCUUUUUUUCUAUAUUUAAAAAUUUUAUAUCAUCAUUGUGGUUUAAUUAUGAAUUCUUUGCAGAAGGAUUUUAGCGCUGGAAUUUGGUGGACAUUGAUUUUUGGCACAGGUACUUUGCUGCUGGUGAUUACUCAUGUUGGGAUAUGGGGUUGAUGUAUUUUGAAAAUACUUCAAAAUACAUGUAUUUUGUUGUUUAUUUUUAUAGGAGGCAACACCAUAAUAAAAUAAUAAUAAUAAUAAUAAAAUUUAGCGUAAUUAUCAAACUUUGUUUAUAAAAUUAACCCACCAAAGAUAAUUUUUCCAAAAAUUAAUAGAAAAUUUAUUUUUUAGUGGGUUCAACUGCCACUGCACCCUUGAAUAUAGAUCCAUCCUGGUGACAAUGAUGUAGACAAAGGAGAGAUUGUUUGUCAUGCACCUCAUUUUAUGAUAAUUAUUUUUCAUCAUCGAAUGUUUGUUUUCUUAUAAUGCUUGUUAAUUUAAGAAUCAUAUGGUUAACUUUGACUGUGCCUAUUUGCCAUAUGGGCAAAAUUUUGCUAUUUCAUGGCUUAACUAGAAAAAAAAAACCUUUAUUGACUUAUUUUUUUAUUUACCUCAAAUUCAUCCGUCAUUUUCACUUAGAUUCUGUUUAGUGUGGCUUUAUAAAUAGCACUUAUUUACUGUAAGUAUAACUUUUGUUAGGAAAACUUUUACCAAAAUAAUUUUAGUUGUUUGAUUAUCAAUGAGAACUUUUAUUAAAAAUUGUAAAAAUUACUUUAUAGGUAAGUUUUUUUAAAAUUAUGUUAUGAAAUAAAUAAAAUAAGAUUAUAAAAAAUAAAACAAGAUAUUUUAGACAUUAACAUUUUGAAAAAGUUUUUCAAUCUUUGUGCCUAAAAGCCCAAAAUUUGAACUUUGCGAGUAAAGGUUAAAUAACUUAUUUGAUCUUCAAAAGUUUUACCAUUAAAUAAGUUAUACCAAACAAACACUUAAAAAAUUAUUUAUUAUAAGAAGUUAUAACAUUAAAAUUAAAAGUCCUAAAAUUUCCUUGAGGCCCUCCCCUCCCCCCCCCCCCCCCCCCCCCCCCCCCCCCCCCCCCCCCCCCCCCCCCCCCCCCCCCUCCCCCCCCUCCCCUCCCCACAAUGCACGUUAUUUGUUGUGGUUUGCUUAUAAGAAUAUUACAUUAGUUUGGACUUAGUGACGGUUCAAAUUAAACAAUGUGAUAGCAGGAAUAUUUGAUUUAGGAGAUAAAUGAUUCGGAAAAUUGCAAAAAUUUAUUACACUUUGAAGUGUUUUUUUUUUUUUUUUUUUUUAAGUAUUCAGCAAGUAAUUCUGACUUGUUGGACUUCCCAAAAAGUUUGAAUGCUUUUUAAGUCUUCCAUUCUAUAAAUUUCCUUAACCAGUGCACAUGCACGGGCCAUCACUCUAUAAAUCACAAGGCUGCUUUCAGGGGAAUUUAUUCUAUGGAAUUUUUAAACUUCUAUCAGCAUGAUGAAUUUCUUGUCCGCUUGAACCCGGCCACGCUCCCCACUCCAAACGAAGGCUCACUGGGAGACUGUACCGUUUACAUUCCUGUCUCUCGUAACAGUAGCAAUAUUUCUUGGAAUGCAAGCAAUGCUUUUGAAAUCAGUAGCUAAGUUUUGGAUUUUGAUUUAUUUUCUGGUUUCACAUGAGAAAUCUAAUUAUAUGAUCCAUAAAUACUCGAGCUACUAUCAUCAAGCUUUUUUUUCUUUAUUAUUUUUUUUCUAACUAACAAAUUAAUGAAUUCCAGCUGCCCUCCAGAGUUGCCCCAAUACACUUCAGUGAAGGAUUGUAAGAGAACCCUAGUGAAGUGGUUAGGGGAACUCCGGACAGCUGAAGAAGUAACACUACUCUUUCUCUUGUUGUCUGAAUGGACGUUGGCAUUGAGAUUACUUAGCAGGCCCGCUACUUAUACGGUAUUUACAAUAGUGGCCUUUGCUUUGCCCGUAAGCAUCAGAGAUUCGAGUGAACAAGUUCACAAUUCACCAUAAGUUGUCGGAGUUGAACCUGGUCAGAAUUAUGGGUAAUAUGAAAACGCUAAGGUUGUGUGCAGAAGAAUCACCACAAAAGUCUCCCUCCCUUUGUCCCCAUAUUUACCUUUCUAAGAUUUCUGUAUAACUAUCCAAAUUUUGCACGUGGGGAAUUAGCAAAAGGAUCAGGUAAUAUCAUGUAAAUGCAAAUAUGUCAAUGAAUUUGAGUGGUCAAUGUUGGUGUCAUAAUUCAUUAGGAAUCAAUCUUUGGAGCCAGCAGAGUUAUUCUCAGAGAUUUCAGGGUCGAUGGUAGAAAUUGAAAUAGGUGUGGCCCGGUUAUUGAGAUUAUAGUCUGGUACCACUUGUGCAACAUAGUAAGAUCAUUUGGUUUUCAUCCCUGAAGAAAUUUUGGAAAUGAGAGGCUUGAUCCAUUCAAAGGUAUAAAUUAAAGCUUGAAUUUGCACAUGGCCAUAUCACCUACACGGGUACAUCAUCAUUUUCUGCUCCCCGUGCAUAUCGCCCAAAGUUGCAUCCCUUUUCACUGCCAACAGCUUUAUGCCCUUAUAACUGUAACAAAGUAAGCAUGACACGGAACACAUGAUGCAAUUCUUAGCAUACCAGAGAGGGCUGGUGGUGCUGUUAUCAUGCCACACCCCACCCCGCCCGGGCGGCGGGCCCAAAAAUGUUUGAGGGAAAUCCUGUAGGCCUUAACAUGGUUUCACCACUGUCAAAACCUGAAAGUUUGGAUAUGAUUGGGGUAUUUUUUUUUUUUCCUUUUUCAUAGAUAAUUUUUUUGAAUUCUUUGCUGCAUAAAUCCAGUUCAGUUUCUUUUAUUUUACCGGUGAAAUAUAAUAAAACAUAAGGUAAAAUAAGUGUGUAUUCAGACUAAUUAACCAUGUACAAUCUUUCAAUAGACAAUAGUUCAUGCAGGGCAGAAGCAGAACAAAUGUUUGUGUUGGAUAAUCAAGAGCUGCUGCUGGACCUGCCGUAACUAAUAAUUUCUUGUAGUUUUAUCAUUGCCAGGACUUCAAAAUCUAAAACACACUUUGCUUUUUAUCUUCAAUGAAGUGAAUGAUCAGGAAUUGAUGGUCAAGUCAACGAGGUGACACAUUUGAAAGAGUAACCUCAUUAACAGAACAAACUUUGGCAGCCGAUGAGAAUUGACCUGGCCUUGCAACAUUUCGGCCUACGGAAAAUGCAGGUUCGGUUGGUUGAGGAAGUGUUACAUUAUCGCUUGCUAACAUGACAACCACAGAAGACAUGAUAGGUCUAUCUGCUGAGUCUGCUUGAACACACAAUAAUCCAAUGUGGAUAAAUUUCAAAAGUUCAGCAGCAACGCAUGACUGCUUGAGUACUGGUUCCAUCAGCUCCAUUGCUUCUCCUUCACACCAUAGUUUCCAUGUCUAUAAUAUUGUUAUACAGGUCAUAAACAAAGAUGAGACUCAAAAUCAUUGGCUAUUACUCUUCAGAAAGAAAGAUAGAAAGUCACUUACAUAAGAAAGGAGGCUUUGACCAAGUUCAGAUAGAUAAAACCCAGUGUUCUUUUUCCCACUGAUGAUUUCUAGCAGUAGAACGCCAAAACUGAAAACAUCCGAUUUUACGGAAAAUAAUCCUUCCAUAGCAUAUUCUGGGGCCAUGUAUCCACUGUUUGAAAACAGAACAACAUAAGAUCAAAUGCCAUAGAAAUGCUAAUGACCUAUGUGACCUCCGUAUUUUGAAUCUGGUGACAUGUAUCGUGAGGUCAGAUGUUCAAACCAAAUGCAAUAGAAUACUGUUAGCAAAUUUAAUUAUUGGAAACAGAGAAAACAGAGAGAGAUGGGAAUGAAAUGCACUUACUAUGUUCCAACAAUUCGGUUGGUGUUAGCUUCACUUUGAUUUCCACCAAAUAUCCUAGCCAUCCCAAAGUCUGAUAUCUUCGGGUUCAUCUCAUGAUCUAGUUAAACAUUACUAGCUUUGAGAUCACGAUGAAUAAUUCUGAGUCGAGAAUCCUCAUGUAAAUACAAAAGACCCCGAGCAAUUCCAUUAAUGAUACUUAUGCGUCGUUUCCAGUCCAAUUGUACACUCCUCAUUGAAUCUGAUAAUGAAUUGGACACAGCAUUUAACUUGAUUAGCUACUUUGUCAUCCACUCUUCUAUGGCAAGGAAGUGGGGAAAAUAAUGGGAAAUGGAAAGACUUGGCUACAAUUGCCAUAGUGCCCAGUAGUGGGCACAUAAUGUGCAAACCAUUUAACAGGGCCACUUCAACUAUACAAGCUGGAAUUAAACCAAAACAACCACUGGUUCUGCUUUUAUUUGCACAGCUUAACACCCAGCAAUUAAGGAAAUAGAAAGUCUGAGAAACAAACCAAAGAGGAAGACAUCAAGGCUUUUAUUGGGCAUGUACUCAUAUAUAAGCAGUGAUUCAUUUUCCUCUAAGCAGCAGCCCAACAGCCUCACAAGAUUUUUAUGUUGCAAUUUGGCGAUUAGAGUAACUUCAUUCUUGAACUCUUGUAGGCCUUGCCCAGAUGUUCUUGAGAGCCUCUUCACUGCUAUUUCCUUGCCAUCUGCUAAUUUACCCUGCAAGCAACUUUCCAUUCCUUGUUACCAUGAAAGUUUUGUAUGCGUACGGAAAACGCGAGCUUCCGCUGACAUGAACUCAUUUCCAAAUACUGCAUUCAGUGAAUACUUAGAUAUAUUUAAACAAGCGUACAGUAAAAAUGGAUUGGUAUGAUUAAUAAUUGCUUAAAAAGCAAGUGUUUAGUAAACUCUACUUUCUGUGGUUGGGAAAUUAAGUUAAUUUGAUCUCACACUUGUAUUAAAAAAAAUUAUAAUUUCUUUUAUAAUUUUUGUUAAAAUUAUUAUUUAAAAGUCAUAUAUACUUUUCAAAACUUUUAUUUUUAUAGUUAUAACUUUUUUUUUUUUUUUUUUUACAGUAGUUAUAACUUAAAUAAUAUAACACCUUGAUACGAAAUAAGACCUUAAGCAUCCCUUUAUAAUUACCUUGUAAACAGGGCCAAAUCCGCCUUCUCCAAGCUUAUUUUCAUCAGAGAAAUGCUGCGUAGCUUCAACUGCGAGAUGUAACGGAAACAAAGGGAACUCUUGAGAUUCUUCCUGCUUCUGUCCUCGUAAAACAUCAUACGAAUAGUCGUUGCCAAUUCUACCAUCUGCUAGAUGAAACAAUCGUGUCUCUUGACUAUUUGCUUUCUCCUCUGCAUAACAACGGAUUAAUUAACUUCGUAAACUAUGAAUAAGAACAAUGGAGUGGUCGAGUAUGUAUAGCUCUUUUAAUGCUAAACAUUACCUUUGACUCUCUCUUUUCUUCUCUUUAUACGCCAAAGUAAAAAACUAGAUAGCACAAGUACUAUAAUUGAUGAUGCCGUGGCGCCGAUUGCAAUCCAUGUUCUGCUUUCCUUCGUCUUCUUCUUUCCCGAAUCUAACAUGUAGCCAAUUUAAAGAAUCUCUGAGGAAAACUCUUUCUACAUCUUAUGCUAUGUUUAUAUAGAAUUAAGGAACCUGAGAUUUACGAACUCACCAUCAGAGCUACCAUUCUUCUUAUUAGGUGGAGAGAUGGGAGCUGUAGCGGAGCUACCAUUCUCAAAGAAAGGGUACAGCUCGUAUCUUAUGUUACAACUUGGCGUAAGAAUUCUACCACCUCGCUUUCCGUAGCAGCAGUUUGGAAUUUGAGCAACAGCCCCGCGCAGGCAAAUAUUGCAGUCUGAUUUAGACAGAUAUGGUAUGCACUGCACCAGAGUCGUAAGUUUACUAAUGCUAGUGGCGUUAACCGUUUGGGCUGCAGCUGGAUACUCAAAAUCCCUUGAGGUUACAUUUUGAAUUAGAUCACUGAAGGACUGGGUCAAAAUAUUAGAGAGAUUAUAAGGGUCAGUAACGUUCAUUGUGUUCCAUACGUAUACAGCUGGCACUGUGUCUAGCGAAGAGGGCAAAGAAUUGUUAGAGAAGCGCACCAUACACUGAUCAUACCAUACAAUAGCCUCCUUGGAGCCAGCACAAUUUUUCACAAUGGUAUUGAUUGUAACAUUUAUGCAAUCUUGGCAGGCCUCAUUAGAAACGUCAAAAUAACAAUUAUAAAGACCAUAAACUUUGUUCGGGUCAUCCCCUUCAGUUGCGUUGUAGAAUAGGGAAUAGCGACCUUCAUUGUUGAGCAUUCUGUUGAAGAGUCUGGCAACAUUGUACAAGAAUAAAUCGCCGGAAGGAGUAUCGCUUUCCCCGCGGCAGAUAUGGUAAACAUAAUUGGAGUCAAGUUUAGCCGCCUCUGACGAACUUUGUAACAGCACUAAAGAUAGAAACGAAAAAAGGUGAAGCAAGCUAACUAUGUUUCUAGUUCUCAGGCCAAAUAAUACGAGCAGAAUCGGCAUCGUCCCCUUGCUCUUCAACUCUGAAAAUUUUGAGUUCCAAUGUCAAGGGACUGAAUUAACACACAAGUAUCCAACUAGAAGUAAACAGUAUUAAUGGUGAAUACAAGACGAAUUAAGAUAAAUAGAAAAAUCGUGGGUUCCAACCCCUUUCACAUAACUUGUAUUGGGAUUGGAUUUUCAUUAAGCUACAUAAUUAAAAAGGAUAAUACAAAAAACAAUGAAAUUGAAAAGUCAAACAAAGGACCAUCGACAGUUUCCAGGCAUCUUCACAUCGGAGACUAAUAACAGGUGUCUUUUUUUUUUUUAAAUAAAUCCUUAAAAAUAAAUAUUUUCUAACUUAAAAAAAGUUUGAAAACUAAUUGAAUACAACCUUUUAAUAUUCUAAAUUAGUAUAUAUUAAUUAAUUUUAUUGUAGUUUAUAAUAUUUUUAUAUAAAAAAUAUUUAUAAAAAAUUAUACAGAUAAAUAAUGAAACAAGCAUAAUAGAGUCUUGCGCUGCAUGCAUGCCUGUGGAGGAAGUCGUCUACUUAACUAUUUGAUGAGAAAUAUCAAUGAAAAUGAAAGGAGUGCCAUUUCAAGGCUGCUCAACGCGGACCAACAGGCUUUUCGAAGACGCGAACCAGCCCCAAACAGCACGGAACUAGGCUGAGGAAGUCGUCCGCAGUUAAUGCAUGUAUGACGUAUGCUUUUAUUGAUUUAAUUCAUAGCGCAAGCUGAUUUACUAGAGCCGUGGGGAUAAAAGUAGACGUGAUCAGGUCACAAUAUAUUUUUAGUAUUUAAAUAGGAUAUGAAUAGAAAGGGUUUUCGAAAGGAUAGUAGAUUGAACUUGAAAAGGGCUUGUAAAGUGAGUCCAAGAGGAAGAAGGGCGUAGGCUGAAUUGAAUAUCCAAUUAGCUUCAUUCUCUUCUAAUCGGCUGAGUCCACUCGAAGCUUAUUAUAUACACCCCAUUGGUUGUUUACAAAGAUGUAGCCCUGUACGGGCACAGAUUGUAAUUAUAUACAUGAAUCGUGGUCAAUCUUGUCAGCCCUGAGCUGUCCUUCACUCUCUGGUGGUCGCUCUUCCGCUCACGAAUAACUCCCGCUGUCGCAUAGAAAAGACGCUGUCGUUUCAGCGACACAUAGACAGAGCUUUAUUCUUCUUCCUCUCGACAAUUGUUCAAUUUUUUUUUUUUUUUUUUUGUUUUAACUCUUUAAGUCUCUUUACACUUGGGGUUAGGGUUUCACUCAAAAUCUCCAAAAAAUAUCUUUAACUAUUCUUAAUUGGCAGUUCCUAAGAUUAUUCCUCCAGUCAUAACUGGCAGUUUCUAGGCAUCUUCGUUCUUCACAUCGAAGAUUAGUCAUCGUUAUGAAAUAUCAUGCAACUUUAACAUACGUUAGAUUAAUUAAACACGAAUUUCUGGAAAAAGAAAAAAAAAUCGAAUAUAGCAUUCUAAUAUAAAUAAAUAAUUUCAUCAAAGUGGUGAGUUAUAGUGAUGGGUGACUGCCAUCUAAUUAAGAUUGUAAAAUUCUUUUGUGUUCAUAUAUAAGAAAAAAAAAAAGUUCGAGUUCAAAUCCAUGUCAGUCUGUCACAUAGGUGGGGAGAGUAUUAAAUACCUGCAGUGCUAAAUAAUAACAUUGAUGUCACAUCUGUGGAGCUGCAUGUCUGUGGAGUCCCUACUUGAUUAAAUAGUUAUGUGACAGAAAAAACCCAUUGACCAUUCUAGUGCUCAAGAUUUUUAAAUUAUUCACCGGCCAAACUUAAUCAAAUGAACAGAUUCAAAACAAGGCAAAGAAACUCAAUCAAAUGAAAUUCCCCUUUAGUAAUAAUUAUACAAUACAUUUUUCAGUAUUAAAAUUAAUUAUCAACUAUCAAAUUAUCAAAGCCUACUACGUAGUGCGUACUUAUCCACGGAUUAAGAUGACUACUUUGAAAAGUUUCGUUAUAUGUAUUUCACUGAUGAAUCUGACGGUGGAUGACAGUUUGAUUGCGCAUAUUUGAGAGGUAAAAAUUAAGAUUCAAAAUGGAUCCCGCCCCUAAACAUAAGUGAUAGGGAAGUUAGCUGCUAGCCGGGCACCCCGACUCAUCAGUCAUGCAAUUCUCUAAUGAGUAAUUUUGCCGUCCGAUUAUUGUUAUACUUCAACAUGGACCAUGGGUUUGUUACUUACAAAAGACAGUUGGGGUCUGUUUGGAAAUAUUUGUAAGGUAUUCAAAAAUGAUUUCGAAAAGUUAGUAGUUAAUUUAGGUGUUUGAUUUUUUUUAAUUACUUUGGAGAAAAUUAUUCCAUGCAAAUUUUAAAAAGCUGAAAAUGAGUAACUUUUAAAAUUUAAUUUUGACAAUCAUUUUUUAUAGUUAAUAUAAUUUCAUAUAAAUCUUCACAUAUAUUAUAAAAAUUCAAAAUUGUCCUUAUUAAUUAGAAUAUAAAAUUAUUAAAUUUAAAGAGAUUAUUAUUAUUACCAAUUAUAUUGAGAUAAUAAAAUAAAAAAUAAAAUUAAUAAUAUAAAAUAUUUAUUUUAGCUAUCAUAUAUUAUAUAUACACAUUAAACAAAUAUUUUACAAACAUAUUUAUAAAUCUGUUAAUAAAUUUUAUUCAACAUUAUAUCCACUUCAGUCAUUUAUAUUCUGACAGCAAUUGAACUGUAGGAUUUAUCAACAUAUGACUACUUUUAAAACCUAUAAUACUUUAAAAAUAAAUCUUACUGAACAUUUUACUAAUUAUAUUCACAAUUGAUUAUUUCGACAAUGCAAUUAGCACUAAUUAUUUUAAAAGCUACAAUAUUAUCAAAGUGGCCCUUAGUUUCUCGGGCUUACGCCUAAUAUAAGAACGAGAUUCUUCUGGGCUCUCUUUUUAUGAGAUUUAUUUUUUAUUAUGUGAUUUUGUUGUUUUCCGUUGAUCAUUUAUCAAUUAACUGCAUUUUAGAAAUAUUUAUCUUUUUAGUUUUUAGGGAUUGCAUUGGAAUUUUUUUAAAAAAAUGGUUGAAAUAUUUGUUAACAAUGUUGAAUACGACCAAGUAAGUAAUAAUAAAUCAAUUAAUUAAAUUAACAUUGUUUAUAGAAAAAAAGUUUUUUUUUUUUAAAGUUUGAAAAGUUUUCUUUGAAAAGUAUCUACUUUGAAAUCUUUUUUUUCCUUUAACUAAAAGGCCCUUUGUCAAAUGUCUUGUCUUUGGGACAAGUUUUGUAUGUCUUGUAUGUAAUGACAGGUUUUCUUUCGUAAAUUUACAGAAUUAAAGUUUUCUAGUCAGAAUUUCAUCUUCUUGCCCUAUUAGUCAAGGGCAAUGUCUGAAGGAAAUCAAGAGUUUGAAAUUAAUACAGGUUAUGCUCAUAUCAGUUUGAAGGAGAAUGAACAACCUCAGAAUGUCCUACUUCGCUUUACUUCGUUUUGGAUUCAGAUUUACAAUCUGCUAAUAGGCUUUAUGUUUGAGAAAAUUUUGAAAGAUAUUGGCAAUUACAUAGGCACCUUUAUGGAGUCCGAUGAGCAUAAUUUAAUGGGGGUUUGGAAAACUACAUGCGCAUCCGAGUGUCCAUAGAUGUUAGAAAACCUCUUAAGCGAAGGAUGAAAUUGAAGAAGGCAGGCGGAGAUUGGAUUUGGGUUAAUUUUAAAUAUGAACGCCUUAAUAUUUUUUGCUUUAUUUGUAGAUUGCUUGGUCAUACUGAAAAGCAGUGCCCCAAAUUGUAUGAAUGUCCUCCUGGUGAAAUUGUGAAAUUUUAUGGUCACUAGAUAAAAGCACCAAAUAGAAGAAAUGCUAUGAAUUCCGGUGAACGGUGGCUGAGAUCAGCAUCGCCGAGGGAAGCUGACAAGGAAAAGGAAGGAAUGUGGAUGUAGUAGUUACCACGGCAAUUGACUCGAUUUUUUCCACAAAUCAAAGAGAUGAUAUACGUAAGAAUAUUGAUGGGAACGUGGAUGUGGGGAUCAUGGCAACCAAUAAGGAAGGUGAUAAUUUGUUGCCAACUAGGACUCUAUCCCGUGUGAAAGGAAAGCAAGUUAAGGGGACAACUGAUGAGAUUGAUUUCAAUAAGGAUUCUGGGGAUGAAAUGGAUGAGGGGAUAAUGGUUAAUGAUUCUAAAAGGAGAAGGUUACUAAUUGGGUCAUGCAGUAAAGUGGGCUUCGAAGGAGAGGUGUCUUCCUAAACGAUGAAUUUGCCAUUAGUUUAAAAAAAAAAGAUCAGCGGUGGGCCCUGUAGAUUAGGCCCACCGAGAUCAAUGAGUGUUUUAAGCUGGAACUGCCAUGGGCUGGACCAACACGGACAAUUCAAAUGCUGGAGGAGUUGGCCAAAUAAAAGAAACUGAUUUUUAUUUUGGGAAAAGGACACAAAGACCCCCAAUGUUUGAAUAAGGGACACAGAGACCCCCAACGUUUGAAUAAGGGACACAAAAUCCCCUAAUGUUUUAAAAAAGACACUCAGACCCCCAUUUGUUAACAGAAAUUAUAAUUUUAAAGUGCAAUUACCAUUAUACCCUUAUAGCAUAUUAAAAAAUAAUUGUUCAUUGUCCAAUUUAUUCCUAUAUUAUUAAUAAAAUUACGAAUAUAACUUCAUUAUCCAAUUUUUUCAUUUAAUUUUUGUCAAAUUUUCUCCUCAACUAAAUAAAUUUAAUCCAUUGCUCAAGAAUAAAAAUAAAUUAAAUUGAUUACUAAUAUAAUAAAAAUAACAAUUAUCAAUAACAAUUCUCCAUUUAAACUUAUAUAAUCAACAAAAUAAAAAAAAUUGGUUACAACAAUAAUUACAAAAUCUUAAUUGUACUAAAUAACAUAUUCAAUAGAUUGACAUAUGGAGAAUUGCUAUUUUUAUUAUAUUAAUAAUCAAUUUAAUUUAUUUUUAUUCUUGAGCAAUGGAUUAAAUUUAUUUAGUUUGAAGAGAAAAUUUGACAAAAAUUAAAUGGAAAAACUGGGUAAUGAAGUUAUAUUCGUAAUUUUAUUAAUAAUAUAGGAAUAAAUUGGACAAUGAACAAUUAUUUUUUAAUAUGCUAUAAGGGUAUAAUGGUAAUUAUACUUUAAAAUUAUAAUUUCUGUUAACAAAUGGGGGUCUGAGUGUCUUUUUUGAAACAUUAGGGAGUUUUGUGUCCCUUAUUCAAACGUUGGGGGUCUCUGUGUCCCUUAUUCAAACAUUGGGGGUCUCUGUGUCAUUUUCCUUUUUAUUUUUCUUAUUGAAACAUAGUAUAAUAGAAGAAAGUUAGAAAGCUUAAACAUAAAAUUGGGCUAUGAAGGAUUGUUUACAGUUGACCCAGUGGGCCGGAGUGGAAGACUUGCUCUCUUUUGAAGGGCAAGCAGUAAUGUUAGAUUAUUAAAGUUUUCUAAGAAUUGUAUUGAUGUGGAGAUUGAGUAUCAGGACAUGGGCAAGUGGAGGAUGAUAGGCUUCUAUGGGUUCCCGGAAUCUAGCCGCCGGUGAGAGUCUUGGGAUCUUAUUCGCACUUUGUCUGAUGUGUCUUCUCUUCCCUGGGUAUGCAUUGGGGAUUUUAAUGAUCUUUUAGCUAUUCAUGAGAAGCGAGUGAAGAAUGAGCAUCGAAAUUGGAAAUUGCAAGGAUUUAAACAAGCUGUUUCUGAUAGCGGUCUAAGUGAUAUUGGUAUGGAGGAUUACCAAUUUACAUGGGAACAGUCUCAGGGUACAGAGAAUUGGGUGGAGGAAAGGCUGGACAGAGUUUUUGCCACUGAUUCUUGGAUUCAUCGAUUCAAAGAGGCACGUGUUUGGAGUCUACAGUCUUCUACCUCAGAUCAUUUACCUAUUUUUAUGGACCCAAAACCUCUAACUCACUCUCAUAGGCAUCGAAGAUUUUGGUUUGAAAACAUGUGGCUUAGAAAGGCUGAUUGUGCAGAUGUGGUUCGGUCUAGCUGGUCCUCCUCUCAUGGAAUUCCAAUUCAACAAAAACAUUUAAAUUGUGGGAUUGCUUUACUUAAUUGGGGAGGUCACUUAGCUUGCGAUUUUCGUAAUCGUAUUUCUGAAUGUAGUAGGAAAAUGAAUCUUUUACGGGGGCGUCGUGAUUCAGCUGGUAUUGAGAAGUUUACUGAGGCCAAGAAGCGUUUUAAUGAGCUCUUCCAUAGCCAUGAGGUUUUCUAGAAACAGAGAUCAAGAUGCUUUGGCUAAAAGAAGGGGAUAUGGAUUCUUGCUUCUUCUACGCUACGACUUCAACAAGAAAGAAAAGAAAUUCUAUUACGACUCUCUGAAAUGCUCAAGGACAAUGAUGUACCACCUCAGCUGAAAUUGAUGGUUUGAUUUAUGAUUUCUUCUCCAAUUUAUUUACUACAGAUGGUUGCCAAAAUGAUUAAGUUUUAAACUGUGUGGAGACAAAGAUCACUGAAGAGCAAAAUGAGUUGCUGCUAGCGCUUUUUACAACAAGCGAGGUUAAAGCGGCCCUUUUCGAAAUGCAUCCAGAAAAAUUACUAGGACCUGAUGGUAUGAAUCCUGUAUUUUACUAACAAUUUUAGCUUACUGUUGGUGAGGAUGUGACUGCAGCUUGUUAGCAUUUUAUUACUACUUGUUCUCUUCCGAUGGGUUUAAAUGACACAUCUAUUGUAUUGAUCCCUAAGAAACCAAAACCUGAGAUGUUGUUAGAUAUGAGGCCUAUUGCUUUAUACAAUUUGUUGUAUAAGAUUGUAGCUAAAAUGCUCUUAAACAUAAUAAAGUCAGCCCUGGGCUCUGUAAUUUCUGAAUUUCAGAGUGCGUUUGUGCUGGGUCGGGCCAUAACAGACAAUAUCCUUAUCUCCUUUGAAAUUAUGUACUUUUUGAAAAGGAAGCGGCAAGCUGCUCUUAAAAUUGAUAUGUCGAAGGCCUAUGAAUGAAUUGAAUGGGAAUUUUUGAAAGCUAUGAUGCUUAGACUGGGGUUUGAUGCUAAAUGGGUGAAGUUGAUUAUACUACGUGUCUCUAUAGUCCGGUAUCAUGUUAUUCGCGAUGGGAAGGAGGUUGGACUUAUUGUUCCAAGUAGGGGACUUCGCCAAGAGGAUCUUUUGUCGCCAUAUUUAUUCAUUCUUUGUGCAGAGGGUCUCAAUGCGUUAAUCCGUAAAUAUGAGUUGGCUAGCUUGAUUCAUUGGGUAAAAGUUGCAAGAGGGGCUCCUGUUGUAUCUCAUUUAUUCUUCGCAGAUGAUUGUUUUCUGUUUUUCAAAGCUAACCGAAGUAAAGCUCGUUUGAUUAAGCACAUUCUUGUGGCUUAUGAUCAAGGGUUAGGACAGUUAGUGAACUUUAACAAAUCUUCAAUCUCUAUUAGUUUGAAUGUUAAUGAAGAUGUGAAAGGGUUGAUUUGUACUAUUUUGGAGGCUAAUGCUACUGUUAACCGUGGCAUCUAUCUUGGCUUACCCUCUCUUGUUGGCAGAAACAAAAAAGAAGUUUUUCGAUUUAUCCGAGAUAGAGUCUGGCAGAAAUUUCACAGCCGGAGUAUGGAGAUGCUGUCGAGAGCUGGAAAAUAAAUUCUGUUAAAAACAGUGGCUCAAACUAUUCCGAAUUAUGCCAUGCAAGUUUAUCUUUUGCCUCUUGAUCUUUGCAGAGAUCUAGAAACUAUGAUGAACUCAUUCUGGUGGGGAAACAUACGCAAUGGUGGAGGUGGCAUUCACUGGAUGAAAUGGGAAUUGCUUUGCAAACCGAAGUCAAAUGGAGGAAUUGGCUUAAAAAAUCUACAUGACUUCAAUGUGGCAAUGUUGGGGAAACAAGUUUGGAAACUUCUAACGAAUCCAGAGUCUCUUGUGGGCCAAAUAUUCAAAGCUCGAUACUUCUCUGGUACAUUCGUUGUAGAGGUGGUUUGGGUUAUAAUCCAAGUUUUGUGUGGAGAUCUCUAAUGGCAGCUAAGCACAUUAUUGUUCGUGGUAGUAGGAUCCAGGUUGGCAAUGGUCAGAACAUUACUAUUGGGUCAGUUCCUUGGUUUCCAGAUACAAAAAAUUGUUUUAUUUCCACCAGCUUACAUGAGCGGAAAACAACAGCACCAGUCAAUAGUUUAAUGAUUCCUGAGCAACGUCGAUGGGACUAUGACGCAGUGGUAGAUUUGUUUAAUGCUCGAGAUAAGAAUUUUAUCUUGUAAAUACCCCUUCGUACUCAGAGGGAUAAGGACGUGUGGUAUUGGAUGGCAGACCCUCAUGGUUUAUACACAGUUCACAGCUGUUAUAAAAUGCUUAAUCAUUGUACUACUGCCCCAACAUCUGGUGUUUGGAGGAAAAUUUGGAACUUGGAGGUGCUUAACAAGGUGAAGAAUUUUCUUUGGAGAGCUACAAUGAAUGUGUUACCAACAAACGAUAAUCUUAUUCGGAAAAGUAUUGAGGUAUUGCCUAUUUGCUCCCUCUACAAUAAUCAGAAUGAAUCUGUUGUGCAUGCUUUGGUGAACUGUGCUUUUGCACAAACAUGCUGGAUUUCUUCUUCACUUGGAUUUGUUGGUCAUCACCCUUCAUUUCUUAUUUGGCUAGAUCAAGUCUUUGCCCGCUAUAGUAAGGAGAUGUGUAAUCUUGUUGCCAUGAUAUGUUGGAAAAUCUGGUUUUGUAGGAAUGAGAAAGUUUGGAAUAACAAAGUUUGUAGUGUGCAUCAUGUCCUUAAUUAUACUGGGAAUUAUUUGUUUCAAUGGCAAACUGCGAGAAAACAAUUUGUUUUCAUUAAUGAUGAUUCUUUCCAAGGUUGUCAUGGGGCUGUUUGCUGGGAUAAACCUCAUCUAGGUUGGCAUAAGUGUAAUGUUGAUGCUGCAACAUUUUCAUCUCAGGGGAAAGUCAGCUAUGGAGGAGUCAUUCGCAAUUCUGAUGGGGUUUUUGUUGCAGCAUGUUGUGCGUGUGUGAUUGGAAGUUUUGGCGCAAGGGAUGCUGAAGCGCUUGAUGUGCGUGACAUCCUAAGUUGGAUUAAGUGGCGACAGCUGUCCUGCGUUGUUGUUGAAAUGGAUUGUUUUUAGAUUUUUAAAGCUCUCACAGAGAACUAUUCUUGUCUUAAUGGUUAUGGCCUAAUUCUUGAUGAUUGUAGAGCUUUAGCUCAUUCUAUAGGAGAUAUUAAAUUCUCUUUUGUCUGAAGGUCUGCGAACACUGCUGCCCAUGUUGUUGCAAGGGUUGGGGGGUUCUUUGUCAGGCCCUGUAGAGUGGAGUCAUAUUACACCAUCCUGGUUAACUAAUUCUCUGUAUUCUAUUUCCAGUUAAUGAACUUUUCAAGUUUUAUUCAAAAAAAAAAAUUGUUUACAGAUAGCGUACGCAGAGUUAAGGAAUCCAAGAAAUAUACUAAGUUAAUUAUUGUAUUCAAUUUUUGUAUGAGGCCUUCAUCUUAGUAAUGCUAAGGCGUUUCUAAUAUCAUCAUUUUAUUGUCGCUGGAGAAUUGCACUGCAUGCAUUAAAUCCUGGAAUCAAAUUUGAUGUAAAACUUUAUUAAACCCAAAAUCCAAAUUUGAAGUAAAAUGCUAUUAAAUCCAAAUUCAAUAAAAUCACAUAUUAUUGUUUACCGUUCUUUUACCUCUCACCUUCACCAUCACCAUCACCAUCGGAGUAUGUAGAGACUCAAAAUAUGGAUCUAUAAAUUGUACUAUACUUUUUGGUGGUGACAGUAUCGAAUCACGUCACGUGCUUCUUUGAUCAUUAAUUGGAGACACAUUUGAAAGAAAAAAAUAAGUUACUUUUACGUUUAAUUGUCUCCAACAGUUCAUUAGUAUUUAUCUGUAGAUAUAAGUGACUGGGUGAGGUUUACUAGGUUUAUUGCGACUAUAGAUUUUAAGAUGAUAUAAAAACUAUGCUUCUCAAGUCAAAAAAGAAAGGUUACAGAAAGAGAUUAUGAAAAAAAAAAAAAAAUCUUUGAAAAAGGUUAUUAUAUUUGUACAAAAACUAAAAUCAUAUAAAGUUUGUCUCUUUUUACUUACUCACCACUAAUAAUUUUAUGCCUUCUCACAAAAUAGUUAUAACUAAACCAAAUAAAAAGAAUAUCACUGAAAUUUCUAAGUAAUAAAUAUUCCCGUAUUUAGAUACCCAUGAUUGCUGAUUUAGGAGUCAUAUAGUCUUUUUUUUCAAAGUGCUCCAGUAGGACAAAGUUUCUCACUACAGCUCCAUAGAGUAGUUCAUCUGUUAACUAGAAAUGUCUAUAUAUAUAUUUAUAGUCAAGUUUGUUGUCAACCUCUACUCCUCGCUCUUUUUUUUUUUUUUUGAUUUAACUGGGGCUCUAAAAAGAGCUAAAGAGAAACUGAACGGGGGUAAGAAACCUCAUAAAAGUCAUGAGACAAAAGAGAUCGAACACCCAAAGGGGGGUAGGGUACACAAUAAAGCCAAGAGGAAGAGAAAAAGCGAGGUUCGCCAUAUAAUCUGCAGUGAAAUUGGCUUCUUUGUAAAUAUGGGCGAUGGAGACAUGCCAAUCCAAUUUGAGAUAGUCCUUAAUAGCCUGGACCAAGGGAACAUACUCAUUAGUCAUCACCGAUGAUCUAGCCACCAAUUGAGUAACGCACAGGCUAUCUGUUUCAACUUUCAAUCUACGGAUGCCUGAGUCCCAAGCAAGCUGAAGCCCCUUAUACAAUCCCCAAAGUUCUGCCACCGUAAUAGAGCAAGAGCCAAUCAUCAUCCCAAAGCCAGAUAUCCAACGCCCUAAGUGAUCUCGAAUCAGACCACCUGCAGUAGAAAUCCCAUCAGACUUGUGAGCACCAUCCGUAUUCAAAGUACACCAUGGCCACUCAGGAGGAUGCCAAGAAAUCCACUUAUUUAUUCUAAUGCUCCUUGUGACCAACGGGCUGUUAUGAAGCUUAUGCGUCUCCUCUACUCCUCGCUCUUCCUUGGCCAUUAGUAUGAUUUCAAGAAUUUCAUGAAACGGUUUUCCAUUAAUGAUAAUCACCCCAGUGCCUGGACCUACGCUACCAGUUUAUAUCUCAACUUGGAUUCAUGAUCUUUUUGUAUCUAAUCGCAAGGCUGCUUUCAGCGGAUUUUAUUUAUGGAAUUUUUAAACCACUAUCAGCAUGAAGAAUUUUAUUUUUCCUACAAGUAUGAUGACUUUCUUUCUUGUCCGCUUGAACACGGCUAUAGGCCCUAGUCUAGUCCGAGGCACAACGGAAGACUCCACCGUUUAUGUUUUUAUCUUUCGUAAGAGUAGCAACGUUUCUUGGAACGAAAGCAAUUGCUUGUUGAGGUGACGAUAGAGAUAGUACUCUUAUUGGACAGCCUUCGUUGCUCUUUGGUUGGCACGAAGAUAACAAAUGCUGUGUCUGGUGUCCAUCCGAAGGCAAUUACACUAUAGAUAAUGCUUCUCUCGCUUACAUUGUUGGAGCUGCUUUCUCUCCGAAUCUUGGACCGUGUGAUGUGAUGGAUGAUUGGAAGCCUUCUCCUGAUGGAAUUCUACUGGAAGAAAUUACUACAAGUGACGAUGAAUGUGUUGUGUACAGAUGUUUUCGUGAGGCUUCUGAGGUGAGAACAAUUGAACGGUGGGAAGUUGAGUGUUGUGGCUGUAAGUCAACUGAGGUAGGGUCAGGCAAGAAGCGUUGAGACGAUUAACGAAUAUGAUCAUCGGCCUGUUCGGAAUAUUAUUCAAGAAUUUAGGCUCAUUGACGGGACUUAUUAUCGAUUGGUUGUGUUUAGUUUUCACCUGCAGACAAGGUCCAGCGCCCUGACGAUGAUAGCCAUGAAAUAAAUUGCAUGAGGUUGUUCGAUGUUAAUUUCCGUCAGCAUUUGGGAUUUAUUUCUGUUUUUGUUUUGUGACCAAGAUUGAGAAACAUGUCUGCAAAAUAUGCUAAUAAAAAUCUUCGUUUGAUGAGAGAUUUUCAGCUUUUUAUGAUUGGCAAAUCCCUUGGAAUAUCCAUUUGAGGAAGAAAGAAAAAUGAAUGUAACUUCUUACCCAUUCAAAUUAUUGCAUGGGAAUAAUUCAUCAUUAAUGGAUAUACACAUACUUGAAUAAAUUCAGCUUAACAUUUCAACUACAACGAUGAAGUACCCGUACAGAUUGCCACCUUGAGACUCAGUGUGUAAAAUUAAGAAUGAAGGUGUUUGAUGGAAGUGAUGAAGUGUACUAUGAAAUGCCACAGUGAGAUUAUUUUUGUGGGAAGACGAUAAUUAGAAUUUAGCAGCUCAAGGUACUCUCGAAUCAGCUAAACAAACAACCUCUAGAAGAGCUUUAUAGAAUACACUAGAAUACUGAAGAUGAAGCCAUGAAAGAUUGUGAUUCAUCAAAGCUUAAAUGCAAAAUGUAUCAAGAGUUCUUAUUUCUAAUUGUAUCAAUCUAGACCCAAUCCAAGCCAUUUAAAAAAUAAUAAAUGCAAUUUAGUGUAUAGGCUUAGACUAAAAAGCCUGCAAAAUCACUUGCCGGAAAGACAAUGAAUUUACCGCAUUUGUGGUUUUUUUUUUUCUUUGUUUCUAGUUAUUCAUUUACUGCUUUUUUUUUUUACUAGACCGUCCAUGAAAACAUAUCAUAACUUGUGAUAUUAUUAUUUUAAAAUAAUAGGAUACUCACCCAUGAAUGAUGAGAUAAUUUAAUUCAUAAAAUGUUUCAAAAAUUGUAAAAAUUUAUUAUUAACUUAAUAACAAUCACGUGACUUCGAAACAGUUCAUUUAGUCCUUGCAUUCAUUAGCUGCUAUGCUAGUGCUCUUCAGUUGAGAAGAUGAAUGGGAUUAAUUACUUCGAACUUCCCAAAGUUGAAUCUCUUUCUUCUUCCCCUCUAUUUCAAGCCUUCACCCCAUCAACUUAUUAUCGAUGGACUGUUUUUAAUUUUGACCUGCACAUGUGAUACAGAACCUGAGGAUGAUAGCCAAUUAGCCAUGAAAUAAAUUACAUAAGGUCGUUUGAUGAAAAUUUCCACUAGCAUUUGGAAUUCAUUUCCGUUUUCAGUUAUCUGAUCAAUUUUGAUAAACACAUAUACAAUGUGGUUUCUGUUUUAGUUAAAUUUUAAGUUAUUCAUGGAGUAGUACUUAAAAAGAAAGUAACUUUGAGAAGAAUGGGCAAAUAUGGUAAUUCUGUUAUCACUCUAAUUCUAAAUUUAUAAUCACAUAAUUAUAGGCUCAAUUUGUCUCUGGCCGUUGGAGUCAAUCGUGCAGCUGUAAAUGAGAUAAUUUACUUUCCAUAUAAGGUUACGUUGGCUGAUUUGUUGCGAGACUUGGUUAUAACAUUUUUCAAAAUCCAGGAGAGAUUGAUGCAAAAUUUAAUAUCAUUGAUUCUGAAAAUCCUCUUUAUAUAGAACACUUGUAUAAAAUAAAAAUUAUUCACCUGCACUAGACACAAAGAUAGUUAAAAAAUGAGCAUGGAAUUCUUAGGUAUACAAAUUGCAGUAGCCAUUUACAUUUACGUUCUCACCUUGACCAGCAAAAUUAAUGGCUUUAGAAUUGAGCUCACCCCAAGAACCUCCAUUGAUUCGGCUCUGUUUCCCAAAGACCUUUCUCCAGAAGAAAUACAUCACAGAAUUGCUCAACUCUCCAGAGCUCGCGCUAUUCAUCUUAGAUCCAAUCAAGAACCCGAAACACUAAAACCACCUGUUUAUCCUUCUCCUUUUGCUAACACCAAUAUAUACAUAACAAAUAUAUCCAUUGGUUCAACACAGUUCUCACCUUACUUGGUAGUGGAUACCGGUAGUGAUGAUACAUGGCUUCAAUGUGAGGGUUGCACAAGUUGCUUUCCAAUCAAGGGAGGAAGCUUUCCCGUCAUGGAAUCAAAUACUUAUCGCGGCUUAGCUUGUGAGCACCCGCUUUGUGUCCCCAAAUUGUGUGAUAAAGGUCUAUGCUCAUACGAUUGGAAGUACAAAGAAGGCAGUAGAACUAAGGGUGUGCUUUCGUCCGAAAGUUUAACUUUUCCUGGGGAUAAAAAUACAAGCCUAACAUUUGCAAAUGUAACCUUUGGUUGUGGCUAUGACAAUCAGAACGUAUCAUUUGGUGGAUACAUGGGAAGUGACAAUAUAAUUGCGGGGGUGUUUGGUUUAGGGGCAGGGCAACGAUCAAUCCUGAGGCAAUUGGAGCCUGAGACCAACCUACGUUUCUCUUACUGUCUUCGCUUGUACCCCAGAACAGACGGGAGUAACACUACUUACUUGCGAUUUGGCCCUGAUGCUCAGAUAAAAAGGAGACGAUAAACGAAAGUUCAGACAAUAAAAUUGAACCCCAGCCUGCCCGGGUAUUAUGUGAAUGUUACAGGUAUUAGCGUUGAAGGAAAACGACUAGAAAUAGACCCAGCUUUGUUUCAGCUGAAACAAGGAGUCUCUGGUGGAUUUGCUAUUGAUUCAGGUGUUGGACCCACUCUUCUUGUUCCUGAGGCAUAUGAAGUCUUGAAACUAGAAAUCCUCGAAUUCUAUUUGGCGCGAGGCUUUCAUCCUGUAAAAGUAUUGCAUGUGCCGUAUGAUCUUUGCUAUGCUAUUACACCUGCAGCUAAUGUUGAUGCUAGUGGUUUCUUCCCGUCAAUGGUAAUCCAUUUCGAAGGGGCUGACCUUUUUCUGGAUGAUACUGCUGUGAUGGGGUUCGUUGCUCCUCAAUUGUUCUGUUUGAUUUUCUUGCCUACGCAUCCAUCCGGGCCGAAUCUUCUGGGGGCAUUUCAGCAAGAAAAUCAAAGGUUUUUGUUUGAUGUUGGAAAAUCUACUGCGUCAUUUGUUUCUGAGAAAUGUAAUGAGCAAGAAUGAGAUUAUGUAACUCUAAUAAAAUUGUAGGCUUUUCAAAUUCUAUUUUUUUUUUCUUUUUCAUCCCAGAUUGUCAGCUUCUUUGGAUUCAGGUCCUGCAAUUGCAAAGGCCUGAUCAGUACUCAAUUUUAGAUACAGCAGGUGUUAAAAAUGAGACUGAUGCAAUAUUUAAUUACCAAUUCUCUAAAAUUUGAACCCUACGUAAACUUAAUUGAUUUAGAUAAGACAAAUGCUAAGUUAUAAUUAUUGUAACUUACAUUUCUCAUGUGAACCACAUAAAUUACAGGUUCUAUAAUUUUGUGUGGUUCACAUGAGAGGUGUAAGUUAUAAUGAUUGUAACUUAGAGACUCCCGAUAGAUAAUCAUGAUGUAAGAAAUAAUAAUGAUACGUGAUUAGGUGGCGUGUAAAAAGUUAUCAUUAAUGUAAAUAUAGAAAUUUGUAAAACUGGCAGUCGCAGCUCAUCAUGAUUAGUUGUACAAUACCUUUAGUGGAAAAACAUUAAUGAAAUUCUAUAAAGACUAAAAAGCAUUUAAACCAAAAGGUAUAGAUUUGAUUGCCGCUCACAUGGGUGGGAAAGGGAGUCGAUUACUAUUAAGCUUAAUAAUAAUAACAAUAGAAGUAGAAUUAUUAUAUUUUAAAAAAAUGCUUUCAAAAUAAAAACAGUACCAAUUCAUCCAAUUCAACAUUCAAUACUCAAAAACGCUAAUCUAAGCUUGCUUUAGGAAAGAUAAUUAUGAUGUAAGAAACAAUGAUACAUGAUUGGUGGUGUAUAAACAUUUAUCAUUUGUGCAAUAAUAUUGAAACUUGAAACACUGAUAACAUGAUUAGUUGUACAAUAUCUUAAAUAGUAAAACGUUAAUGCAAUUUAAAUGCAAAAUCAGCACCAAUUCCUCAAAAGCCAUUUGUUCUUCUGUAUAUCCACACAAAAUUACAAAUGAUGCAACAAUGUUCUUGCUACUCACAAAACAAAGAGAUUAUGGCCGUGAAACCCUUUGAUUUACAGCUACAAGGGGUGGCUGCAGUUGCCCUCUACAUUUACAUCCUCACCAAGUUCAUCAUACAACUUAUAGCUUCAGAAUUGACCUCAUUCCAAGAACCUCCAUUGAUUCAAAUCUUUUCCCCAAACACCUUACUCAUGAAGAAACACAUCAUAGAAUUGCUUCACUUUCAAGAGCUCAUGCUCAUCAUCUCAGUUCCAUGAAUUCUGCCAAAUCCGCCCGAAAACAAAGCACACCCCGAGCCUGAUCAGUGGAUGCAACCACCAAUUUUUUCUUUUCCUUUUGCUAAUAUUUAUGUAACAAAGGAUCGAGUUAAUUGGUUCAAGACAAUUCUCACCUUACCUGGUUAUGGAUACUGGUAGUGGGCUAUAUGUGGCUUCAAUCUGAAAGAUUGAUUAGACAUUGAUCCGGCAUUGUUUGAGCUAAACCGUGGCAGUUCAGGUGGGGUUUGCUAUUCAUUCACGCGUUGGACUGAUAAUUCAGGUUCCUGCUGCAUAUAAAGUUUGAAAGCUGAGAUGAUCAAGCAUGUUGUUAUACAAAAUGGCUGGCAUCUCGUAGAGGCAGGGAAUUCAAAGAAAAUUCCAUAUGACUUCUGCUUUUGGGUCACACCAACUGGCAUUAAUGAUUUAAAACCAUCAAUGACAAUCCAUUUUGAAGAAGCUGAUCUUGUUCGGGAGCCUAAUGCUGUGUCUCAGAAAGUUGGUGAUCCCUUAUGAAUGAAUGUUAUCUCCAGCUAUCCCAAUGCACCAAAUCUAUAAGGGGCUUUUCAGCGGGCAAACAACCAUUUCUUGUUUGAUGUUAGCAAAUCUAUUUUGUCAUUUGUUCCUGAGAAAUGUAAUGAAUAGAUAGAUUACAAGGUUGUCAAACAGAAUAAUUAGAGUUAUCUGCAUGAACAUAUAUAAGAUAUGUAUGACAAAAUUCCAGACGCUAACUCUUAGACUACAAUAUUUUGGUAAAAUUCUUGGACAAUGAGAGGGACAAUUUAAUAAAUUAAAUAUUAAUUAAAUUAAACAUACUUACAAAUAUAUUUAUGUAGAUGUAUUUCAUUAUUAAAAUUAUAAUUCAUAAAACACAUCAUUUACACAGUUACGUGCCAUUAAAAUUCUCGUUCGUCUCAACUAUACAACAAUACUGUUGUCAUCAUCAUCUUAUGAAAUUUUGUUUUAUUGUCAAAUAAUGAUUGAAAUUUUGACCAAACUAUCUUCUUGUCACUGUUGGUGUACCGUCACCACAGUUUUCUACUUUUCUUGAUUGGUGCACUUAAACGUAACGGGGGCAAAGUGGGGUGUAAUAUGUAGAUUCAAGAGAGCUUAAUGGUUAAGGAUUAGAAGUGAGGACUACUAAAUUUCAAAAAGAAAAAGGGGGAAAAAAUGUGCACUAGUAUGAUUAAAAAGAAAUUAAAGAGGGUGGACCAGUCGUAAGAAAGGCAUAUGAACAGAAGAAAUAAAAAAAAAAACCCUCAACGGUGUUUUAUAAUGGGUUAAUUAAGCUUGGGUGACAUAUAUUCUAACAAAUUUCAAAACGUGAUAUAUGUUUUAAAAAUAUUUUAUCAAGUGACAAUCAGUUAAUUUUUAUAGUUAAUUCAAACGGACUAACGGUAAAUAUAUUUAUUUUAGGGUUGAUUACACACGGAUGACACACAUUUUGAUAAAUUUCAAAAUAAUUAUACAUGUUUUAAAAAUACUUGAUUAGAUAACAACUCAUUAACUUUUAUGAUAAUUCUAAUGGACCACAAGUAAAAUUUUAAAAAAAUAGAUUUAUUAAAUUUUUUUUUUCAUUUUCCUCUCUCCCCUUCUUCCUUCCUCUUCUCCAGUUUUUUCUCCUUUCUUCAUCUUCUUCAGUUCAUUUUUUUCUCCUUUUUUUGUCUUUUUCAGUUCGUCGUUUUUUUCUUUUUUUUUUUUCCCUCUUUCUCUCCUUCUUUCUUUGUCUUCUCUAAGUGUCAUCUUCUCCACGGCCACAACAUGAUAGCAGCCGUGAUUUCCUGGAGCCAAAGUAGCAAAUUGAUUCAACAAGAAAAUUUGUUUAAAGAAAAAUUAGUUUGAUUUAACCAAAAAAACCCUUGUUAAUUAGACUGAACUAGAUUCAAUAUAUAUUAUUAGAAAAAGGUGAAAAUAAGUGAGUAGGGGCAGAAACAUCAUUUUUUUUGUAACUAGCUGUAGGGGCAAAAAUGUUAUUUUUUAAUUAAUUGACUACUUCCAUUACUUAAUAGUAAAAGUUAACGGAUUGUUAUUUGAUCAAGUAUUUUUAAAACAUAGGUUACCUUUUUCAAAUAUGUCAAAAUAAGUUUCACUGAUGGUUAUUAAUUCUAAAAUAAUAUUUUUUGUAAUUUUACCCUUAGUCCGUUAGAAUUAACUGUAAGAGUUAAUGGAUUGUAUUAUUGAGUAUUUUUUAAAUAUGUAUCUCUAUUUUAAAAUUUGUCAAAAUAUGUAUCACCCAAGUGUAAUUAACUCAACACUUAUCUUAAUUUUCUAACUUCUAAGCGAAUAUUGUCUAAAAAAGACGCCAUGUUCAUUCAAUUGAUAGAAAAUUGGUCUAGUUUCUAACUUCUAAGCGAAUAUUGUCUAAAAAAGACGCCAUGUUCAUUCAAUUGAUGGAAAAUUGGUCUAUUUUCUAACUUCUAAGAGAAUAUUGUAUAGAAAAUGCUAAUCAGGCUGAAGGCUUUGUCAUGAGUAGUCUCGAGUGUUCCGUGCCGUUUUAGUCUUCAGAAUUGAAAAUCUGCCUCAAUCUCAAGACGAAUUAGCAAGAAAAGGAGUAUGACAAAAACGGCACAUCAUCUGAUGGGGCGCGUUUGUGUAUGCGCUCAAGCUGAUUAUGACUCUUUUUAGGUCAGGAAAUACUGUAAUUUUUAAAAUAAUUAUUGUUAACUGUAUAAAUAAUCAACUAUAAAGAAAAUUAAUUAAGUAUUUGGUAAUUUUUUUUAAAAUUAUUAUGCGUUUUGAAAGUAGUUAUGAGUGUUUAGUAAAAUCUUAGUGGUAAACUAUUGUGACAAAACAAAUGAUUAAAAUGUACAUAAUGCAGGAUAUAUUUUACUUAUACAUAUAAAAACAUGUACAUAUAAUAUUUUUAAUUGUAUAUAGUAAUAAUUUUAACUAAAAAUAAAAUUUAUACUAUAUUUAUGAAAUUAUAUUAAAGGAUAAAAUUGGUUCUCAAAAUUAGAAUUUAAAAAUUACUUUCUCCAUGCUUUCAAAAUCAGCUGUAGGAGGAAUUAAUUUUAACAAAAGUGAUUUUGAUUUUUUUUUUACCAAACUCUAAAAUUAAUUUUUAAAUUUUUAAAACCACUUUUAAACCUUCCAAAAGCAAUCCCAAAGGGACCCUAAGUAUAAUUUGGGUCCUAGCGCACACAAGAAAUUUUGCAUAACAAGGAAUUUUUUUCCUAAUUUUUUCGCUCUAUUAAUUUUUUUUCUAAUGAAAUAAGUGAUCCAUAUUAAAUUUUGAAUUUGAUAUUAAUAACUUAACUAAUUUUUUCACUAAAUUUAAAAAUUUAUGAGAGAGAAAAAAAUAAAUAAUAAUAAUAGUAAGAAAGAAUCAUAAUCUAUAUUGCAGCAGUUAUCUCAAUGACUCGUGAGUCGUGUCGGUGUUCGUGGGUGGGUGACUUGGAUAGAGCUGGCAAAAUUUGACACGACCCGAUUACCCGACACGAACACGACACCAAUAAAUGGGUAUGGAUCGUCAAAUUUAACACGAUUAUUAAAUGGGUCGGGUCCGGGUCAACACGAUUUUUUUCCGUGUCGGGUUAGGGUUAAAAUUCUUGACCCAUUUACCCGAUUAAUGACCCAAUUAUAUUUUUUAUUUUAAAAUAAUUUGCAGAUUCUUGUCAUCAAAACUCAAAUAUUAGAGAUGAUUUUUUUUUAUUCUUUAAAAGGAUGAAUAUAGACACAAUAUUUUAUUUAUAAAAUUUUAAAUACAUUUAGAGCUUUAAUAGUAUAAAUGUAUAAAAUAUUGGUAGACAUGUAUAUUUUAUAAUAUUGAUAUAUAAUAUUAUUUACAUAUAUAUAAUUAAAACCUCAAUAGUGUGCAUAAUAUUUUAGUAGAUAUGUAUAUUUUAUAAUAUUGAUAAAUUAUGUAUGUAUGUAUGGAUGUAUGGAUGUAUGUAUGUAUGUGCAUACAUAUGUAUGACAAAGUGUAAAUAUUUGAUGUAACUUUUGUUUAAUAUAUAAAUAUUAAGCGGGUUAUUGGGUAACCCGAUUAUAUUUUCGUGUCGGGUUUGGGUCUCAAUAUUUUGACACGAUUAUUAAAUGGGUCGGGUUUGGGUCGACUUAAAUUUGACACGACACGAACACGACCCGAUGACCCGUUUUGCCAGCUCUAGACUUGGAUUUGGCCACAUAUGUCACUGCUCGCGUCAUCGGAUUUUCUCUUUCAUUUCCCAUAAAUAAUAAUGCAAUUAGUUAAAGAGCAGUGAAACAAAAAGCCACAAACCAAAUUUGUCAUCAAACCUAGUAAUUGCAAAUUACAGAGCUUGUACCAACCACCAAAAAUGAGCUGGUGGUGGGCUGGGGCAAUUGGCGCUGCCAAGGUAAGACUUAUAAUUAGAUCAGCUCUUUCACUUGCUGUGCUUGAAGAUUUUAUUCUUCUUAUUUCAUAUUUUUAAAAUGUUAAGUUUAAUUUACAGAAGAAAUUUGAAGAAAAUGAGCGACAACCGCAACCGCAACCUCAAGACUACCAGCACGUGGGACUCGUGAUAGGCGUUACGGGAAUUGUGGGAAACAGCCUAGCUGAGAUUUUGCCCCGACAGGAUACUCCCGGGGGCCCGUGGAAGGUCUACGGAGUGGCCCGACGCCCCCGGCCCGACUGGAACGCCGAUCAUCCGAUUGAGUACAUCCAAUGCGACGUUUCCGACCAGGACGACACGCAGGCCAAGCUCUCAAAACUCACCGACGUCACCCACAUCUUCUACGUGACGUGGGCCAGCCGUCCCACGGAAGCCGAGAACUGCGAGGUCAACGGCGCCAUGCUACGCAACGUGCUCGGUUCCGUUAUCCCGACCGCGCCAAAUCUACGCCACGUCUGCCUCCAAACCGGAGGGAAACACUACGUGGGACCGUUCGAGUCGUUCGGCAAGAUACGGCCUCACGACACGCCCUUCACCGAAGACCUGCCAAGACUGAAUGUGACAAACUUUUAUUACACUCAAGAAGACAUAUUGUUUGAAGAAGUCGAAAAAAGAAAGGGGCCGUUGUCAUUGACUUGGUCCGUACACCGGCCUCAUAUAAUAUUUGGGUUUUCACCGUACAGUAUGAUGAAUGUUGUAGGCACUCUGUGUGUGUAUGCGGCUAUUUGUAAACAUGAAGGGGUUCCUUUACUGUUUCCAGGGAGUAAAGAUUGUUGGGAGGGCUACUCGGUUGCUUCGGACGCGGAUUUGAUUGCGGAGCAACAGAUUUGGGCGGCGGUGGAUCCGUAUGCGAGAAACGAAGCUUUUAACUGCAGCAAUGGGGAUGUUUUUAAGUGGAAGCAUUUGUGGAAAGUGUUGGCUGAGCAGUUUGAGAUUGAGAAUUAUGGGUUACCACAGGAGGGCGAGAGAGUGAGAUUGGAGGAAAUUAUGAGAGGUAAAGAAGGUGUGUGGGAGCAGAUCGUGAAAGAGAAUCAGCUGCAGCUCACAAAGUUGAGUGAGGUGGCUGUCUGGUGGUUUGCAGAUAUGAUGUUAGAUGGAGGGUUUUUGUUGUUGGAUAGUAUGAAUAAGAGCAAGGAGCACGGAUUCUUGGGCUUCAGGAAUUCUAAGAAUUCUUUCGUUAAUUGGAUUGACAAGAUGAAAACUUACAGGAUUGUGCCUUAGAGGAGUGAUAUUCUGUGGAGGUUGUAAUUGUUAUUUGGUGAGUAAAAUGGUUAUUAUGUUUCAUUUUCAUGAUUCAUGUAACUGUUUGAAAAAUCAAUGGUUUUUGGUCUGAGGUUGGAAAAUCUACAGUCUCUUCUCACAUCUGUUUUAUAAAAAUAAAAUUGGAGACUUGUUAAUUUCUGUUUCUUUGUGUUCAUCGGUUCAUCCCGGCUUUUCUUUCAUCUUCCUUGGCAUCACCAAUCACUUGUAAUAAUUGCCCAACAAAUCUGAGAGUUUAGAAAAAUACUUUUGUCGGACAGGUGUACGAUUCAUCCCUCCCCCUAGCUUUCUAGCUCUAUAUUUUACAUCUCUCCUACUAUGUAUACUAAGGCCCUGAAUAAAGGAAACAAAUAAUGGAGACAUGUCGUCCCAUGCUUGAAAAAUGUUUCUCGUCAAAGAUAUAUACAUCAUUGAUCGUUGAUAUAAACUCUCAGUUGUGUGUGGCGUGCAUAAUUAUUUAAUUACACGAAUCUAGCUAUUCAAUUGCAUAACCGAAUGAUCAUCAAUAAGGCAGAAUCAAGCUUUUGUGGUGUUCUUGUGACAAAAUAUUCUGCUUUUUUCGUUUAAGAAGAUGACAAAAUAUAGAAUACGUAGUGUAACUUGUUAAGUACUUGAAAAUACAGAGCUUAAUGAGACAGAUACUGGGGUUAUAAUAUAUUGGGGUUAUAAUAACUUACCGCCAGCAGGUCCUCAAAAUCAAGAAAGUACUUGAAACAUGGGAUACGUCGGAUGUUUAACGUUGCAAUCACAGAGUCUGUCAGGUAUUCACGCAUAUCCUCAAUUUGAUAGUGUCUGUCAAAGAGAUCUAUUUAUGGCUAUGCUUUGGUUAAUGAAAAAACUAAUGUAUCCCACAUCGAAGCGAUACAAAAAGGCAGCUAUGACAAAGGAUAUAAAUAAUGAGCGCUAAGCAACUGAAGAACAUACUUACCUGGACGGGGUCAAUGGGCGAUCAUGAAGGCCCAUGGCCUAGGUUGGUGGCCUCCAUUGCACUUGGGAGGUGCACCCGCCUAAGGUCAACCCAAAGUGGUUGAGCCUACGUCAUAAUUUGUGGCAGUGGGGGCCUGCGUUCGCGCGGCCCCCUCCCCAACUCAAUUAAAAUUUUAACUAUUUUUGUGCGCCAUUGUCUCAACGGUUGUCUUUUAACUUACAAUUAUUCUAAGAGAGUUUCAUAAUCCUGAGCAGACUGAAAAUCGAUUGUACAUUGUCGUGGUUGUGACUAGUGCUCUCAGGGUGUCACAAUCAGAUCUCUGCUAAAGUCAAGGCGUAUCUUAUUUUACUUACCUAAUAAGAUCCUAAUUAAGGUUUAUUUUAUUAUUUAAAAAUUAAAAAAAAAAACUGAAUAAUUAUAUCUGCUCACCUAAACGUUAGGCCCCAUCUUAACAUGUAGUUCCACUAAAAAAUUAGUUUUUCUUUAUUUUCUUGUUUAAGGUGUAGGAUUUUAAUAUUUUUUAAUUAUUUAACUUUAAAUCUUGAUCGAACUUAGACCGGAGAUUUAAUUAAGGAUUAUUCUCUAUUUUGAAAGUUAAAUUUCCAUCAAAUAAGGUUGUUUGAUGAUUUCUACUUAAAAAAAAAAUUCAAGGUAAUUAAAAAUUAUUAUGCUGAAAAUCUGUUAACGGUUUAUAUAUGAAAAAAAUUAAUCAUACAUAUUUAUGAUAAAAUUUUCAACCAAUCUCAUGUUAACUUCUUUUAAAUAAAAACUUUGCCUAAGACCUAAAAUUUCAUUGUGCCGACCUAAACCAUAGUUUAGGAUGGAUGGAUUUUGUUGACUUUUUUACCAUCUGACAGGUACAAUAUGAGUGCCUUAACUGACUUGGAUCCUUAUUAUCCUACUACGUGUAUGGCUUAAAUUGACUAUAAAGAAAAUGAGGCUGGAAAUGUAUUUAAUAUUCUAAAAGCUUGUCCGAAAUUGGCUACAAAUAAAAUAAGAGCAGAAAUGUAGUUUUUUUUUUUUGAAGUCGAGCAGAAAUGUAGUUAAUAUUCUGAAGUUGGUAGCUGAUUACAAUUUUAAUUAAUCAUUGUUCUCUUGAUCAUCAUUAUUUCUCUCACCCAAUGGAGAAAGACUGUAUAAUCGGGUCGAUUUAGGUGAUGCCGGGGUUUAGAAAAAAUAUUACAUAUUUUAUCUCAAACGAUGUGUCAUUUAUUAAGUAGUUGAUAAUUCUUUAUAAUCCAAUUGAAUUAAUUGUAUUAUCUCACCAAUAAAUUAAUGAAUAUUACAUCAAUUGUGAUAAUUUUUGGCAUAAAAAAUUUAAAAUAUAUAACAUUAUUCUUUUAUGCGGAGAUGGAAGCUUGCAAUUUAUCAUGUUCCAAUCUUGAAGACCAUGGAAGAAAGUUGACAAAGAUUGAAAAAAAAUUAUCACUUUCUACCCAAAAAAUAAUUUUAAGAUUUGUUUAAAUGAUCAUACAAUACUUAGUUUCAUAAAUGGAUACAUAAAUAUUUUUUUAUUAUUAUAGUAUUAUACCUUUUUGCAACUAUACCCAAAUUUGGUAUAGAAAUACAAAAUGUCAUUUUCUAUGGGGAGGCAUUCGAGGAUCGCAAAAAAACGAUGCCGACCACCUAAAAAAUAUAGGUACGAAAACUAUAUUUAUUAGAAAACUAUAUUUAAUUAUUUUUAUUAUGCAUUUUAAUCUUUGUAUAUAGUAUAUUGGCUUUUCAGUUCAACCACUCUUAAGGAUUUCUUUGAGAUUGAGGAUGAACGUUGUAUCCUAUAAGUAGCUUAUUUUAUAAGUUCUGAAAAAACCUAUAAAAUUCAUCUUUUCGAGCCCAAAAGUCAAAACAUGGCGACAUAUGUGUUGUUGAAUCGUGGAGUGAAAAAACCUAUCAAAUUCAUCUUUUCGAGAUAAAAAGCCAGACAAAUACCGAGGGCGGAACUAAGACUUUAAUUUAACAGGAGUCAUAAUAGAGGAUUUAAAAAAUUGAUUAGGUUGUCGCAUAAAAUUUAUAAAAUUGAAGAGGCAUUAAAAUGGAGAUUAUAAUAGUUAAAUUUAAAUCAUAAAAUUUAGUAUACCAUAAAAAAGGUCUAAGAUAUAUAUUUUUUUAAACAUGCAUGCAUGCAUGCUUCCGCCACAGUCAUACCCUAACGCAAACUUAAGACCGGUCUUAACAACGCCAAGUUUUUAAAGGGAGAUGGAGGAAAGAAAGAAAUACUCACUUGAUUCGAGUGCCCUCAAUGCCCCCUUAGACUUGACUCAUGAAUCAGUAGUUACUAGUGAUCACGUGGAAAUUGUCAACUUGCUGGGCUAAUUAUGCAAUAAUCGCUACGUGUUGUUAUAAACUUAUAGUUAGCGCAAAUAUGUUGUUGUUUUAUUUAACAAAUUAUUCUUAUUAAUUUUAAGAAAAAUAUUUAUAUCAGAAAUUGUUUCAUAAUUUGAAUUGGUCAUCAACUAGCAAAUAAUUAAGAGCCAUCAAUAUUUGAAAUGGUGGGAUGCUAAUAGCAAUAAAUCCGAGCACGAUUAAUACCAAAAAGUAAAACACGGCACCUUAUUUCAAAGUUUCAAUGAUUUUUUUUUUUUAUAAAAAAAAAGCACAUAACACGAUGGUCAACCAUACCAGGAAGAAAUAUCAGUUAUCUCAGAUUAUUAUAAUAAAAUCAGAAAGGUCGUUGCCCAGCAGGGCGAAGUGGCCCACCGAACACUGGCCCGCAGCAGGUCAGCUCCAUCGAAGGAUAAAGACGAGAGUAUCAAAAUGAAGUGACAGCCCGAGAUUUCAUUCAGUCAUAUCCUAAUCACGAUCAAGGAGACAAUUAAAUAAAAUUGAGUGGCGUACGUAUAAAUUAUAGAUUCAAGAGAGCUUAAUGGUUAAGGAUUAGAAAGUGCGGACUAGUACGCAAAGGCAAAUGAAAAGAAGAAACUGAGAAGAAACAUCAACGUCGAUGUAAAAUUAUGUAUUAAUUGUAGUAGAUGGCUUAUCUUUUUUUUUUUUUUCUCUCCCCCCACCCCCUCCUAAAGUCGGAAAACGCCAACAUUAUGCAUGGUUUGCUCAUGGACUCCAUGUAUCUUUCAUGUUUUGUUUAAGAAUGAAGCUCAAAUGAGGGCACUUGACUGAGUAUGGCAAGUUAUUUACGAGAUAAUCGAGAAAUUGCAAAGUCAGUAUCUUUCAUGCUGGUUAAGUAAAGAUAUUGGACGGUACGACUGUUAUUAUUUGUAAGGCCACGGUCAUGUCAGAGUUGCUACCGUGAAGCUCUAACGUAGCUGGAUCCUAUUUAUAAAUGUAAUGUGCAAAUAACAUGUUUUUAAACUUAAUAUAUUUUUAUUUAAUGUAUGAAAUUUGAAAUUUUAUUAAUUUUAGAUUUUUUUUAAAAAAUUAUUUAUUUUUUAUAACUUAUGUCUGAUUUAUAUAUGUUUGUAUCGGAAUAGAAAAAAUAAUUUUUUUUUUACUUUUAUUUGAAUAGAAAAAAGUCUAAAGAGAAGUAAAUAUUAUAUUUAAAAAAUAUUUGUAUAAAAUAUAUUUAUUUCUUAAGUUAUAAAAUCUAAUCUUUUUUGUUUUGGUUUGCAAGGAUAUAAAUGUCAAAGAAUUAUGUUUAAGUUUUUUUAUUUAUAAAAAUAAAAAGAUGUCGCUUAUAUUUAGUAUUAAAAAAAACAUAUCAUUUAAAUAUUCAUAUUUAAAUUCAUUCAGACAUUAGAAAAAUUCAGAAACAUUUAGAUUUCAGAUAAAAAAACAAACGCUACCUUAAACAAGGAAUGGUAGAAACCCCUAUAGGGAUGGGGCCUUGGGAAUUUUUUCCAUUUGAGGAGGGUAUGAAGAUAAUUUGAUAUUCAAUUUCUUAUUCAGAGAAGGAAUGAAGAUAAUUUUUUUAUAUCUAAUUUCAUAUCCAGGGAAGGGUCCACCCUUUCCUAUUUCCCCAUUUCCUAUUCUAAUUUUUAAUUUUUAAUUUAUUUUCCUAGAAUUAAUAGUGAAUAAAUACUAAAUUUUAAAUUGUAAAAUAUUAGAUAUUAGUGUAAGUAACAAAUAUGAAAAUGCUUAUACAAAUACUAUAAAUAUUAGUUAAUACAAAAAAAUUAUUGUAAUUUAGACUUAACUAUAGCCCAAAAUCAGUAAUCGCACAUGCCUACAAUUCACAAAUCAAAUUCUAAGUCACUCUCUCACAACAUUACACAUCCCUGCCAAAUUAUUUGUGCCAUAACUAGUAUCCAGCUUGUCAUCAUCUCAUCAUAGGUCACUAGUACAUUGCAUUGUUGGUGGCCGAGUAGUCUAACUCAUCGCGACGUCAACUCGUAGCCCCACACGUGGCUUCAUUGCGCUAUAAUCGACCAAGAGAUAUCAUUACUCAUGGACAACACUCACGUCAAUAUUGUAAAAGAAUCACAUUAUUUGAAUUUUGUUUUCAAAAUCAUUAUUUGAGUAUUGUAUAUACCAAAAGUUUGAUGGAGUAGAAUGAAAUAUAACAUGUUUAUGAUCAUUCUCAUUUUAUUUUAUAUGAUUAAAUUAAGUGCAAUAUGACCUAUUUAGAUUAAUAUGAUUAAAUUAAGUGUAAAAACUAAAAAAAUAUCAGUUAUUUGGGGAUUAUGGACCCUUAGAGAUCUCUUGUUAUUUUUUAGAGAGGGGAUAGAGAUCCCUCAAGCAAUUUUGAUGGGAACAAGAACCUAAGUAGAAUAUUAAGAAUGGGUACAGAGAUUACGAUCUCCUCUUUUCGUCUCUCCAUUACCAUUUAAGGUUUAAACAAUGAAGGAAGCACGCCAUUUUUAUCAUGAUUAUGUAAGUACGCGUGUCACACGUGCAAUCAAGCUUUGGAAAAUCAAUUGCUUUGGUUUGAUGUUGGAAAGCCUUCGUUCUACCAUCUCUUUUGUUUAAGAGACUUCUAAUGAGCAAAAAUUACGUGGAAACCCUUGUACUACCCAAAUAGAAGUCAUGUUUGUUGGUUAGAUUUCCAGCUAUGUAUUGCAUUUUACGUCACUCUCAAACUUCAAUAAAAUUGAGUCAAGUUGAUGAAAAGGUGAACAAAAGAAUGUAAAACAAAAUGUAAAUUCAAAUUUCUCGGUUUUCGCUUCAUAUAUGCAUUAAAAAUCGAACACUUCUAUGUUCAUUGUAUGUUAAUAUUUGCAACCAAUCACUCUGUCAAAAUUAAACGACUCUUGAUAUAUAUUAAUAUUAUUCGAAGAAUUUGAGUUUCUCUGCUGCAAACGAUAUGUUUGGCAAAUCUAGGACUAGAGUGCUCUAUUUAUAUUUAUUUUUGGGAUGAUUUAUAACAAGAGAUUUCUUAUAUAUAUUUUAGCUUUCCUUUUGUUAUUGUAGUUGUCUAACUAUUUUGAGGGGUAAGGCUCACUAUGUCUCCCUUAAUUAGAUAUAAAUUAUUUUUGGUUUUCAAUAAAAUUACAUCGCCAGCCAAGUUUCAUUGAAAAAAAAUUAUCUAUUUAUUUAUUUUUUAAUGUUAGGAGAUCCUACAAAACUUAAAUCGAUUUAUUUAACCUCAUAUCUCUCCAAACUGUUUGAAAACUACUUGGUCAAAUGCAGGACUUUAAUUCUAACAUAUCUUGAUAGGUCAUGGAUAUAUUAGAGUGGUUCUAAGGAAAAACACGAGUCACAUCUUGGUAGUGUCGUAUUGUCGUUAGGGUGCACCAAAUUUAAAACCUUACUACUAGUAUAAAUAAUUAGUACAGAACGAGUAAGGAUCGAUCCCACAGAGACUAUACUAGUUAUAUUUAUUAUCAACUCUAAAGCAAGACUUAAAAUAAAAUAAUAAUAGAAGUAAUUAAUAUAAAUUAAUCUAACUAAAGAAAAUGCCAAUUAAAAAGGGGAGUUUUUGAAUUUUUAACUAAAUAGCAAGAAAUAAAGAAAUUAAACUAUGAAAACAAAAAUUUAAUAAAAACUCUAAUUAAAGAAGAAAGAAAUAAUAAUGAUGAAAACUUUGGUUAAAGGAUUAUUCACCACCACCAAACAUGCACAUAAUAUAUCAAUUUUAUCAUCAAUUUAUAUUGAAACUAUCAACCGUAGACAACAACAAACUCUGUUAGUCUCAAUCUUUCCUUAGUGUGUCGUUAGGCAAAACAAGCUCUUCACCUAAUCUCUAACCAUUAAAUAAUUUAAAACAAACUCUUUAAAUUUAAGAGAAUGGAAGCAUUAAGUAGAGAAAUAUAUUAGGUUGAUCUAGACAAUAAACACACAAGCUCGGAUUAUUUAACCUAGGUUAUGUUCUCCAAUUGAAAUCACUGAUUCCAACCUGCUACUUAAUCUCAAGACAAUUACGGAUCAAGAAUUUUAAUCUAACAAUAGAAUUUAUUCAAGUCCUAUCUAAUUGGCCACUCAAACAAGACGAGAAUAAAAUCAUAAACAUUAAUUAUAGAAGAACAUAAACAAUCUCAAUUAAAUAAAUUGAAUGAUAUAAAUUAAAAAUUAAUCAUAUGACAUGUUUGGGGUUUUGAAUUCACCAUCAACUAAAUAGAAAAUCUAGCUUAACAUAAUUAAAUUGGGAAUAAAAGAACUGAUAAAACCAAUCACGGAGAUUAAUUUAAGCGGCUGCCUUUUUCUUCAAUUCCCUUCGGCUGGUGAUUUUUUUUUUCUCCUUUGCGACUGCCAAUCUAUCUAUAUAUAUUAAGUUGGGACUUGAGGAGGUGAUGUGGCAUCACCAUUUUUCAUAUUUGUAUAUUCUCUAUUAUCUAAUAAAUAGAGAAAUUUUCUUUUAAAUUUGGCUUUUCAUCUACUCAUAAUUAAUUUGAUUGUUAUUACACAAUAACAAUUAUGUAAAUAUUUUAAUGAGACAUAUUAUUUGUAGUGAACAUCCAAGGGGGGGUGUUAUGAAUUUAUUAAAAUAAAUGUAGAUGUUCAUAACAUAUAUCUCUUAGUCUCUCCACUAUCUCUCAUUAGCAACCUUUAGCUUUCCUAUAACUCCCACUAUCUCACAAGAAAUUAUGUUCCAUAAUUUUUCAUUAAUUUUAUGGAGUGAUUAUGUAACUAUAAAAGGAGAGCUCAUCUUUUUGUUUUGUACACACACAAUUGAAAUGAAUAAAAUUACUCUAUAAUAUAUUCUCUUAUUUUAUUCUUUAUCUUGCGUUGCUUCUUUAUUUGUAUUGUUGGCUAAUAGCUUUUUUUUGUUUUUUAUAAGGCUAAAAAAAAUCAAUUUAUAUUUUUUAUCAGUUUUAUCAAGUGUAAAGUAAGAAAAAAAGAUAAUACUAAAUUCUUUUUUCAAAGCCACGUGAAGCGCGGUUCUAUUUUCUAGUUGUUUUGUAUGUGUGGCUGCCGAAUAUAUAUUCCCCCUCGUGUUGCUUCCACUUGGCCCUUAUAUAAUGCUUCAAUUGUGGCUUUUAAAUCCUUGCAUGGAAAGAAUUAAAUCCAAGCAAAAACCGCCACUUUCAUAACGUGCUUGCCAUUUAAAUUGUCAUGCAAAACAUUUAAAUUACAUGCAAAAUAUUUCCAAUUAGAGCAUUCACAAACUCUUUUGAUUGGCCAUGCUUAAAGCCAAAAGGCUUUAUUCUUUUCUUCCUCUCACGUGCUGGAUGGCAAUCUCCUUUUUCCAAUUUUAGCUCCAUGCGAUGGCUUAGCUUGUAAUUGGCUUGGCUUCCUUUAGCUCCAUGUGUAAAAUUAAUUUUGCUUGGCCCGUACAAGCUCUAAUUGGAAAAUAUUCUUUAUUUCUCCAAUUCCUGAUCUCUUGUGCACUUUUGUCUCCCAAUCUUUAAUUCUUUUCCUAUUUUGAUUCUCUCAAUCAGAUUUCUUUCAUGAAUGCUCCGAUUUAAUAUCUCUUUAAUAUCAAAAAAUACUUAAAAUAACAAAAUAAAAAAAACUAAGAUAAAAAUUAACACAAUAAAAAUAUAAUUUACUAAAUAAAAAAUUAAUUAAAAUAACUAUAAUAUUUAAGACCAAAACAAGAAAAAGAUGGAGAAAUUAAUAGCAAAAUAUAUGAAAAAUAUGCACUUAUCACAUCUACACAUGUAAAGUGAUAAAUAGUAAAAAGUAUGUUAUAACUUUAAUCGUAUGAUUAUGAAGGAGUGUUCCACCGUGAAGCAGUUCCAACAUAGCCGGACUCAUCUUGAUAAUAUAAUAUGAGUAAUAAAUUGACACUUACUUGGCAAUUAAGUUAAUUAUUAAAAGAUGUCACACGAUUAGCAUUUAGAUAAUUGAUAAACCACAAAGUUAAAUAACACUAUAAACAUCAUAAUUAAUGACAUGUGUAACAAUGAUUUGAGACAAACUAUAUAAACCCCAGUUUCGUAAAUGUAAUACAAUAAAUUAUUAUUGUAUAUUAUAUUUCGAAUUCAUCCGUUACACCGUAAGAUUGAAUUAAUAAAUAUCAAAUAAAUUAAUGGUCAAUUAGCAUCAUUUUCAUCCGAUUAAACUUUCAUAAAAUAACAAUGAACAAAACCAUCCAAUAACUCAUAAAUAAUAAAUCAUAAUUAACUAUCUUAAACAAAUUCCUUAACAAUUACAACUACCGUCUUCAUUAUGUAAACAACAUCGGAGUAAAAGUAAAGCAGCACAGAAAACUCUAUGACGAGGUGGCAACUGGCAUCCAAGAUGACCACGGAGGUGGUGGGCCGAGAUCAGUUGGAUCAGGAGGUCCAGGUGGGCCCAUUGGACCACGAAAGCAGCCUUGUAGCAACCAGCAGCAGCACAGAAAGCUCAAGCUGUCAUAACAAACCCAACGACAAGCAACCGAACACCAGUAUUAGCUUUUUCCGCCACUGAGAAUUUUUUUUUGUCAACGUGUCAAUUUUUUCGUGAUUGUUCAGCUGCAUCUUAAGUUCCCAUUUUGACACGUGUCACUGUAUCUUUACACUACAUCAUGUAUCAACGAUGUUUACUUGGUGCACUUCAACAAUGAAUGGGACUAACAGAACAGCACAUGGAGAAUUUUGAUUUUUGAAAACCUCAACAUCUAAAUUCGAUGUUUAAUUACUUUCCAUGAACCGAUAACUUCACAAAAGCCACCGAAAGAGUCCAGCAGUCCAAGUAGUGGUGGACCCCACACAGGUGGCCCUCCAGGUCCUCCCGGUCCCAUUGCUAUUUGCUGAUUACUGUUGCCGGCUCUUUAAGCAAAGUUAGUUAACACCAAGGAAAUUAACAAGAGACUUUCAGAAGUCCAAACUCGCUCUUGCUUGUGUAUAUAGAGAUGCAAAAUGUUUUUAUGUUAAAUGAAAGUGGUACAAAUGCCACAAGGUUUCUUGUGUUUAUAGAAAGUGCAAGCUUAGGAUUUAAGCAUCCAUCUUUGUUGCCACAUUUGCAUCUAAUACUUUCCAACUGCUAGUCUUCUAUGUCUAACAUUCAAGACCCUGCUCAAGAAUGAUAGCAAUUACCAAUCACACGCUCAUUCAAUAAUUCAAGUGAUAAUCUCUUAAGUUAAAACCCAUUUAAUAAUCUAUGGAGGAUUUGUGCCCACAAAUGUGACCGAAUGGUUUUUAAAUAAUUUUAUUUAAUUAGCUACCCAACUUCAAAUCUUAAGAGAAAUAAGGGAUUUAAACAAAAUGAAUUUGAUCAAAAUGAAUCUGGACUUUGCUCACUGCAUUGAAAAAAAAAAAAUUACAGAAGAUUGAUCGACAAGAGUCUUCAGUGAUAAGCAAUUAGAUCAUAUUUUACUUUCCAGAAGAUGACAUGUCUCAAAGAGGUUUAAGCCAAAAAAUUCCCAAAACGCAAUAAUAGAUGAACAAGUGUGAUUAGAAAGUGCCACCAAGAAAUGAAAAGAAUACUAUAACUAAUAAAUCUAUAAAUCUCAUUUCCAUGAUGACAUUAUAGCAGUGGGUUACCAACCCCAAUUGAAUUAUAUAUAUAUAUUUACUCGAAAAUUAGGUUAGAGGGUAAACUGAUUACACAAAUUCUAUAGAAAAAUGGCCAAAAAGGCUGCCUUUUGCCUCUGUAUAUGUGAGCUAACUUUUAACUAGUAUUCUCUUCCAGAUAAUUCAUCCAUAUACAACUCUGCAAAUCACAAGAAUCCUUCACGAAAUGGCCGCCAAUCCAAUAGAUUUCCCCUCUUCAGUUUCUGUUUUCUGGUCUUGCUGAAAAGAGAAUGCAACAGACUAGUAAGUAGACUACAUUUGAAGAAUUGCAGAUUCGCUUGAAUUGAAAAUAAAAAUUAAGGCAUUUAUUAAAAUGGCUUCUAGAACAGCUUAAGGGGUAGUAUGGGCAGAUUAGUAAAAGGAUGGAAGAGAAAUUAUGCAAGAAUGCUUACUUGAAACAUUUGUGAUAACAUUAACACUUUUCUGAGCAGCAAGAGCUUUCAACUUGUUCCCACUACCUAGUACAAGCAAGCUCCUCAUAUGUUGCUUUUGUUCCCUAGGACUAGCUGUCUUUGUUGUUUGGAUAUUCUCACUUCCUAUCUUUUGAAAAAGGGAAAAAAGAAAACUUGCUUAGCGACGCUUAAUUACUGCUGUUAAUAUUCUGGCCAUUUAACAAACUUAUGCCCAUCGUUUGGAAAACCAAAAAAAUACAAUUAUUUUUCCAAGAAUAUAAGCAUGAAGAAAACUGAAACUAAGAAUGAAAUCUGAGAGGUUCAAAAGGCAUAUAUAUGAAUUAAAAUGAAGUUGAUUAUAAUAAGGGCUAAUAUCAUCAUUUGCAAAGCAAAAAAACCAAAAUAAGAAGCUAGUUUAGAGUUUCUUAUCAGCUAGCUCUAAAGAAAGACAAGUGCAGCAAAUUAAAGAUGGUUUUUUAAACCUCUCUAAUCUUAAACAUAAGUAGAUGAGGUGCCAAAUGCAUGGAUGGAUCCAGUACCGUAAGUAACAAGGCAGCUUCUUCUAAUUAAGCAUAUCGUCCCGUCUGGUUAUUUCCGUUUGCCAGAACGCAACCUCACCCAUGAUCACAUAAUUAUCCACCAACAAAACAAUCGUUGCCAAGGUCAUAAUCAAGCCAUCAUCAGACAGCCCGUGCUCUCCACGGACGGCAGCAGCUAUAACCUCGUGAUAAAUCCAUAACAUUUUCCAUCCAGAAACGAUGUGCGGGACCCAAAUCUGCACUACGAAAAGCACCACGAAAGAAGUUGAGCAACAAAGGUACGUAAAUCGAGAGAAGAAAAUAAUACACAUUGAUGCUUAAAGAGAGCAGAACGCCGGCCCGCCUGCUUUGUGUGCAGACAUGAGAUAAAGCUACUGCGUAUUGUUCCCAGUAAAAGAUCGAAGAAGCUGAUUCGAUUCUGAUGCUGAAUCCCCAGACCAAGACUAAGGUUGGAGCAAGGGUUGCUAUGCCUGCAUAUUCAGAGCCCAACACCUCCGCGAACAACAUCAUCCAGCUGUUUAAGUUUGUGAUGAGCAUCAUUGUUAACAAAGAUGACAUGUCGGGAAGAAGCUCAUGAUUGUGGGUUGGCCAAAUGGGCAUUUUCCCUUUUUCUAAAAUAUUUUUUUCCUCGGUACUGUAUGUAACUUGUCUGUUUGGCUUCUGGGAAAAUAAAUAUGAGAGGAGAAAGCGAUUGGAGAAAAUUUAGCUGAAUUACACGAUGAGGAUUGGAAUUGAGGGAGUCCAAACCAUGUGCUUCUACUCUGUUAGUGCACAAAAUGGGAAAUGGCAGAGAACUCAAAUUAAAGCUUCACAAAAUGGGAAACACCUAUCUAAUAUAAAGUGUUGGGUGGAAGUGACAAAUUAAGGAAUUUUGAAGGUCAUAGUCAAUUUAUAGACUUCAUUAAUUCCAAUAUCUUAUUAAUUUCUGACAUUGAAAAUUAACAUAUCGUAGACUUGUUGAGCUGUACAAAACUCGUUACUCAUUCCAGUCACUUUAUUUCUCAAAUUUAUGAUCUUUCAAAAAUCUUCUCAACUCCCACUGUUAUUGCCGGUUUUUCUGUUGAUCAAUUAAAAUUCAUUUCUUCUGUUUGAAUGCAGGCACAUUUAUUUUUCAUCAAUUUUUUUUAUUUACGCAUAUCUACAUUUUGAGUAAUUGUAAAAAAUUAUGUAUGGGAAUUAAGAAUUAUUGUUAUGUUAUUAACCAAACUCUCAAGAUUUAAAAUGCAGUGGAAAGUUUUGUAUGUUUCAAUAUUAUUUUUUUCAAUAUUUUUUGGAGAAACAAUUGUUCAAAAAAAGUAAAGUCAAAAAGCGAGAAACUUUUGCCAAAAAUUGAAAAUAAGACUUGUACUCCAAGUUAUUGCUAUACGCCCACACAUAACAUAUAUCUCUAGAAUAAAAUGAUGAAUGAGUAUGUAGAAGAUGAAAAAUUCAAGAACAGACCAAUAAGUCUAAAAGAAGAAAUAUUAAUUAGAUGUGAAGAUGAUCGGUAUGAACUUAACGUGUUAUUGGAUUGUUUGAAAUCUUGUAUUGUGAAGAUGGAUACAAUAUUGAAGCUAAUCAUGACAAUGAGUGAACAUGAUAAAAUAAUCAGCGUUCAAAACCAUUUGAGCAUUUUACAAUUUAAAUGCAUAGAGAAAUUGUAAGAUGGAUGGAGUGAUGAUGCCACAGAGGCAUUGAUUAAUCAAUUAAGGUUACUUGAUUUUAACCUAAAAAGACUUACUUGCCUUUUGAACUUUGUAACAGGCUAAUAUUUAUAUUUAAUUUUCUCCAUUAUUUUAGUAGUAUGUUUGUCUAUAUUGUUUAUCAUGAAUAUGGAUUUUAAAAUUUUAAGAACCUUGCUUUUAUAAUUAAAAAAAAAAGAGAAAAUAAAGAAAACAACGAACAACAGAAAUAGAUAACGAAUACAUAUUCUUUAAAAAAUUUUAAAUAAUUUAUAUCUAAAAAAAUAAUUAUGGGUAAUAUGAAAACAACGAACAACAGAAAUAGAUAACCACAUGCUUGUGUGGUAUUCACAAUACUGGCUUUUCCUUUGCCCGUGAGCAUCAGAGAUUCGAGUGAACAAGUUCACAAUUCACCUAAUUUGCCGAAUUUGAACCUGGUCAGAAUUAUGGGUAAUAUGAAAACGCUAAGAUUGUGUGCAGAAGAAUCACCGCAAAGUCUCCCUCCCUUUGUCCCCAUAUAUACCUUUCUAAGAUCUCUAUAUAACUAUACAAAUUUUGGACGUGUGGAAUUAGCAAAAGGAUCAGGUAAUAGAAGUUAUCAUGUAAAUGUAAAUAUGUGAAUGAAUUUGAGUGGUCAAUGUCGGUGUCAUAAUUCAUUAGGAAUCAACCUUUGGAGCCAACGGAGUUAUUCUCAGAUAUUUCAGUGUGGAUGGUACAAAUUGAAAUAGGUGUGGCCCAGUUAUUGAGAUUAUAGUCUGGUGCCGCUUGUGCAACAUAGUAAGAUCAUUUGGUUUUCAUCCCUGAAGAAAUUUUGGAAAUGAAAGGCUUGAUCCAUUCAAAGGUAUAAAUUAAAACUUGAAUUUGCAUAUGGCCAAUCACCUACGCGGGUACAUCAUCAUUUUCUGCUCCCCGCGCAUAUCGCCCAAAGUUGCAUCCAUUUUCACUGUGAACAGCUUUAACAAAGCAAGCAUGACACUGAACACAUGAUGCAAUUCUUAGCAUGCAAGAAGGCUGGUGGUUAUUAGAAUCAAUAAAGGUGUUUGGCAAAAGAGAAAGUGAAAGAAAACUUUAACUAAGAAAAUUCUUAUUGAUUAAAAUAUGGAAUUAUUCAUUAUGAUUGUGUUAACAACUAUUUAUAGUUACACUAAAAACUGAUUACAAAAGCAGAGCUCAAAGCUGCAACGUUAACGAACUAAUCAGCCUUCCAAUCAUAACGUGCCAGCUGGAUAAAUCGUUACAACUUAAUCAAAACCAAAUAACCACCCAAUCCAGCUCAGCAGCUCAGCACGUCAUCAGCCAGCUCAGCAGCUUUAGCUUAUACACUUAACAUCCCCCCUCAAGCUCAACCUGGUGUAGUCAGGGUGAGCUUGUCUUUCAGAUAAUGAAAAGGGUGAUAAGCUAAAGCUUUUGUAAGGAUAUCAGCUGAGUUAUGGGAACUGGGAACAUAACUAACUUGGAAGCUCUUAUUAGCAAUCUUUUCUAGCAAGAAAUGAACAUCAAGUUCUAUGUGUUUAGUUCGGGAGUGGAAUUUGGGAUUGCUUGCUAAGGCAGCAGCACUUUGGUUAUCACACCAAAUGACAAGAGUAGAGACAAGAGAAAUACCAAUUUCAGUCAGCAAGGACUUAAGCCACAAAACUUCAGAUGUAGCAAUUGCUAGAGCUCGAUACUCUGACUUAGUGCUAGACCUGGACACUACUCCUUGUUUCUUUGAACACCAAGAAAUCAUAUUAGGACCAAAGUAAACAUAAUAUUCAACAAUUGAUUUUCGAUCAUCUCUAUCAGCUGCCCAGUCUGCAUCACUGAAACAAUCUAUGUGUAAGGGACCUUGAUUAGAAUACUUUAAUACCAUAUGCAAUGUACCCUUUAGAUAUCUAAGAAUCCUUUUGCAUGCUUGCUAGUGAUUAUUUGUUGGUGCAGCUAGAAAUUGGCUGAGUUUGUUGAUUGGAAAUGCUAUCUCAGGUCUGGUCAAGGUAGCAUACUGAAGAUCUCCAAUUGUGCUUCUAUACAAAGUUGCAUCAACAAAGAAUUCAUUGUCAGUUUUGGUAAGUGGAACAUUGGCAGCCAUUGGACCUGUGUUUACACUUAUAAGUUACAUGGCCUGAAAUGAAAUAGAUUUGACACACAUCUUUUCCAGGACCAGUACUACUGUUCUGACUGUUAUCAUAAGCACUAAAAGUACCAGCACCUACAUUUUUUUGAUUAUAUCCAGAUCUAUUAUAACCUUGGCCAUUCUGAGCAAAAUUUGUUGUCAUAUCAUGCAGAGAUUCAUUAUGAGAUUUUCCUUUGCUCAUUUCCAACCUAGUUUCAUGACUAAGCAUCAUAGAAUACACCUCUUCAACAAUGAGUUUCUCUUUUUCCAGUCUAGUAAGUAUAUUUGUAACUAAAGACUCAUAGUUAUCAUCUAAUCCAGUAAGCAAGUGCAUAAUCAAUUCAUUUAAAGUAACUGAAUUACCUCUAAUGGCCAAACUAUCAGUAAUUUUCUUCAUCUUAUUAAAAUAAUCACUUACUGAGAGUGAUAUUUUCUUUGUUGAUUGAAGUUGCAUCUUCAAAGGCAGAUACCUCGCUUUAGAUUGUGACAUGAAGAUUUCGGCAAGUAUCUCCCAAAGCUCAAGUGAUGUUUCACAGUUGAUCACCAUGAUUAACACGUUAUCCACCAUUGACGAUAGCAUCCAGCUCUGCAGAAGCUUAUUGGUUUUCAUCCAUAAAGCAUAAUCUGGAUUUUUUUGUUUCUGUGAAGCUUCAGCUCUAGAUCUUCCAAGUUCUUGAGUUGAUUCAGUGAGAUAACGUUCUGGACACACAUUCUCACCAUUGAUAAAGCUUUCAAGUCCAUUAGCAAUGAUUGAUGUUCUAACUUGAGCCUUCCACACUAGAUAGUUUGAUAUGUCGAGCUUUACAGGUUGAACAAAGUGAAAUAAGAGUGAGGAGGAAGCUAUAUGAUUGGAUCCAGACAUAAGUGUUUGCUCUGAUACCAUAUUAGAAUCAAUAAAGGUGUUUGGCAAAAGAGAAAGUGAAAGAAAACUUUAACUGAGAAAACUCUUAUUGAUUAAAAUCUGGAAUUAUUCAUUAUGAUUGUGUUAACCACUAUUUAUAGUUACAUUGAAAACUGAUUACAAAAGCAAAGCUCAAAGCUGCAACGUUAACGAACUAAUCAGCCUUCCAAUCAUAACGUGCCAGCUGGAUAAAUCGUUACAACUUAAUCAAAACCAAAAAACCACCCAAGCCAGCUCAGCAGCUCAGCACGUCAUCAGCCAGCUCAGCAGCUUCAGCUUAUACACUUAACAGUGGUGCUGUUAACAUACAAGAGUUCCUUUAAACACUUCACUAGCUAAACCCCACCCCCCCCCCCCCCCUCCUGCCCCCGCGCCCGGGGGAGCCCAAAAAUGCUUGAGGGAAAUCCUACCAGGCCUUAACAUGGUUUCACCACUGUCAAAACCUGAAAUUUUGCAUAUGAUUGGAGUUUUUUUUUUUUUUCCUUUUUCAUAGAUAAUUUUUUUGAAUUCUUUGCUGCAUAAAUCCAAUUCAGUUUCUUUUAUUUCACCGGUGAAAUAUAAUAAAACAUAAGGCAAAAUAAAAUGUGUAUUCAGACUAGUUAACCAUGUACAAUCUUUCAAUAACCAAUAGUUCAUGCAGUGUAGAAGGAGAACAAAUGUUUGUAUUGGAUAAUCAAGAGCUGCUGCUGGACCUACCGUAAGUAAUAAUUUCUUGUAGUUUUAUCAUUGCCAGGACUUCAAAAUCUAAACUUCAAAACCUUAAACACGCUUUGCUUUUAUCUUCAACGGAGUGAAUGAACUGGAAUUGAUGGUCAAGUCAACGAGGUGUCACAUUUGAAAGAGUAACCUCAUUAACAGAGCAAACUUCGGCACCCGAUGAGAAUUGACCUGGCCUUGCAACAUUUCGGCCUACAGAAAAUGCAGGUUCGGUUGGUUGAGGAAGUGUUACAGUAUCGCUUGCUAACAUAACAACCACAGAAGACAUGGUAGGUCUGUCUGCUGAGUCUGCUUGAACACAUAAUAAUCCAAUAUGGAUAAAUUUCAAAAGUUCAGCAGCAACGCAUGACUGCUUGAGUACUGGGUCCAUCAGCUCCAAUGCUUCUCCUUCACACCAUAGCUUCCAUGUCUAUAAUAUUGUUAUACAGGUCAUAAACAAAGGUGAGACUCAAAAUCAUUGGAUAUUAUUCUUCAGAAAGAAAGAUAGAAAGUCACUUACAUAAGAAAGGAGGCUUUGACCAAGUUCAGAUAGAUAAAACCCAGUGUUCUUUUUCCCACUGAUGAUUUCUAGCAGUAGAACGCCAAAACUGAAAACAUCUGAUUUUACGGAAAAUAAUCCUUCCAUAGCAUACUCUGGGGCCAUGUAUCCACUGUUUGAAAACAGAACAACAUAAGAUCAAAUGCCAUAGAAAAGCUAAUGACCUAUGUGACCUCCGUAUUUUGAAUCUGGUGACAUGAUCAUGAGGUCACAUAUUCAAACCAAAUGCAAUAGAAUACUGUUAGCAAAUUAAUUAUUGGAAACAGAGAAAACAGAGAGAGAUGGGAAUGGAAUGCACUUACUAUGUUCCAACAAUUCUAUUGGUAUUAGCUUCACUUUGGUUUCCACCAAAUAUCCUAGCCAUCCCAAAGUCUGAUAUCUUCGGGUUCAUCUCAUGAUUGAGUAAAACAUUACUAGCUUUGAGAUCACGAUGAAUAAUUUUGAGUCGAGAGUCCUCAUGUAAAUACAAAAGACCCCGAGCAAUUCCAUUAAUGAUGCUUAUGCGUCGUUUCCAGUCCAGUUGUACACUCCUCGUUGAAUCUGAUAAUGAAUUAGACAGCAUUUAACCUGAUUAGCUACUUUGUCAUCUACUCUUCUAUGGAAAGGAAGCGGGGAAAAUAAUAGGAAAUGGAAAGACUUGGCUACAAUUGCCAUAGUGCCUAGUAGGGGGCAUAUAAUGUGCAAACCAUAUAACAGGGCCACUUCAAUUAUACAAGCUGGAAUUAAACAAAACAACCACAGGUUCUAUUUGCACAACUUAACAACUAGCAAUUAAGGAAAUAGAAAGUCUGAGAAACAAACCAAAGAGGAAGACAUCAAGGCUUUUAUUGGGCAUGUACUCAUAUAUAAGCAGUGAUUCAUUUUCCUCUAAGCAGCAGCCGAACAGCCUCACAAGAUUUUUAUGUUGCAAUUUGGCGAUUAGAGUAACUUCAUUCUUGAACUCUUGUAGGCCUUGCCCAGAUGUUCUUGAGAGCCUCUUCACUGCUAUUUCCUUGCCAUCUGCUAAUUUACCCUGCAAGCAACUUUCCAUUUAUUGUUACCGUGAAAGUUUUGUAUGCGUACGGAAAACGCAAGUUUCCGCUGACAUGAACUCAUUUCCAAAUACUGCAUUCGGUGAAUACUUAUGUAUAUUUAAACAAGCGUACAGUAAAAGUGGAUUGGUAUGAUUAAUAGUUGUUUUUUUAGGCAACUGUACUAAAGUGUUUAGUAAAUUAUUACUUGGAAACUAAGUUAAUUUAUACUAAAGUGUUUAGUAAAUUAUUACUUGGAAACUAAGUUAAUUUAUACUAAAGUGUUUAGUAAAUUAUUGCUUAGAAACUAAGUUAAUUUAAUCUCACAUUUGUAUGAUGAAAAAAUUAUAAUUUUUUUUUAUAAUUUUUGUCAAAAUUAUCAUUUAAAAAUCAUAUGUACUUUUCAAAAAUUUUAUUUUAUAAUUAUAAUUUUUUUUCUUUUUACAGUAAUUAUAACUUAAAUAAUAUAAUACCUUGAUAUGAAAUACGACCUUAAGCAUCCCUUUAUAAUUACCUUGUAAACAGCCCCAAAUCCGCCUUCUCCAAGCUUAUUUUCAUCAGAGAAAUGCUGCGUAGCUUCAACUGCGAGAUGUAACGGAAACAAAGGGAACUCUUGAGAUUCUUCCUGCUUCUGUCCUCGUAAAGCAUCAUACGUAUAGUCGUUGCCAAGUCUACCGUCUGCUAGAUGAAGCAGCCCUGUCUCUUGACUAUUUGCUUUCUCCUCUGCAAAACAACGGAUUAAUUAACUUCGUAAACUAUGAAUUAGAACAAGGGAGUGGUCGAGUUACCUUUGACCCUUUCCUUUCUUCUCUUUAUACACCGAAGUAAAAAACUAAAUAGCACAAGUACUAUAAUUGAUGAUACAGUGGCGCCGAUUGCAAUCCGUGUUCUGCUUUCCCUCGUUUUCUUCUUUCCCGAAUCUAACAUAUAGCCAAGUUAAAGAAUCUCUGAGGAAAACUCUUUCUACAUCUUAUGUUAUGUUUAAUUUAUAUAGAAUUAAGGAACCUGAGAUUUACGAACUCACCGUCGGAGCUACCAUUCUUCUUAUUAGGUGGAUAGAUGGGAGCCGUAGGGUCCUCAAAGAAAGGGUACAUCUCGUAUCUUAUGACACAACUUAGCGAAAGGGCUCUAACACCUUGCCUUCCGUAGCAGCAGGAUGAAAGUCGAGAAACAGUAGCGCGCAGGCAAAUAUUGCAGUCUGAUUUAGACAGAUAUGGUAUGCACUGCACUAGAGUCCAAAUUCUGUCAAUGCUAGAGACGUUAACUAUUUGGGCUGCAGCUGCAUAUUUUGAGUUAGAAUCCCUUGAGGUUACAUUUUGAAUUAGAUCACUGAAGGACUGAGCCAAAAUAUUAGAGAACUUAUAAGGGUCAGUAACGUUCAUUAUAUUCCGUAGGUAUACAGUUUCCGAUGUAUUUAGCGAAAAGGGAAAAGAAUUGUUAGAGAAGCGCACCAUACACUGAUCAUACCAUACAAUAGCCACCUUGGCGCCAGUACAAUUUUUCGCAAUGGUAUCGAAUGCAACUUGUAUGCAGUCUUGGCAUGCCUCAUAAGAAACGUCGAAUUUACAAUUGUAAAUACCAUAAACUUUGUCUGGGUAAUCCCCUUCAGUUGUCUCGUUGUAGAGAGAACGGCCACCUUCAUUGUAGAGCUUUUCCUUGAGUGUCGCAAGGUUAUACAUGAAUAUGUCGCCCGAAGCAGUAUUGUUUUCUCGUGGGCAGGCAUGGUAGAGAUAAUUAUUGGAGUCAAGUUUAGCCGCCUCUGACGAACUUUGUAACAGAACUAAAGAUAGAAAUGAAAAAAGGUGAAGCAGGUUAACUGUGCUUCUAGUUCUCGGGCCAAAUAAUACGAGCAGAAUCGGCAUCUUCCCCUUGCUCUUCAAUUCUGAAAAUUUUGAGUUCCAAUGUCAAGAGGCUGAAUUAAGGCACAAGCAUCCAACUAGAAGUAAACAGGAUUAAUGAUGAAUACAAGACGAGUUAACAUAUUAGAAAAGUCGUGGGUCACAUUUGAUGGUAAAAUUUCUUAUGUUGAAAAAUAAGAGAUUUUAGGUUCGAAUCCCAUUCACAUAACUUGUAUUGGGAUUGGAUUUUCAUUAAGCUAAAUAACCAAAGACCAAUGAAAUUGAAAAGUCAAACAAAAGACCAUUGGUGAAGUCUAAGAAACCAAGGAAGUCUGUACAACACGGAUCAUUGAUAGUUUCCUGGCAUCCUCGUAUUGGAGAUUAAGAACAGGAGGUGUUUUUUUUAAAAAAAAAAAACUUAAAUAGACCUAAUUAAUAAAGUUAAAUGUCUGAAUUUGAAUGAUAUAUUUAUCUUUUUUGUGUCUAAAUUCAUAUAAAUAAAUAUUAUUAUUUUUUAACUUAAAAAAUCUGAAAACUAAUAUUUUAAUAUUUGUACCUUUACAAAUUAUAAAUGUUAAACAAAUAAUAAAUGUCUCAAAGAAUAUAAAUAAGAUAAUAUAAUAUCAUAAUUUAAAUAAUUUUUAAUUAAAUACAAUCUUUUUAUAUUCUGAAUUCGUAUAUAUUAAUUAAUAUUAUUACAAUUAUGAUGUUUUUAUAUAAAAAAUAUUCAUAAAAAAUUAUAAAAUUAAAUAAUGAAACGACCAUAAAAAAGUCGUGCAUGUCUGUGGAGGCCCUACUUAAUUAAUUUUCAAAGACGCGGCCAGCCCAAACAGCACGGAAUUAGACUUAAGAAAGUCAUCUCUUUAGCAGGAAUUAUUAUUCGCCGGCGAACUUUAAUCAAAUGACCAGAUUCAAAACAAGAAAAAGAAACUCAAUCAAAUGAAAUUCUUAAAGUAAUAAUUAUACAACACAUUUUUCAGUGUUAAAAAUAAUUAUUAAUUAUCAAAUUACCAAAGCCUAUUACUUAUCCACGGAUUAAGAUGAUUACUUUGAAAAGUUUUGUUAUAUAUAUUUCACUGAUGAAUCUGACGGUGGAUGACAGUUUGAUUGGUACUUUCCUUUAGAGGGAGUGAGUUAGGAUGCACUUUUGCUUAGGACAAGUUGAAAGAAUCAUACAUAAACUUUGAAGCAUAAAUUAAACUAACUCCUGCUUAGGAGAAGUUAAGAUCGUGAAAGAAUUAUAUUAAGCUUUUAGACAUUAAUUAAACUAACUAUGAUCGAAUUCACCACAAAUGUAUAACAUAAUUUGUUGUGUAUAUAACUGUAUAACAUAGAUUAAAAAAAUUAACUUUUUUGUGUCUUUAGAACUAAUAGGUAUAUACCAUAAGAUAUUUCUUGAUAUCUCACACUAAGUAUUAUGAACUCAUAGUAGCUAAAGGUCGACAAUAAUAGAAGUCAAGGUCGACAAUAAUACAAGUCAAGUUUUCAUCUUAAUUUUUAAAAGAUUAAUAAAAUUUUACAUUACAGAAAACAAAUUGUUAUACUUUAUGUUAAUAUCAAUAAUUUACCUAUUGCAUAAAGUAUGAUAAUUUGAUAUUGCAUAAAUCUGUAAAGUAUAAUAAUUCACACAGGCAGUCACAUAUGUAACCCAUAUAUCAACAUUUUUCAAAAAAAUAAAAAAUAAAAAUCUAUAGAUCACCAUUCAAAAAAUAAAGAAGGAAAAAAUGAAUUUAAGAAAAUGAUUACGGUUUAAGUAAGUUAGGAGAGAAAAAUGGGAUUAAAAGAUAAAAAAUUAAAUGAGAUCUGUAUGACCCAAAGAUGUAAAGUUAUUUUUAUUUUAAAGGAGUAUUAAAGAAAAUGUUUUUUUUAGAAGGUUUAAAAGAAGGAAAGAGUUUAUAACAAUAGUUUAUUGAAAAAAUUAUAUGAUAAUAAUUUUACCAAUUAUAAAAUUUAUCUCCAAUAAAUAAGUGUUGAUGCCGAAGAACGAUCUCAACAACUGAAUUUGUUUCUUUUGGGGAAUUACAGCACGAAUCCAAGCUCAAACGCAAGUCUGAUCGUAACUUUCUAUACCUGCUAACCAGAAAACACGGUUAGGAUACGCCGGUGGGGUUCCGGCGUAGACCCUCCAAUGCUUAAGUCAGAAAUUAUGUAUAAAAAGAGAAAAAUGAGAAUGACGAAUAAUGAAUGAGUUAAAGUCGAGUAAUUUUCCGGUAGAGUGGCUGAAAAUCUUGUAUAAGCUUUGGUUCAUUUUGUUAACCCCUUCACCUGAUGCGCUCUUCAGUUUAAAUAGGCUCUUGGUUGUGCGCGGUUACCUCUUUAACUUUAACUAGAUGAAACAAUCGUGUCUCUUGACUAUUUGCUUUCUGCUCUGCAUAACAACGAAUUAAUUAACUUCGUAAACUAUGAAUAAGAACAAGGGAGUUGUUAAGUGAAUAAAAACACCAGCUCGGCCAUGUCAUCAACCCCACGCCGAAGUAGUCGAGUGGUACGAGCAGAACACUGGUAAUAAGCCUUCUACAAACAUGGGACGACCAGAAACAAGUACCAACCAUAAAAGUAUACCGACCAGAGACAUAUACCGAGCCGAUACCCAUCCCCCAGAGAGUGGGCACACGAUCCAGAACUAUUGAGGGGGAGGCGAGAUCCCACGUUUGCCCAAAGUAAAACAGUUAGAGUCCCACUAGGGGCUGCCGCUACCCGAAAAACAAGGGGAAGAAAGCAGUUAGAGUCACACUAGGGGUUGCCACUACCCGAGAAAAGGGGAAGGAAGGGAGAAGGAAAACGGGGGGAGAGCGGCUAUAAAAGGGGAAGAAGUCGAUGAAGGAGGGGACAGAAAAACCAAAGAGAGGGAGAAUACUGCCAAAUCGCAACCAAGGCCAUUUUCUUACAAACUCCGAAUAGAUUAAAAGUCGUUCUUGAAUCCAAAUUGACCCGUUUUCCCGUGAAACAUCUUGUGCUAACUUAGGCAUCGGAGGGUUUACGCCGGCAAAACUACCGGCGUCUCUUAUUCAUUUUUGGUGAAUGCAGGUCUAAUAAGAGAAAGGAGGGCGAUUCCAACCCCAGUGGUUCAAGCAGCAGCUGAUAACAUAAACGUUGGUGAAAGAAUCUGGUCGGUCCAAGAGCGAGCAGAUUUUAGCAUCAACAUUUUGGCGCCGUCUGUGGGGAGCUGAAUAAAAAGCUACCACCAAAUUAGUAGUUACCAGAGAAGCAUCGAACGGUUAGAUAUGGAUGUAUCAAAAAAGAAUGUUUUGAGGAAGGACAAUGAAACGGUGGAGACAAUCACUCUCCGGGAAAUUGCAAACGAAGCCCGAGAGAGGGUGAUGCAAGAUCGGCUGGAGCGAAUGGAGAAACAAAUGGAGACUCUCGCGGCCCUACUGGGAGAGCUGAGGGAUGAACGUAGAAGGGAUUGUGAAACCCCCGUGGGAAGAGAUGAAGUUGGAGUAGGACCCAGCCUCCGGAGGCAUAGGGUCGAGGAAAUCCCUCCGCCAGCAGACCAACCUAAUGGGGUUCAUCCCCACAAAAGUACAGGUCCGGUUCCAGCAGAACAGAUGGAUGAAGGGAGGGACCAACCUCACCCCGGACGGGUAUUUGAAAUUGAUGGCCGAGCAGCCAAUGCUGAUGAAGGAGAAUUAAGACAGCGGUUGCAUAACGCCAAGCAGGAACGAGAUCAGAUUGCUGCGCGUGAUCCUGAUCGAGCUGUAGAAUUGGAGGGAGAGGUGCGCAGAUUGGCACAGAUGAUGGAGGAGAUGCAGGGCAAGAGAAAGCCCCUGAGCUGGAGAAUAAUGUUAGAUGAAGAGUCUCUGUUAUCAAUCGAGAUCAUGGGUACCGUAAUCCCAAAAGACUUCCGCUUCUCCGACCUCAAAUACUCUGGGCGAAGUGACCCGCUAGUGCACAUCGAGCGUUUCAACGACAUGACGGGUGUGCAGGGGCUAACACCAGCUCAAAGGUGCAGGGUGUUCCCAUUGACCCUAGAAGGACGAGCCCGAGAGUGGAACUGAUGGGGAUGAAACAAGAGGAACAUGAAUCCCUUCGAGAUUUUGUAAAACGAUAUCACCGAGCCGUGUUGGAUCUGGGAGCUCUUAAUCACCCGCAGGCGUUGAGGGGAUUAAAAGAAGGUGUAAGAAUCGGCCGAUUGUGGUAUAACUUAAGAAGCCCCCUAGUACAGAAUUACUCAGCGGGGUAUGAGCAGGCGAGGCGAGAUAUAGAAAUCGAAGAGGAGAAAGCGGCAAGAAUAAAAAGUGAACAGCUGGAAGAGCUGAGGCGAAAGGAACGAAGAGCCCCGAACGGGAGCGGGUCGGGAAAGCGAGCUGGGGAAUCUUCAGUAAUGGGCGGAGUAUCAGCUCGGUCCCGCACUUACCCCAUAACUCCGAGAUCACAACAGCUCCAACACAGCCGGGCUCAACCUCCGCGCCCCCCGUUCCCAGAGCGACAGCGAGAAUUCAGGCAGAUGGCUGCCCACCAUUAUCAAAACACUCCCAGAGCGUUAAAUGCAACUAAUUCCAGGUCGGGACAACCAGAGCAGCUACCGGCUAUACCAGCCCGAGGUGACAUUCAUGAUAGCCGAGCAGUCCAAUUGGUUGACCAGAGUAUGACAUAUAGACAGUACACUCCAUUAAAAAUCUCCAUGGAAGAACUGUAUGAAAGGAUCGAGGGACGAGGCCUGCUGUACCCUUCAGCCCCUAUAAUAAAACCUGCUCACCGACGGGAUAAGAACAGAUUCUGCAAAUUCCACGACACUCACGGUCACACUAUCAGCCAAUGUCGUGACCUAAAGAUUCAGGUGGAGGAUUUAGUGAGGAACCGGUACUUGGAUAAGUAUGUAGAUGGAAUGUCCCCCGUCAUGGAAUCGCAAUACGCACAGGAUGAAGGAGUUGAGAGAGGUCUGGAACGAGAACAGCCGACCAUCCAUGUGAUUGCAGGAGGGCCAACGUUGGCCGAGGAUUUAAAUAGAGCACGAAAGAACUAUGGAAGAUACGCCAUGACUAGCAAAGAGGUGCUCCUCAAUUUGCCAGCAGCCAAGAGGGCAAAAGUACGGCAAGUUCCCAUUAUGUGGACAGAGGACGACGAAGAGGGCAUUUCAUAUCCUCAUGAGGAUGCACUGGUGAUUAGGGCAUUGGUGGCUAGCACAGAAUUGCGACGAAUACUGGUGGACACGGGCAGCUCAGUAGACAUUCUGUUUAAAUCGGCCCUAGAUAAUAUUGGGAUUUCAGACUUGAAGCUGGAGCGGACGAAUACAUCCUUGAAGGGAUUUGGAGGAGGACGGUUAACUCCCAUGGGAAUCAUCGAACUCCCGAUUACUGUGGGGUCAAAACCGUUUGAAAGAACGAUGAUGCUGGAUUUUGUCGUGGUAGAAGAAAGAAGUCCUUACCAAAUGAUACUGGGGAGACCCUUCAUGAGGAUAAGCCAAUGUGUAAUGUCCACGCACUAUCUGGCAUUGAAGUACAAAAUAAAUGGAGUUAUUGGCGUAGUAAAAGGAGACCAGAGAAUGGCAAAGAGCUGCUAUCCUACAGCAGCCAAGGAAACACUGCAGGUUACCUCUCUAGAUAACCGAGGGGAUUCAAAAAAUGGUCGCCAAGAACCUGUUGAGAAGCUGGAGGGAGUUAUUGUAAGCAGGAAUGACCCAAGUAGAGCGGUUAAAAUCGGGUCAGAAUUGGGCGAAGCAAUAAAGGGCGAGCUGGUGAAGUGCCUACAAUCCCAUGCAGACAUAUUUGCCUGGUCUCAUGAGGAUAUGUCAGGAAUCGAUAAAAGGGUAGCCUGCCACAAGUUGGCAAUCAAGAGAGGAGCAAGACCGGUGAGGCAGAAAAUGAGGUGCUUCAACCAGGAAAGAUACGAGGCCAUAAAUGUCGAGGUGGAAAAGCUGCUGAAAGAAGGAUUUAUAAGGGAAGCCAAGUACCCGGAGUGGAUUUCCAAUGUAGUACUGGUAAAAAAGGCCAACGGGAAGUGGAGAAUGUGUGUAGACUUCACAGACCUCAAUAAGGCAUGCCCGAAGGACAGCUUUCCUCUACCAAAAAUAGAUCAGUUGGUGGAUUCAACCGCGGGUCAUAGUCUGCUCAGUUUCAUGGAUGCUUUUUCGGGAUACAACCAGAUACCCAUGGACGAGCAGGAUGAGGAAAGCACCACCUUUAUAACUAACAUGGGUUUGUUUUGUUACAGGGUGAUACCUUUUGGCCUGAAAAAUGCAGGAGCUACCUAUCAAAGGCUAGUGAACAAGUUCUUCAAACCAUUGAUCGGUCACACUAUGGAAGUAUAUGUGGAUGAUAUGAUCACAAAGUCAAGGGAACCGAGAGAUCAUGUGAAGCACUUGGAAUAGACCUUCGAAUUACUGAGGAGGUAUGAAAUGAAGCUGAACCCGGAGAAAUGUGCAUUUGGGGUCAGCUCGGGCAAAUUUUUGAGAUACCUGGUGAGUCACCGAGGAAUUGAGGCCAACCCGGAAAAUAUUCGGGCGGUGAUAGAAAUGAAGUCCCCACGAACAGUUAAGGAGGUGCAGAGCCUUACGGGGAAACUGGCGGCAUUGAACCGAUUCAUUUCACGGGCCACUGAUAAAUGCCACCCUUUCUUCCAAAUCAUAAAGAAAGGGAGGAAGAUGGAAUGGACAUCAGAAUGCGAGGAGGCAUUUGGACAGCUGAAGGAAUACCUAGCCUGCGCCCCGCUACUAUCAACUCCGAGAGAGGGUGACCAACUACUUUUGUACUUGGCAAUCUCUAAGUGGGCUACCAGCUUGGUCUUAGUCAGGGAAGAAGAAGGGAAGCAACACCCGGUAUACUACACAAGCAAGGCCCUGGUAGACGCAUAAACCAGAUAUCCGCUAAUGGAGAAGUGGGCACUAGCUCUAAUAACAGCAGCACGCAAACUCCGACCAUAUUUUCAAGCCCACCAGAUCGUUGUGAUGACUGACCAGCCCCUUCGGUAAGUGCUUCAGAAACCAGAUGCAUCUGGUCGAUUAGUAAAAUGGUCUGUGGAACUGAGCGAAUUUGACCUGUCCUAUAGGCCCCGAGGAGCAAUCAAAGCCCAAGCCCUGGCUGAUUUUAUGGUUGAUCGUGUUAUACCAGGGGAAGAAAUUCCGGAGGCACAACCAUUAGAGCAGGAGAAACCAGAGGGGGUGUGGCUGGUGAUGGUUGAUGGGUCACGUAGUGAACAGGGAUCCGGAGCAGGAGUUGUAAUACGGAGCCCAGAAGGGGUCGAGGUAUCCUAUGCAAUAAAAUUCGAGUUCUAGCUUACAAAUAACCAAGCUGAAUACGAGGCCUUCAUUACUGGGCUCGGGCUUGCACACGCACUACGAGCUGAAAGGGUAGAAAUCCGAGCAGAUUCUCAGCUAGUCUGCAAUCAGCUUUGCGACCAAUUCCAAGUAAGGGAAGAAACGUUGGGGCUUUAUCUGAAAAAGGCGAAGCAAAUGGUCGAACUCUUCAAAGAGGUAGAGGUAAAGCAGAUAUCUCAGAAUGAAAAUUACCGAGCAGAUAUGUUGGCAAGAAUGGCUGCAAAUGUAGACCCAAAGUUACCUAAGUCAGUUCCAUUGGAGAUAAGGACCUCGCCGAGUAUAGGGGAGGAAGUUGAGGUAAUGAGAGUAAGCACUGAAGAAUCAUGGAUGGACCCGAUUCUCGCAUACAUCCGCGAUAGCACUCUACCGGAGGAUAAAAGGCAAGCAAAAAAAUUAAAAUGCCGAGCAGCAAGGUACACGCUACUUGAUGAGGUGCUCUACCACCGAGGAUUCACCUUACCACUUUUGAGAUGUCUGGAUAAGGAGGAGGCUGAUUAUGUACUAAGGGAGAUUCAUGAAGGAAUAUGUGGAAAUCAUUCGGGAGCAAGAACUUUAGCCUUCAAGGCACUCCGGCAAGGAUACUUUUGGCCAACCAUGCACCAGGAUGCGAAAAGGAUGGCAAGGAAUUGUAAAAUCUGCCAAAGCUUCUCAGAGGUUCCUGCACAACCUCCAGAAAAGCUGACCACUAUGACAUCCCCAUGGCCUUUUGCUCAAUGGGGAAUCGACCUGAUUGGUCCGUUACCAAAAGGCCGAGCAGCGGCAACACAUGCAAUUGUAGCAAUAGACUACUUCACCAAGUGAGUAGAAGUGGGAACCCUCAGCCAAAUCACGGAAAGGAAGACGACGGAUUUUAUUUGAAAAAAUAUCAUCUGCAGAUACGGAAUCCCCUAUACCAUCAUCACAGACAAUGGAAGGCAAUUCGACAACAAUAACUUCAGAGAAUUUUGCCGAAACCUGGGGGUAGAUAUGAAGUUCUGCACCCCUGCGCACCCCCAGGCAAAUGGACAAGUGGAAGCAGCCAACAAAGUAAUAAAGAAACUCUUGAAAACAAGAUUGGGAGAGAAGAAGGGAGCUUGGGUCGACGAGCUACCAGGAGUACUGUGGGCUUACCGGACAACUCACAAAACCGCCACAGGGAAAACCCCGUUUGCUUUAGCUUUUGGCCAUGAAGCGAUAGUCCCAGCAGAAAUUGGAGUAGGAACGCAUCGAACAGAACAUUUUAAUGAGGAGUAAAAUGAUGAGCAGAUUUACUUGAACCUGGACCUGUUGGAGGAGAAAAGGGAAGGGGCCUCACAGAAAGUGGCCCAAUGUCAGCAGAGGGUCGCGCGUUAUUACAACAAGAAAGUACGCAUGAGGCAGUUCAGAGCAAGGGAUUGGGUGCUUAGGAAGGUGAAUCAAAACACUAGGGAUCCCUCCCAUGGCGUGUUCGGUCCAAAAUGGGAAGGCCUGUACAUGGUGAUACGAGCGACUGGACCAGGAGCUUACAAACUAGCAUACCCAGACGGACGAGAUGUGAAGAGGUCGUGGAACACCGGGUACUUGAAGAAAUAUUUCCAGUAAGCAAAAUGCUUUACCAAGUCUUCAUUUGAUAAGAUUUCCAUUAGGGGUGGGCAAAAUCGGGUUCGGGUCGGGUUCGGGUCAAUCCGAUCGGGUUUCGGGUUGUUCGGGUUAGACAAGGAACAAUCCGAACAUAACCUGAAUUAAUGAUCCGACCCGAACAGAUCCGAACCGACCCGAACUAUCUUAGGGUCGGUUCGGAUCGGGUCAUUAAUUCGGGUUAUGUUCGGGUUGGAUUUAAAAUGGGUAGGAUUGAGUUCGGGUCAAUUUGGGUUAGUUCAGGUCAAUUCGGGUCAAUUCGGGUCAGUUCGGGUCAAUUCGGGUCGGUUAAAAUCGGGUCAGUUCGGGUCAAUUCGGGUCAGUUCGGAUCGGUUGAAAUCAGGUCAAUUCGGGUCAGUAUAUAUAUAUAUUUUUUAGAACUCGAUCGGGUAUUCGGAUCGGGUCGGGUUUGACCCGAACCGAUCACAACCCGAUCGGGUUUGUAAAUUUCAAACCGAUCGAGUUUCGAUCCCGACUCGAACCCGAAAUUUAUCGGGUCGGGUCGGGUCGGAUCGGGUAAAAUGCCCACCCCUAGUUUCCAGGCAUCUUCACAUUGGAGACUAAUAACAGGUGAUGUUUAUUUUUUUUCUUUUUUUUUAAAUCCUUAAAAAUAAAUAUUAAGUUGUUUGUUUUCUAACUUAGAAAUUUUAAAAACUAAUAUUUUAUAUUUGUGUCCUUAUAAAUUAUAAAUGUUAAACAAAUAAUGAAUAUAUCAAAUAAUAUAUAUAAGAUAACAUAUUAUAAUAAUUUAAAUCAUAUUCAAUUAAUAUAAUUUUUUAAUAUUUUAGAUUAACAUAUGUUAAUCAAUUUUAUAGUAGUUUAUAAUAUUUUUAUAUGAAAAAUAUUUAUAAAAAAUUAUGCAGAUAAAUAAUGAAACGACCAUAAUAGAGUCUUGCGCUGCAUGCAUGUCUGUGGAGGCCCUACUUAACUAUUUGAUGAGAAAUUUCAAUGAAAAUGAAAGGAGUACCAUAUCAAGGCUAUUCAACGCGGACCAAUCAGGCUUUUCGAAGACGCGAACCAGCCCCAACAGCCCGGAACUAGACUAAGGAAGUCGUCUGCAGUGGUCCUUUCGCUUUCUAAUGGGACCUUCCCUGAUUAAUUAUUCAUAAUUGGCAGUGUCUAAGAUUAUCCCUUCAGUCAUAACUGGCUGCUUCUAGGCAUCUUCAUUCUUCAGAUCGAAGGUUAGUCAUCGUUAUGAAAUACCAUGCAACUUUAACAUACGUUAGAUUAAUUAAACACGAAUUUCUGGAACAAGAAAAAAAAUUCGAAUAUAGCAUUCUAUUAUAAAUAAAUAAUUUCAUCAAAAUGGUGAGUUAUAGUCAUGGGUGACUGCCAUCUAGUUAAGAUUGUAAAAUUCUUUUGUGUUCGUAAAAAAAAAAAAAAAUUUGAGUUCAAAUCCUGUCAGUCUGUCACAUAGGUGGGGAGUGUAUUAAAUACUUGCAGUGCUAAAUAAUAACAUUGAUGUCACAUCUGUGGAACUGCAUGUCUGUGGAGUCCCUACUUUUUUUUUUUUUAAUAUUGAUUACGCACUAGAUUACUGCAUUGCACAUAUAUUUACAACUAUUAUUAUAGCAGACAUUACACUGAUAUUUACAAUCAGAUAUACAUAAGUACCAGAUUACUGCAUUGCACAUAUAUUUACAACUAUUGUUAUAGUAAACAUUACACUGAUAUUUAUAAUCAGAUAUACAUAACUGAGACUUAUAUAUGAUUACAUUAAAUUCUAUGAAAUACAUGCCUAGAUAAAUUACCUUCACAGACGAGGGAUGCCCCUACUUCACUUGCAUUUCGCAAGAAAGAAGAAGUUAUAAAUGUUUAGCCCCCACUUGAUUAAAUAGUUAUGUGACAGAACAAAACCAUUCAGCAAUCUAGUGCUCAAGAUUUUUAAAUUAUUCACCGGCGAAACUUAAUCAAAUGAACAGAUUCAAAACAAGACAAAGAAACCCAAUCAAAUGAAAUUCCCUUUAGCAAUGAUUAUACAAUACAUUUUUCAGUAUUAAAAUUAAUUAUUAAUUAUCAAAUUAUCAAAGCCUACUACGUAGUACGUACUUAUCCACGGAUUAAGAUGACUACUUUGAAAAGUUUCGUUAUAUGUAUUUCACUGAAGAAUCUAACGGUGGAUGACAGUUUGAUUGUUUAGAGGGAGUGGGUUAGGAGGAUGUACUCCUGCUCAGGACAAGUUCAGAUCAUGAAAGAAUCAUAUAUAAGUUUUUGGACAUAGAUUAAAUCAACUACAAUCGAAUUCAUCACAACUAAUAAUAUAAUUUGUUGUGUGUAUAGGUAUAUUCUACUAUUUUAGGCAAAUUAUUGUAUAACAUAUAUUAUUUUUAUUAUUAUUAUUAUUAUUAUUAUUAUUAUUAUUAUUAUUAUUAUUAUUAUUAUUAUUUGUGUCUUUAGAACUAAUAGGCACAUACUAUAAGAUAUUUCUUGAUAUCUCACACUAAGUAUUAUGAACUCAUAGUGGCUAAAGGUCAUCAAAUAAUAUAAGUCAAAUUUUUAUCUUAAUUUUUAAAAGAUGAAACCAAGAUUAUUAAAAUUUUGCAUUUCAGAAAAAAAUUGUUAUACUUUAUGUAAUAUCAGUAAUUUACCUCUUGAUAAAAGUAUAAUAGUUUGAUAUUGCAUAAAUAUGUAAAGUAUAAUAAUUCACAGAGGCAGUUACAUAUGUAAUCUAUUUAUCAACAUUUUUCAAAAAAUAAAAAUAAAAAUCUAUAGAUCACCAUUUAAAAAGUAAAGAAGAAAAAAUAAAUUUAAGAGAAUGAAUAGGAGUUAAUAACUUAGGAGAGAAAAGUGAGAGAUAAUAAAAUAAAUUAAAAGAUUAAAAAUUAAAUGAGAUUUGCGUAAACAAAAGAUGUAAAGUUAUUUUUAUCUUAAGAGAAUAUUAACAAAAGGUUUAAAAUAAUAAAAGAGUUUAUAAUAAUAGUUUAUUAAAAAAAUUAUUAAAAAAAUUAUAUAAUAAUAAUUUUAUCAAUUAUAAAAUUUAUCUCUAAUAAAUAAGUGACAUAUAUAUUUGAGAGCUACAAAUUAAGAUUUAAAAAUAGGAAAAUUCUAUGAUGCCGUAAUUAAAAUUACGGCAUCGAUGCCGUAAUUAUUAUGAACCGUUAGAUUAAAUCAACGAUUCACAAUAAUUAUAAAAUAAUAAAAUUUUUAAUUAAAUUAAAUCUAACCGGUUAUAAGCCGGUUAAGUACUUUUUAAAGAUAAAAUUUGACCGGUGUAAGUUUAAAGGAAAAAAAAAAAGAGGAUUUACCUUUUAAAGAAAUAAAAAAUUAGAAAGGGAAACUUCCGUUCAUAUUUUUCAUUAAACCCUAAUUAACGAAUUCCUAAAGAAACCUCUCAUAUGUCUACAGAUUGCAGCCAUUCUUGAGUUGAUUUUCUGUCUUGAUUUUCUAUCUUGUUCGAAUUGCUGAGUCUCUGCUGUUGCUGCCUCUAUCUUGGUUUGGCCGUCGUCACCUGUGCAAGGUAAAUUUAAUCCUCUGUCUCGUUCGAAUUGCUAAGCAUUUUAGUUUUCAUUCAUGGUCAUAAUUUGUUCACGGCAUUGAAUCUAAGAAUUAAGAAGUCGCUGCAAGUGUUUGGGUUUGCAUAGUUUUAUUUCAUAGUCAUAAUUUCCGCAUUUGUUCACGGAAUUAAGAAGUUCCAGUGCACUCCUGCCUUUGCCUCUUGAGAAAAUUAGAAGCUUUGCCAAUAGCAGUAGCAGUGGCAUUAGCAGAAGCUUUCCAUAUUCAAUGCUCUGUUCAGAUGCCUCUCCAGUUGCUCAUCUAAGCUUUUCAGAUCAAUCUGAUCUGCUCUCACGAACCCAUCACUGCUUUCUUUCAUUCUUUCUUUCAAGGGUGCUUCUGUUCAAAUCACUCCCUCCUCCUCUUUCUUCUUCUUCUUCAUGUUGAUGAUAUUCAGUUGUUAUAACUUGUUGUUGUUGUUGGAGUUAUUAUUUCUCUACGAGAAUUUGCUUGUCAAAAUUUCUCAAUAGGAAGGAAGCGAAGAGUAUGCAAACAUUUUUUUAAUUAUUAUUUUUCUUUUCUAUUGAAGCAUGUGGGCACAUGGCAUUGCCUGAACACAACAUGUAUUUGUGACCACUUUCCUCUUCACAAUUAUUAUUAUUAUUAUUGUUUUGUUUUUUCUUUUUUUUUCUUCGAUUUUGAUUGGCCAUCAAUUUUUUUUUGGGUGAACGAUAUAGAGUGCUAUAUGAGUUAUGCUAACUGCUGUGACCUUGAUUUUGUAUUAUUGUUUGCAUUGAUUUUGGUUGAUAAACAAAUGUGUGGUGGAUCAUGGAUGGAUGUAUGGAUGAGGAUAAUAAAUAAAUGAAAUAUACAUAAGACACAAGCAGAUAAAUUAAAGGUAAUGGAUCAUAAUUCUGAAACUGGAAGUGGGUUUUUGUCUCAAAUAUAAUUGAAGUGAUAGAGAAUUAUGUGAAGUUGCAGAAAAAUUUUGGGUUUGAAAUGCUUUUGUUUCUAGGUAAAUUUUUUGCUGUAUUUUGGAUGAUUUGUUGCUGUUUUUGGUUAAAUUUUUCUGGUGUUUUGGGCUUCAUUUGGUGCUGUUUUUAGGUUAAAUUUUCUUCUAUUUUUGGGUUAAUUGGCUGCUGUUUCUCAGUUUAUUUUUCUGCUGUUUUUAGAUAAAUUUACUGCUGUUUUUUUCUUAUAUUUUCUGCUAUUUGCAGAUAAAUUUUUCUGGUGUUUUGGGCUUCAUUUGCUGCUGGUUCUAGGUUAAAUAUUUUGCUGUUUCUGGGUAAAUAUACUGCUAUUUUUUAGUUAAAUUUUUCUGGUAUUUUGGGCUUCAUUUUGUGCUGUUUUUACGUUAAAAUUUUUGCUGCUUAUGGGUAAAUUGACUGCUGUUUUUCAGUUUGUUUUUCUGCUAUUUUUACAGAAAUUUAAUGCUGUUUUUGGGUUAUAUUUUCUGCUAUUUUCAAGUAAAUUUUUCUGGUGUUUUGGGCUUCAUUUGCUGCUGGUUCUGAGUUAAAUAUUUUGCUGUUUCUGGGUAAAUAUACUGCUGUUUUUUAGUUAAAUUUUCUGCUGUUUUUGGAUAAAUUUUUUGUUGUAUUUGGGAUGAUUUGCUGCUGUUUUUGGUUAAACUUUUUUGGUGUUUUGGGCUUCAUUUGAUGCUGUUUUUAGGUUAUAUUUUCUGUUGUUUUUGGGUUAAUUGGUUGCUGUUUCUCAGUUUAUUUUUCUGCUGUUUUUAGAUAAAUUUACUGUUGUUUUUUGUUAUAUUUUUUGCUAUUUGCAGGUAAAGUUUUUUGGUGUUUUGGGCUUCAUUUGCUGCUGGUUUUGGGUUAAAUAUUUUGCUGUUUCUGGGUAAAUAUACUGCUGUUUUUUAGUUAAAUUUUUUGCUGUGUUUUGGAUAAAGUUUCUGCUGUAUUUGGGAUGAUUUGCUGCCCUUUUUGGUUAAAUUUUUUUGGGGUUUAGGGCUUCAUUUGGUGCUAUUUUUAGGUUAAAUUUUUUGCUGUUUCUGGGUUAAUUGGUUGCUAUUUUUUAGUUUAUUUUUCUGCUGUAUUUGAGAUGAUUUGUUGCCGUUUUUGGUUAAAUUUUUUUGGUGUUUUGGGCUUCAUUUGCUGCUGUAUUUGGGUUAAAUUUUUUGCUGUUUUUGGUUAAAUUUCCUUCUAUUUUUCAGUUAAAUUUUCUGUUGUUUUUGGAUAAAUUUAUUACUGUUUUUGGGUUAAAUUUUCUGUUGUUUUACAGGAUCCAAAACUUGUGAUAUUUCCCAUUUCUUUUUGUGCCUAAUAUCUUCAUGUACAGGUUCUUGUAAACUCGAAAAUGGCUGAAAAUAUAGAUGAGGGUAACGAGAAUGAUUUCAAGGAGAAUGAUAAUGUGAGCCAGGAAAAUGAAAUUUCAAGAAGAAAUCGACCUUUCAUUGAGUAUUUGUAAGUCUUCUUACAUUAAAUAUUAUGUGUUUGACUAUUGGUAAAUUUAUGAGUAUUUAGUAAAGCCAAGCACAAUAAUGUUAACAUGCACUGAUUAUAUAUAUUUUUUUCAAAAUAUUUAAUUGACUGCAGCAAGCAAGAAGCAAAAAUAUUACGGGAACAAGGAAAAAAAGUGGUGAGUGUAGGUGCGAUAAUUAAUUUCCAUUAAAUUUGGGACGUGUUACAAGCAAUAACUUAUUGUCAUAUUUGUUUUUUAAUUUUUUAGGAUAGAAUUAAAUUAGGGAAAUGUUUCAAAAAUUUGAGUGAAGAAGAGAAGGCUAAAUUUAGAUUGGUUGGUAGUGAUAUAGCACAGAAUAAAGACAAAGAAGAUGAUUUUGUGAAGGGAACUCAAAAAGCCAUGGAAACUAGAUGCGCUCCAGAUCGUUUUGCAAAACUGGUCACAAAAUUGUCAGAAAAUAAAAAAAAAGUUGUUGUGGAGUUAGGAUUUGAAAGUCUUCUGCACAUAAAAUGUGGUCGACUGAAACGAGAUUUAUGUUCAUGGUUGGUUCAAAAUUUUGAUCCAUUUACUUCAUGUAUUUUUUUGCAUGGUAAGAGUAUCAGUUUGUCGCCUCGAGAUUUUGAGUACAUUAUGGGAAUAAAAGAUGGUGGAGUCGACAUUGAUGUGGAUCUUGGUAUUGAUGACAUAGAUAAAUUGAGGAAUGAAUAUUGUGAUGACAGUGGAUACAUUAAGCUGAAAACUUUAGAGUCAAAAUUGGUGAAUCAAAGGGAGGUGAAUGAUGACUUUAAAAGAAGCUUUGUUUUGUUUGCUAUAGCUACAAUUAUUUUUCCUAAAUCGGGGUUGAAUUUAGCCCCGUAUUACUUGGUUUUUUUGAAAGACACCAGUGCCAUAAAAAAAAAAAAAUUGGGCAACAUGGGCUUUUAAAGGGCUAGUUGAGGGCAUACAAAAGUUCAAGGCAGGACAACAUAAAGUUGUUAAUGGUUGUGUACUAUUUUUGGAGGUAAUAAUUUUUUUUAAAAAUGAUUUCAUCAGUUUUAUUGUGUUAUUUUGUUUUUGCUUUGUUUUGAUCAUUUUGUUAAUAUUGCAGCUUUUUUACAUGGAUUCUAUAUCAUUUGCACGAAAAUUUAUUGAUAAAUCUUUGAGUCCAAUAACAACAUGGACAAAUCGAGAUGUAACUAACUUAUUGAGUUUUGUUAAGAAAAAUGGCGGUUAUGGGAGCUCAAAGGUAUGGCAUCUACUUUUUAUUAAUUAAAUAUUAGCGUAUCAUAUUGAAAUGACAUGUAUUUAAUAAUAUGUGGUAUUUAUUAGGUUAAUUUGCGAGAAAUCCAUCCUCAACAAAACACGGCCCAGGAAACAUUUGAUGGAACAAGUCGGAAGAAUGAAGAAUGCAUACAUAAUUGUCAACAUCAGAAGGAAUUAUCACUUGUUCGAAAAGAUAUUGGCCGUAUGGCAUUGGAGCUUGAUGGUUUAAAGCAUUCAAUGGGUAGCUGGAUGCAGCAAAUGCAACAAGUAAUGGAAACCCUUAAAGAGAACUUAACACAAAAGCAAGUUGAGCAGCAAAAGGAGAAUAAUGGCGCUGCUGUUGGAAUUACUUCUCCUUCCCGAAAGCAACAAAAGAACGAUGAAUCAAGCCAUGAAAUUUUAACUUUUGCGGAACUAAUGAAGAGAGCCAAAGAAAGGCCAGAUGGAGAUGAUAUUCUUGAGAAGAAAUUACUGGAUGAGGAGAAUGUUGAAGAGAAACAUGAUGAGAGAAUUUUGACGGGCGAGUCAGACCUAAAUGAGGGAAAGCGUAAGCAAAUUUUCUACAAUGCAGCUAUACAGGUAUUUAGCAAUAAACUGUGAUCUUCUUUUUUGCACAAGUAAAACAUAAUAGUGCAUGGAUGAGUAUUAAGUUAUAAAUCAUAAUUUUUGUAGGAUAAUGGUCGGAAUGAUGAUUGUUCUAUUGAAGAGGAAUCAUCAAACCAACUUAGUGUAUUUGAGGUUAAAGAUAUGCGCUCCCGAAAGCGAAAGCCUGGUCCAUACUAAAAAUCCCCUUAUAAUCAGUUUCCCAAAAGACGAAGCAAACAAAAAUUUUUUCAUGAUUCAAUCACUCUACUAAAUUCAUUUUCAGAGGAAGAUAUGAAGUUGCUGCAGUAUAUAUUUCAAGGAGAAUUGCCUAUGGAGUAAUUGGAUUUUCUCAUGACCCAUUUUCCAUAUGUUAUUAUUUUUGCAUUAACACUGUUAUAGUUCUAAUUCUAUUUUUGGAUUCUUAAUACAGUGAGCAUAUUGUUGAUGGAAUUAGUUUUUUCGUCUCUCGCCAAGAGAUGUUUUCUUUGGCUCCUAAUACUUGGAUCAUUGACACAGUAAGCAUACCUUCCUUAUAUCUAGUUUAAUCAUUCAAUUUAUUUAUUUUCUUUCUAAGUAUUUAAGUCUUCUUGUUUAAUGGCUCUAUUCGUAGGUCAUAGAUUGUUUCGUCAACUACUUGACAAACAAAGAACGUGCAAAAAUGAGCCUAGAGAUGCGUAUUUGGUAUUUGCCCACCAUAUUUUCGGUAAGUUGUAAAUGUUAUACUAUGAAUUUGUUUACUGACAGUUGACCCUUUAUGUUGAUAAUAUACUAAUUUUCUAUUUAUUUUAUGAGUUUUGCAACAAAAAAUAGUGGCAAACAUGGACUCUAAAAAGAAAUCAAGCAUCGAAGACUUUGUCAAAAAUCAUAAUAUUCGAGAUAAGUACAUGUCAGAACUUGCAGUAUGUGAAAAGGUAAGAAAUUAAAUACAAAAUUACAAUAAAUCAUGGCAUUGUUUAAGACAUUUAAUGGUAAUUAUUAAAAAUUAUGCAUUUGUCAUGUAGAUCUAUGUUCCUAUAAAUGAUGGCUUUGCACAUUGGUAUCUGGCGGUGUUGAUUGUUAAAACGCAAACCGUUGAAAUUUGGGACUCUUUACCUAGUAAUAGUUCGAAUUCACAUUGAGAGGAAAUUGUUAGAGCAAUUGUAAGUGAAGCUUGCAUUUCACCUGUAUUAUUACCAAUAAAUGCAAAUGUAUGCUGACUAUUAUCAUCAUUAUCACAGUUACAGGGACUCGACGAAGUUUUCCUCGAUGAUUUUUUGGGAAAAUUUCAUUCAUGUUGGGAUUUUUUUAGUUUUAAAAUUUUAUAUCCAGAUAAUGUCCCAGUACAACCAAAUGGAACUGACUGCGGUUUGUUUGUGAUCAAGUUCAUGGAGACGCAAUGUGAUCUAUUAUCUAUAAAACAUGUAUGUGACAUUAAUUUUACAUCAUAUUGAUUAAAAAUUUUACAAUGAAUGAUGACUCUAUUUCUCACUUUUUUAUUUUUUCUCGUACUAUAUUUAGUAUAACUCAACAAUAGAAAGAUAUCGCAUUGCACUCCACCUUAUCAACGGAGAUACAAAUAAAGUGAGAGAUAGUAUCAGAUGUAAGGCUGAAGAAUUUCAUGAUUCGCACAAGAAUAAUCUUCCACCGAACAAAGUGACGAACAAAGUUAAUGGUCAAAAGAAUUUGAAGAAGAAAAAGUAGAGUCCAAAAGCCUGCAGCAUGUUAAAAGUAAGUUCUCUUUAACUGUUUCUUUCUUGCUUUUUUUUUAUCCUAUUACAUUUCAUGAUUUGUAUUAGUUAUUUAUUAGUUAUUGCAAUUAUAAUUGUUGUUUCACAUAAAAUUAAUUAGAAACAAUUUCCAAUUUGCAAUUGCCUACCGAGUAUAAGCAGAAUGUGGACUGGAAAUAGUCAAUGUUUUACUGCAAGUUUUCCUUUAUUCUCCAGGUGGCUCACAAUUUCCUCUUCAGUGACAUCUUGUGGGAAAGUGGAUCAUCUUUGUUGGGGAGCAGUAGUAAUGAUAGUUCCUUUAGAAUACUUUCACUUUAGCUUCCAGAAACUGAAGCAAUUAACAAAUUAUAAUCUGGAAUUAAGGUUGAUUAAUUCAUCGCAAUCACAUGUACCAUCAUCACAGUGUUGGAAAAACUGCAGUGUACAAGAGUUCCGAUUUUACCAAAUGGGAAUUCAUGUAAACUUCUCUAUAUUAGAGCAGUUCUUUACCAUAGAGAGAAAGUGAAACAUAUAGUUUGUGAGAAACUCUAGAAAGCAAUUAAUUGAGCUACCGGAACUUUGCAUGCUAAAGAUUCUACGAAGCAAGAAUUUUCAACUUUUCUUUCCUCACUGCAUGUUCUUGGCAACAAAAAACAACAAAAGCCAAGUCACUCUUCUUCAAUUGAAACAGUUUAAACAAGACCAAAAUAAAGAAAACAAGUUAGAUGUACAAUCUUUGUGCAGAACUUAAAGUUUGCUUGUGAAAGAUCAUACACGAAUAAAUAUAUGUAGUAUGCCUUGAAGGAACAUUUAAAGCCAUUCAUUUGUCAAAUUGUGAAGUUAUGUGUCUGUUAAAGCUUCUUAGGUCUAGUGGCCUUGAAUUUGCCUUUCAAAUGAUUUUGUCUUUUUAGAUAAAUCUAAAUAAAAAAAAAGUGGCACAUCAAAUCAACGCAUAUUAGAAAUAUUUUCCCUUUCUACAAUAAUAUAUGUGGUGGAGGCUUGAGAUCAACUGUGUCUUUGUGUGUCGUAUAUUUAAUAUAUAGUAAUUUAAUAAUACUGGGGGAACCGAGGAACUUUCGUGGAGGGGAUAUUUGAUAGACUCCAAGUGGGACUCAGAAGAAAAUAAAAUUAAAAGGACCCCCAAUUUGAACUGGCCACUGUCAAUCACAUGUAUUUGUUAUGCAGGUAUCAGAAUUCAUCUCAUGCCCACAUCAAGAAUCUAUAAACGAUAACCAGACAAUAUCCGAACAACCAAGUAGUUGGUUUUUGUGGCACAGAUUGGCCCGGGGUAAAACUCAUCAUUACUCCCUCAAAAUCUUGGAUUUGUUUUGAUUAUAUAGCGAAUAAGUCGGGGUAGUUUUGUCCCUUUAGAAAAAAAAAAUUACAUGGAUGCAUAUGUUUGCUGCCAAAAAGUGCUAGGGUUGCUCAAGAGUAUUGCACGAAUGCACGUCUUCUAUUCACUCCAAAACUCCAAAAGCUUUUACUACCAUCACUGCCAAAAUUGAAAAACAAGAAGCAAGCAAGGCCCAGUCAAUAAUAAAAAAUAGUUGAGGUUUUACACAACCAUCAUGACUGUCCAAACUUGCUGCGAUAGCAUGAUAAUGAUCUAAUUAUUUAGAAAAAUUAAAUUACAAGCAUAAUAGUAACCUAGCUAGAAAAAUAAGACCUAAUAUAACUCCUACGCACAUGAACACGACACAUUAUUUUGCAACAAAUAAUUUUCAGAACAUUAUAAGAGAAACUAGAGGCAAAACGGGAAAAAAUUAUAAUUCUAAAAUUACAACCAUAGUAGUAAUCGAUUUAUUUAGGGACAUUGUUAAUAUUUUGACACUUACAAUAAUACUCAACAGGCAAAACAUAAUUAAGGCUGACUUUAUACUUCUGGGGCUGGAUGAGUAUUUUUAAAAUAAAUGGGGUCAUUUGUAAUAUUUUGACUUAAUGGGGACUAAUUUAAAAUUAGCCAUAUUAAAACUUUUGCAACUUGUCUAGAAACGACAGAAUUUGAAUACUUAAUGGGGACUAGUUUGAAAUUUGCCAUAUUAACAACUUUUGCAACUUGUCCAGAAUACGUCUUUUCCUAAUUCAAUAGUUCCAUUCAAAUUUAAAGACUUAAUGGGUACUAAUUUGAAAUUAGUCAUAAUAAAAACUAUUGCAACUUGUCCAGAAUACGUCUUUUCCUAAUUCAAUAGUUCCAUUCAAAUUUAAAGACUUAAUGGGUACUAAUUUGAAAUUAGCCAUAAUAAAAACUAUUGCAACUUGUCCAGAUAUAAGUUGUGAAACGACAGAAUUCAAUAGUUCCAUUCAAUCCUACAAUUUCCUUGCCCAGUUUUUUCUAACGACCACAUAGAACACAAUGAAUGAUGAUCAACAAGGUUAAUUCUUCAUUGUCUUUUAAUGAUUUGUUACUCUUUGCUAUUAUUUUUUAUGUUAUUUUCUCUCUUUCUAAAAAGAGUAGUGUUUUUUAACCUUUUAAAAUUAAUAUUAAUUGUGUCUAUUAUAAUUUACAGGCUAUUGUCUAGCAGUGCCAUUUCACUGAUUGUAAUAUUUUCUUAUUGUAUUAUGACAGGCAUUAACAAAAAUUACAAAGUGCCAGAGCUUGAUGUUCCAUCAUCAUAUGAUAUUCCUUCAACAGCUCAAGCAGGAAUACAAUCAGGUUUUUUAGUUGUUCAUAACAAAACAAUUGAACCAAAUUAUUUUUGUAAUAUUUUGAAAAUCAAAUAACAGUAUCAGUUUAUUUUAGUUGUUGAUAAUAAAAUAAUAGAAUUAGACUAUUUUAGCUGUCAAUAAUAAAAUAAUAGUAUCAAUUGAAGUUAGCUAUUCAUGAUAAAAAAAUAAUUAUUCAUACUCUAUUAUGACAGGGAGGGAUGGUUCAAACUCUAUUUAUUGGGAUGAUAAAAGCAUGUAUGAACUCACUGCUGAAGACGUUAUUGGAAAGCGAUUUGCAUCACUUGAAGAAGCUACAGAUUUUUAUAAAAAAUACUCAAAAAUAAUGGGUUUUAGUGUUCGCAUUUAUGAUGGGAGACGUGAUACAAAUGGUGCACCCAUAAUGAAACAUUGGGUUUGCAGUAGAGAAGGUGAAAGGGAUAAAAAGUAUAUUGAGCAUACAAACAGAAUCCGUGAACCUAGAGCUAUUACAAGAGUCAACUGUCGAGCAGCAUUCAGGGUAAAUUUAGAUAAGGAGUCCAAAACUUGGGUUGCUAGAAGCUUUGUUCCGAAACACUCUCAUGAGUUGGCAGCAGAUUUUGAGACUCAAUUUCUUCGAUCUCAUCGAAUGGUUAAAGAUUCUGACAAUGCUCUAGCUAAUUCAAUGCAAACAGUUGGUAUAAAGACAAGUCAGAUUAUGGACUUCUUUGUCAACCAGGCUGGGGGUUAUGACAAUUUGGGCUUCGGAUUAAAGGAUUUAUAUAACAAUUUAGAUAAUGAACGUCGAUCCAUGAUACUCGAAACAGACUCAGAAGCUGCACUUGCAUACUUAAAUGCAAAAGCUGACAUGGAUCCAGAUUUCUUUUGUAAGUACUCUGUAGAUGAGGAGAAUAGACUUGCAAACUUAUUCUGGGCAAAUUCUAUUGCUCGCUUGGAUUAUAGUUACUUCGGCGAUGUUUUGGCUUUCGAUAGUACUUACAAGACAAAUGAGUAUGGGAAGCCUUUAGUUAUUCUAUUGGGUGUUAAUAAUCAUUAUGCAACAAGUUUUUUUGGCUGUGCAAUUCUCACGGAUGAGAUGGUUGAGACCUACACAUGGGUGCUUAAAACAUUUUUAUGUGCUAUGAAUAAUAGAAAGCCUAUAUCUAUUGUGACCGAUGGAGAUAGAGCGAUGCGUAAAGCAAUUAAAAAGGUAGGUCCUGAAGCUCGGCAUCGACUGUGUAUUUGGCAUCUACAAAGAAAUGCACAAUCUAAUGUACAUAAAACGCCUGAAUUUGUUACAAGGUUUAAGGAUUUUCUGUUGGGAAAUUACAGACCCGAAGAAUUUGAGCAAUUGUGGCAGAACAUGGUGGAAGAGCUUGGUCUUCAAAAUAAUGAUUGGGUUAAGAAGAUAUACUCAAAACAAGAGAGAUGGGCAGAAGCAUUCUUACGGGGUCAUUUCUUUGGUGGCAUGCGCACAACACAGCGUUGUGAGGGUAUGAAUGCAUAUAUGAAUAGAUUUCUUCAAAGAAAGUUGAAGUUGUAUGAAUUUGUUCGUCAAAUUGAUCGAGCCUUGAGACGUACAAGGAAUAACAAUUUAGGACAUAAUUUUAAAACUAAGCAUUCUAUUCCAAUGAUUAGUACUCAUCUUCCAAGCUUGGAGAAGCAUGCUGCAGGGGUUUACACUCAAAAGUUAUUUUACAAGGUUCGUAAACAGAUUUACAAAGAAGGCCAGUUUAUAUUGUUGAGCAAUGUCACUCUUCUAGAUAUUCAAGUGUACACAUUAACUAGGCAUUUAGAAGCCAAAAAGAAGUGGACUGUGGUUUAUUAUCUAAAAGAACAACAUUUUGAGUGCUCCUGUAAGAAGUUCGAAUCUACUGGAAUACCAUGCCCUCACUUAUUUUGUGUGAUGAAACAUAUGCAUGUUAGUGAGAUACCUGCUUCAUUGAUUAACAAAAGAUGGACUAUGGAUGUGAAAGUUUACAAACAAUCUCUAAUGCCAUUGGAAAGUCAAUCUAAGGAUGUUCUUAACAAUUUUCGGUAUGGGUCAUUAAAUGCCGAAUUCAAUGAAAUUAGUUUUUAUGCCUCAAAAUCUGAUGCUGCCUAUUGGAAAUUAAAAAGUCAUCUUGCUCAACUGAAGAGUGAGAUAAAGGAGUUGAGAACGUGUGACAACGGAGAUACAGAUAGACCAUGCAGUGCAGAAAAGAAAGCAAGAAUUGUAAAAGAUCCUCUAGUUGUGAAGACAAAGGGUGCACCCAGUACGAAAUUUAACAAAGGUGUUAACACAAGAAAAUGUGGAUAUUGCAAACAAGAUGGACAUACUGCACGGAAAUGCCCAAGUAAGAACGGCCAUGUUACAAGUGUGGACAACUUCGCUGGACCAUUAAACAGCUUCACAAAAUUUAUUUGGUAUGGGAAAAUAGGUCAUUAUUUCUAUAAUUAUUUUUAGUCCAAAUCAAUGUGUUGUAUCAAUAAUUUUGUUCAAAUUUUCUGCAGAUUAUAUCCUAAGGAGGCUGCCUCACUUGCGUCAAUGCACACAAAAUUAUCCUAAAAUAAUCUGCAUAUGCCUGAGGGUGUGGAUUUGGACAAGCUAUUUGCAUUUUAAGAAAACACAAUUUUGACCAAGUAUUUUUUAGACUAUAGUUAUGGCCAUGUGAUGUAGUCUUAUAUUUUAAUGCAUUUUUAGUUAUAAUAAUAAUGAAUAUUACACCUCUCAUGAACCUAUUACUUUCUCCUACUUUGAUGACAAUGAAAUAUGACAGGAACCUCGAACAAUGUAAUAUUCAUGAAAUUUUAAGCUUACAAAAAAGGGCCUAACAAUGAUAUUCUAAAUCUUAAUACAUCAAUUGAUCUUAUUUCCUAAGAACUGCUACGUGCAUCGAUUAGGUAUCCUAGGACGUUUAUACAUCACUAAUAAACUAGUAAACCAUACCACAGUUGCAAUGUAAUAUUCUUUCUUACCUUGCUGAUUAGAAACUUCAGCGGCCAAAUGCCAACUACAUCAACUUUUGCUUCCCCAUAGCUGAGUGAAAUUCUUGUAGUUCCUAAAUCCAAAAUACAAGUAAGAGAAAUCAGUGCAAAUGUUCAUUUAUCUUGAAAUUCCUUUGAAACUGAGGCCCAAAGAGAAGCUAGAAUAAACAGUCAUGCAGGUUUUCUAUUUUAGGGAAAAAAAAUGAAAUUCUUUCUGUAGUAUACUUAUUAAGCAAGAUAACAUAAACCAUGAAUUACAAAAGCUGCCAACAAUUAAAAUAGGCGACCAAAUGGAAUUAAAAAUACGGGCACACUGUGUACAGAAAUUCUGCAGGAUACAAGGCCAAUAUAAUUUACGAUUCAUACCAGACUCAAUUGGCCAAACCUAUGGAAUUGGAAUGAUGCAUUUAUUUAACUCAAAAGGUAAAUAUCAGGCUUAAGGUUCUUACAUAUUAAAACAAUAAUAAUUCAUUCAUUUUGAACAUGAGAUGCAACUUGGACUAUUUCAAGUUAUUCCAAAAGAAAGCAUUAAAAGGAAUUUGUUCAUCCUACGUGGUAUAAGUAGUAUACUUCAGUUAGUAUUAUACAUCAUCAGUUAAAUCAUUUCGACUAUUAACAUUGAUAACAACAAUAAUAAAAUAAACAUAUGUAGUUAUAAAAUAAAUAGAUAAAUUCAACUUCGGAUAAAUUUGGGUUGUUACAGUAACCCUCCAAGCCACCACUGUAUUAUAACCAAUAGACAUUUGAAUUAUAACAGAUAGACAAGAAUAAAAUGAAAGCCAAUAUUAUUCAUGCAGAAUUAAUCUAAUUUAUUUUUCAGUUAAGGUUAGUAACAAUUUAUCUGUAAAUAAUUGAACCAACUUGGUUAUUACAACAUUACUUUUUCAAAGCGUUUAGAGCUCAGAAUAUCAAGACAACAAUUUGAUGGUUGGUUAAUUGAGUACCGGAAUCAGUGAUUUUUACUGCAAGAAUGCAAUUGUAAACACCACACAGUAAGUUUUCAAGGCAUCCAGCAUAUUAACUCAAAAAACAAAAUUCUCAUUACUUGUCUAUAAUUGCUGAAGUAGAGUGUACCAGGAUAUCAGGCUCAGCAUCUUGAAAAUCUUGCAAACUAACAGGGGACUGCACAUAUUCGAAGGAUACAGAAUUUCAAUCUAAGGGGGCUGAAUCUUGUACAUUGCACUAUUAUCGAAAGAAAUGAACUCAUAUUUAUGUCAUAUAAAUGCAUAUAUGUCGUGAUUGGAGGAGAGAACAUUCUAGAACAAUUGCUACUUAAUACCUUUUCAUUAUCUUUAUUUGAGUUCAAGUUCACAGUAAGAUCUAAUUAUCCAAUCUUCCUCAUAUCAGGUUUGUCAGCUUGUAUGAGUCAAUCUUACACAUAUGAAUAUUGAGAAUUAUUCAUAAAGAUAUUUCAUAAUAAACAUAUAGUCAACUUUUCAAGAACUAGUGAAAAAUGGCGGAAAAAUAGUAUUCAAAAGAAUUCUAGAAUCUUUUUCCUCUUUUCCAAGAGAAAUGCAUAUACUUAUAGAUAAAGGAAGGAAAAAUUUUAAGGGCAGCGCAGGGUAUGAUAAAUAACAACUCCUUGACAUCCUUCAACUAAAUGUGAAGAAUUUGAAGUUUUUGUGGAUGCCUUUACUUCUGAAUUCAAUCAUACACAAACAGGCCAUAUUAUUAAUAGGAAAAACUUUUGAAAGGGGACCACAUACUCCAGAAUGUCAGGAAUCAGGCGGAAUUGAACCCGCCACAUCAUGGCCUCUGUGCUAAGAGUUAAUAGAAAACUGCAGAGUAUUGUUUGGCAGUGGCAUUUGAGGCAAUUCCUUAAAGAUUAUGAGUAGAAAGAUAUCUUAGAAAAUCUACUGGAGGUUAAAAGUUAAUAGCCACUAAUUUAAUUACAUUCAUUGUGGAGUAUCCACCUUAUUCAAUAACCCCCUUUAGUCACAGCAACUUUAUUCAAUGCAAGCGAAGUCCAUUCUGGUGAUUCAAUAACUAAAGCAAAAACAUAUGGUACCUUGCCAGUCAGAGUUGUCACCAUCACUAUCUUCUGAAUGAAAUUGCCUUCUCAAGUAACUUUCUUCAUCAGCAAAUGCAGGCCUGAGGUAACCCACUAUAGAAAGACCAUUUGAAGGAUGAUCCAUUUUUCUAUCAUAGUCCAUAUUAACAGCCUACGUGAAAAAACAAUAAAUAAAUCAUUACACUAGAGUACUAAAAGUAAUUUGACAUACAUAAUACUGAGAAAAAAAAAAACCAGAAUUUUAGCCAUGUAAAGUUGAAUAAUCUGGAGAUUAAAAAAAUUAAUAAAUAAAUAAAUAUAAAGUUCAUGUUAUUAGCAGACAAACAGUCAGCACUUCACGUUAAAUAAUUAAACUUGCAAUAGAAAGAUAGAACAAUAACUGACUUGAUCAUGGUGUUGGGAAACUGUCAGUGACGUAACAAAAUUACUAAUUACAAAACCAGCUCAUAAUCACCUUUGUCAAACAAUUGGCAAAAUAAAUAGGAUGAACCCAGUUGGAAGUAUCUGGCAUUCCCCCAGUCAACUGAGCAUAGACUGUGUUACCAAAAGCUAUUAAUGAGGUUAUGAUAGCUUUAAAAGCUCAAAUAGGGCAGUUGUAGAACAGUCUAUACUGUGACUGUCCUCAUUCAAAAAAUUAGCCGAGAAAGCUGAGUUACACGGAAGGUUCAAUGGUUAAAGAUGUGACUUUGCAUGGGUGCUAAAACCAACAUUUAUUAAGCUUAAAGAUCUGUCUUUAUCACCUAAGCUCCUCUGUAACAAAAUAAAUUAAGCCUAGAGAUCGAUCUUAAUCAGUUAAAGAUGAUCUGUACAGCUGCAGAAUCAUUUACACCCCUUAGUUUAUCUUAAACAACAACAUCAAUAUCUGUCAUAACUCUCACCAAUAUUCAUUCUUUUCACAAAUACAAUCACCCAAAAAUCACUCAACCCAGCAGUUGCAAGUCCUUUGCUAAGAUCAAUCAUUAAUCAGAUAUAAACUUUUAAGAAAAUAUAAAACCUCAACGACAAUGACAACUUACCAGUCUCCUCAUCAGGCCUGGACGGCGGGCCCUGGCACCACAAGGCAGUCCCUCAUUGCAUCUUAUAACAGGUAUUCUGCUCAAUCACAAGCUUGCCACUAAAAUCCCCUUUCAUCCAGCUUAGAAGCCACAUGAUCAGGAUCUCCGAGCCUUACUAGAAGCGAAAGAGUGAGAAAAGUAAAGGGGCAGAAAAAAUGGUAGAAACCCUCAGCUACUUGCUUGCAAGUAUUAGGACCAGAUCUUACCAGAUCUAAAAUGAUUUUCCAGAUUGCAUACCUCGCGCGAUGCGCGCCAAACCGAUCUGCAAAGUUUUGGAGUUGGAAGAUAGUUUCAGGGUUAAAACUAACGGAUGCUUUUGGUGCUCUUCUUGGUUUCUUCCACAGCCUUACCAUCACCAGAAUCUGAACGACAAUCUGCAUCUCAUCUCUUCGACAAUCUGCAUUCCCAACUAUUUGGAUUGUGAUCGACGGUUUCACGGUUCACGUGCCAGCGGAUUCGGGUUCGGAUUUGGUGAAUCUUGGCUUAAAAUUUAGGAGAUUUGAGACAGGGCGGUGCUUUUUCUUUUGAUUUUUUUUUCUUCUACAGUGACGUUGAGACUCAAUGGGAAAUGUAUUUUUUUUCCACCUUUUAUUUUCAAAAAAGGGGAAAAAUAGAUAGUAUAAAAAAAAGUUUUUUUUUUUACUUUUUUGCUGUUGAUGGUGCCAUAAUUGUUAUAAUAUUGAAUUUUUUUAAUAAAUAAUAACUAUAAAAAUAUUUUAAUUAAUUAUUAUAAAUUUUAAUUAGGUAAUAUUAAAUAAAUAAUAAUAAUAAUAAUAAUAAAUUAUUAAUAAAUUAUAAUGAAUUAUAAUUAUAAUAAUUUUAUAAUAAAUAAUAAUGAAACAAUUUCAUACUGAUAAUAAUAACAAUAAAAUUAUAAAUAUAAUAAUAUUUUUACGAAAUAAUAAUAUAAUAAAAUAUUAAUAAUAAUAACUUAUUAUUAUAAUUAUUAUUAUAAAGUUUGAUUACAAUAAUAUUUUCAUAAAUAAUAAUCAUAAAACAAAAUCAUGAAAUUAAUAAAUAAUAUCAAUAAUGAAUUAGUAAUCAUAAUUAUAAUACUAUUUUAAUAAAUAUUAUGAUGAUGAUGACGAUUAUUCUUAUUAUUAUUAUUAUUAUUAUUAUUAUUAUUAUUAUUAUUAUUACCACCAAUUGACAAUAAUCAACAAAGGGCAUUUAAGAAAUUAUGAUAAUUCAUUCCGAUUUCAAGACAAAUUAAACAUAUCGAUGGAAAUGAAUCUCAUUCCGACUUCAAUUUCUACAGCUCAAAUAAAUAACUUAUUCUUAUUCACAUUCUUGAUUCUGAUUGUAGCCCGUUACGAUUACUGAUUGGUAAAUGCACCAUGAGCAGAUUAUUGUGGUUUAAUUGGGUCUGUUUUUUUCAAACCUAAUGAAUAAUUAGUUUGGGUUGGAUAAAUUAUAAUUAACCAGUCUAACCCAACCAAAUCUAUAAUAAUAAUAAUAAUAAUAAUAAGAAGAAGAAGAAGAAGGAGGAGGAGGAAAAUGAUAAUGUGUUAAUUCUCAAUUGCAAAAUUAUAACGACUUAAAUGGUUUAUCUAAUUUUUUAUUCUUUUUAAUCUUUUAAUACAAGAGGCUAUUUCAUUCUUGCAUCUGAUGCUCUAGACUACAAUUCCAAAACCAAAAUCACAUUAUCUUAUAAGUAAAUUUAUUAUUUUAUAAGAUUAAUAUAAAAGUAAGUUGGUUUUAAUUUUUUUAUUUUUUUAGUGAAUACUUAACGGCACAUAAUUAUAUAUCACUUUCAUUUUAUUUUUGUAUAUGAUGCUAGCUAAUUAUCUAAAAAGUCUUAAUUUGGAAUUGGAAAAGGAGAUGCAGGAGAAAUAAAGUCUAUAUGGUUUUUGUGGAAAUUUUCUUAAUUUAAAGAUAGUUAAUUUAUUAACUUUCUUUACGUACACUAGAUAGUGAAUGAAAAUUUCAUGUUAUAAAAAAUAUGUAAAUCACAGAUAAAACUAGUAAUUUAAUGAAAAAAUGGUAAAUUAAUGUUGGAAUUGUAAUUUGCACGAAGAACUUGUAAACAAGACAAAAACUUAGAAAACUGACAUAGAACUUGUAAAUUCACAUUAAGUGUGAAAUAAAACAAAAAAUAUGUAAAUCACACAUAACACUAGUAAAUUGAUGGAAAAAUGAGAAAAUUAAUGUUGGAGUUGUAAUUUGUACGAAAAACUUGUAAAUAAAACAAAAACUUAGAAAAAUGACAUAGAACUAGUAAAUUCACAUUAAGUGUGACAUAAAACAAAAAAUGUGUAAACCACACAUAAAACUAGUAAAUUAAUGAAAAAAAUGAUAAAUUAAUGUUGGAAUUGUAAUUAGCACGAAGAACUUGUAAUCAAAACAAAAACUUAGAAAAAUGACAUAAAACUAGUAAAUUCACAUUAAGUGUGAAAUAAAACAAAAAAUAUGUAAACCACACAUAAAACUAGUAAAAUAAUGAAAAACAUGGUAAAUUAAUGUUGGAGUUGUCAUUUGCACGAAGAACUUGUAAACACAACAAAAACUUAGAAAAAUGACAUAGAACUAGUAAAUUGACAUUAAUUGUGAAAUAAAACAAAAAAUGUGUAAAUCACACAUAAAACUAGUAAAUUAAUGAAAAAAAUGGUAAAUUAAUGUUCGAAUUGUAAUUUCCACGAAGAACUUGUAAACACAACAAAAACUUAGAAAAAUGACAUAGAACUAGUAAAUUGACAUUAUUUGUGAAAUAAAACAAAAAAUAUGUAAAUCACACAUAAAACUAGUAAUUUAAUGAAAAAAAUGGUAAAUUAAUGUUGGAAUUGUAAUUUGCACGAAGAACUUGUAAACAAGACAAAAACUUAGAAAACUGACAUAGAACUUGUAAAUUCACAUUAAGUGUGAACUAAAACAAAAAAUAUGUAAAUCACACAUAAAACUAGUAAUUUAACGAAAAAAAUGGUAAAUUAAUGUUGGAAUUGUAAUUUGCACGAAGAACUUGUAAACAAGACAAAAACUUAGAAAACUGACAUAGAACUUGUCAAUUCACAUUAAGUGUGAAAUAAAACAAAAAAUAUGUAAAUCACACAGAAAAUUAGUAAUUUAAUGAAAAAAAUGGUAAAUUAAUGUUGGAAUUGUAAUUUGCACGAAGAACUUGUAAACAAGACAAAAACUUAGAAAACUGACAUAGAACUUGUAAAUUCACGUUAAGUGUGAAAUAAAACAAAAAAUAUGUAAAUCACACAUAAAACUAGUAAAUUAAUGAAAAAAAUGGUAAAUUAAUGUUGGAAUUGUAAUUUGCAUGAAGAACUUGUAAACAAAACAAAAACUUAUAAAAAUGACAUAGAACUAGUAAAUUCACAUUAAUUGUGAAAUGAAACAAAAAAUAUGUAAAUCACACAUAAAACUAGUAAAUUAAUGGAAAAAUGAGAAAGUUAAUGUUGGAGUUGUAAUUUGUACGAAAAACUUGUAAACAAAACAAAAACUUAGAAAAAUGACAUAGAACUAGUAAAUUCACAUUAAGUGUGAAAUAAAACAAAAAAUAUGUUAACCACACAUAAAACUAGUAAAUGUAUGGAAAAAAUGGUAAAUUAAUGUUCGAGUUGUAAAUUGUAAGAAGAACUUGUAAACAAGGCAAAAACUUAGAAAAAUGACAUAGAACUUGGAAAUUCACAUUAAGUGUGAAAUAAAACAAAAAAUAUGUAAAUCACACAUAAAACUAGUAAAUUGUGAAAAAAAAAUAGUAAAUUAAUGUUGGAAUUGUAAUUUGCGCGAAGAACUUGUAAACAAAACAAAAACUUAUAAAAAUGACAUAGAACUAGUAAAUUGACAUUAAUUGUGAAAUAAAACAAAAAAUGUGUAAAUCACACAUAAAACUAGUAAAUUGAUGAAAAAAUAAGUAAAUUAAUGCCGGAGUUGUAAUUUGUACGAAAAACUUGUAAACAAAACAAAAACUUAGAAAAAUGACAUAGAACUAGUAAAUUCACAUUAAUUGUGAAAUGAAACAAAAAAUAUGUAAAUCACACGUAAAACUAGUAAAUUAAUGGAAAAAUGAGAAAGUUAAUGUUGGAGUUGUAAUUUGUAAAUGUAUGGAAAAAAUGGUAAAUUAAUGUUCGAGUUGUAAAUUGUAAGAAGAACUUGUAAACAAGGCAAAAACUUAGAAAAAUGACAUAGAACUUGUAAAUUCACAUUAAGUGUGAAAUAAAACAAAAAAUAUGUAAAUCACACAUAAAACUAGUAAAUUAGUGAAAAAAAAUGGUAAAUUAAUGUUGGAAUUGAAAUUUGCACGAAGAACUUGUAAUCAAAACAAAAACUUAUAAAAAUGACAUAGAACUAGUAAAUUGACAUUAAUUGUGAAAUAAAACAAAAAAUGUGUAAAUCACACAUAAAACUAGUAACUUGAUGAAAAAAUAAGUAAAUUAAUGCCGGAGUUGUAAUUUGUACGAAAAACUUGUAAACAAAACAAAAACUUAGAAAAAUGACAUAGAACUAGUAAAUUGACAUUAAUUGUGAAAUAAAACAAAAAAUGUGUAAAUCACACAUAACACUAGUAAAUUGAUGGAAAAAUGAGAAAAUUAAUGUUGGAGUUGUAAUUUGUACGAAAAACUUGUAAAUAAAACAAAAACUUAGAAAAAUGACAUAGAACUAGUAAAUUCACAUUAAGUGUGACAUAAAACAAAAAAUGUGUAAACCACACAUAAAACUAGUAAAUUAAUGAAAAAAAUGAUAAAUUAAUGUUGGAAUUGUAAUUAGCACGAAGAACUUGUAAUCAAAACAAAAACUUAGAAAAAUGACAUAAAACUAGUAAAUUCACAUUAAGUGUGAAAUAAAACAAAAAAUAUGUAAACCACACAUAAAACUAGUAAAAUAAUGAAAAACAUGGUAAAUUAAUGUUGGAGUUGUCAUUUGCACGAAGAACUUGUAAACACAACAAAAACUUAGAAAAAUGACAUAGAACUAGUAAAUUGACAUUAAUUGUGAAAUAAAACAAAAAAUGUGUAAAUCACAAAUAAAACUAGUAAAUUAAUGAAAAAAAUGGUAAAUUAAUGUUGGAAUUGUAAUUUGCACGAAGAACUUGUAAACAAGACAAAAACUUAGAAAACUGACAUAGAACUUGUAAAUUCACAUUAAGUGUGAACUAAAACAAAAAAUAUAUAAAUCACACAUAAAACUAGUAAUUUAAUGAAAAAAAUGGUAAAUUAAUGUUGGAAUUGUAAUUUGCACGAAGAACUUGUAAACAAGACAAAAACUUAGAAAACUGACAUAGAACUUGUAAAUUCACGUUAAGUGUGAAAUAAAACAAAAAAUAUUUAAAUCACACAUAAAACUAGUAAAUUAAUGAAAAAAAUGGUAAAUUAAUGUUCGAAUUGUAAUUUGCACGAAGAACUUGUAAACAAGACAAAAACUUAGAAAACUGACAUAGAACUUGUAAAUUCACGUUAAGUGUGAAAUAAAACAAAAAAUAUGUAAAUCACACAUAAAACUAGUAAAUUAAUGAAAAAAAUGGUAAAUUAAUGUUGGAAUUGUAAUUUGCAUGAAGAACUUGUAAACAAAACAAAAACUUAUAAAAAUGACAUAGAACUAGUAAAUUCACAUUAAUUGUGAAAUGAAACAAAAAAUAUGUAAAUCACACAUAAAACUAGUAAAUUAAUGGAAAAAUGAGAAAGUUAAUGUUGGAGUUGUAAUUUGUACGAAAAACUUGUAAACAAAACAAAAACUUAGAAAAAUGACAUAGAACUAGUAAAUUCACAUUAGGUGUGAAAUAAAACAAAAAAUAUGUUAACCACACAUAAAACUAGUAAAUGUAUGGAAAAAAUGGUAAAUUAAUGUUCGAGUUGUAAAUUGUAAGAAGAACUUGUAAACAAGGCAAAAACUUAGAAAAAUGACAUAGAACUUGUAAAUUCACAUUAAGUGUGAAAUAAAACAAAAAAUAUGUAAACCACACAUAAAACUAGUAAAAUAAUGAAAAACAUGGUAAAUUAAUGUUGGAGUUGUCAUUUGCACGAAGAACUUGUAAACACAACAAAAACUUAGAAAAAUGACAUAGAACUAGUAAAUUGACAUUAAUUGUGAAAUAAAACAAAAAAUGUGUAAAUCACACAUAAAACUAGUAAAUUAAUGAAAAAAAUGGUAAAUUAAUGUUGGAAUUGUAAUUAGCACGAAGAACUUGUAAUCAAUACAAAAACUUAGAAAAAUGACAUAAAACUAGUAAAUUCACAUUAAGUGUGAAAUAAAACAAAAAAUAUGUAAACCACACAUAAAACUAGUAAAAUAAUGAAAAACAUGGUAAAUUAAUGUUGGAGUUGUCAUUUGCACGAAGAACUUGUAAACACAACAAAAACUUAGAAAAAUGACAUAGAACUAGUAAAUUGACAUUAAUUGUGAAAUAAAACAAAAAAUGUGUAAAUCACACAUAAAACUAGUAAAUUAAAGAAAAAAAUGGUAAAUUAAUGUUGGAAUUGUAAUAUGCACGAAGAACUUGUAAACAAGACAAAAACUUAGAAAACUGACAUAGAACUUGUAAAUUCACAUUAAGUGUGAACUAAAACAAAAAAUAUAUAAAUCACACAUAAAACUAGUAAUUUAAUGAAAAAAAUGGUAAAUUAAUGUUGGAAUUGUAAUUUGCACGAAGAACUUGUAAACAAGACAAAAACUUAGAAAACUGACAUACAACUUGUAAAUUCACGUUAAGUGUGAAAUAAAACAAAAAAUAUUUAAAUCACACAUAAAACUAGUAAAUUAAUGAAAAAAAUGGUAAAUUAAUGUUCGAAUUGUAAUUUGCACGAAGAACUUGUAAACAAGACAAAAACUUAGAAAACUGACAUAGAACUUGUAAAUUCACGUUAAGUGUGAAAUAAAACAAAAAAUAUGUAAAUCACACAUAAAACUAGUAAAUUAAUGAAAAAAAUGGUAAAUUAAUGUUGGAAUUGUAAUUUGCAUGAAGAACUUGUAAACAAAACAAAAACUUAUAAAAAUGACAUAGAACUAGUAAAUUCACAUUAAUUGUGAAAUGAAACAAAAAAUAUGUAAAUCACACAUAAAACUAGUAAAUUAAUGGAAAAAUGAGAAAGUUAAUGUUGGAGUUGUAAUUUGUACGAAAAACUUGUAAACAAAACAAAAACUUAGAAAAAUGACAUAGAACUAGUAAAUUCACAUUAGGUGUGAAAUAAAACAAAAAAUAUGUUAACCACACAUAAAACUAGUAAAUGUAUGGAAAAAAUGGUAAAUUAAUGUUCGAGUUGUAAAUUGUAAGAAGAACUUGUAAACAAGGCAAAAACUUAGAAAAAUGACAUAGAACUUGUAAAUUCACAUUAGGUGUGAAAUAAAACAAAAAAUAUGUAAAUCACACAUAAAACUAGUAAAUUAGUGAAAAAAAAUGGUAAAUUAAUGUUGGAAUUGUAAUUUGCACGAAGAACUUGUAAACAAAACAAAAACUUAUAAAAAUGACAUAGAACUAGUAAAUUGACAUUAAUUGUGAAAUAAAACAAAAAAUGUGUAAAUCACACAUAAAACUAGUAAAUUGAUGAAAAAAUAAGUAAAUUAAUGCCGGAGUUGUAAUUUGUACGAAAAACUUGUAAACAAAACAAAAACUUAGAAAAAUGACAUAGAACUAGUAAAUUCACAUUAAGUGUGAAAUAAAACAAAAACUAUGUAAACCACACAUAAAACUAGUAAAUGUAUGGAAAAAAUGGUAAAUUAAUGUUCGAGUUGUAAAUUGUAUGAGGAACUUGUAAACAAGACAAAAACUUAGAAAAAUGACAUAGAACUUGUAAAUUCACAUUAAGUGUAAAAUAAAACAAAAAAUAUGUAAAUCACACAUAAAACUAGUAAAUUAAUGAAAAAAAUGGUAAAUUAAUGUUGGAAUUGUAAUUUGCACGAAGAACUUGUAAACAAAACAAAAACUUAUAAAAAUGACAUAGAACUAGUAAAUUGACAUUAAUUGUGAAAUAAAACAAAAAAUGUGUAAAUCACACAUAAAACUAGUAAAUUGAUGAAAAAAUAAGUAAAUUAAUGCCGGAGUUGUAAUUUGUACGAAAAACUUGUAAACAAAACAAAAACUUAGAAAAAUGACAUAGAACUAGUAAAUUCACAUUAAGUGUGAAAUAAAACAAAAAAUAUGUUAACCACACAUAAAACUAGUAAAUGUAUGGAAAAAAUGGUAAAUUAAUGUUCGAGUUGUAAAUUGUAAUAAGAACUUGUAAACAAGGCAAAAACUGAGAAAAAUGACAUAGAACUUGUAAAUUCACAUUAAGUGUGAAAUAAAACAAAAAAUAUGUAAAUCACACAUAAAACUAGUAAAUUAGUGAAAAAAAAUGGUAAAUUAAUGUUGGAAUUGUAAUUUGCACGAAGAACUUGUAAACAAAACAAAAACUUAUAAAAAUGACAUAGAACUAGUAAAUUGACAUUAAUUGUGAAAUAAAACAAAAAAUGUGUAAAUCACACAUAAAACUAGUAAAUUGAUGAAAAAAUAAGUAAAUUAAUGCCGGAGUUGUAAUUUGUACGAAAAACUUGUAAACAAAACAAAAACUUAGAAAAAUGACAUAGAACUAGUAAAUUCACAUUAAGUGUGAAAUAAAACAAAAAAUAUGUUAACCACACAUAAAACUAGUAAAUGUAUGGAAAAAAUGGUAAAUUAAUGUUCGAGUUGUAAAUUGUAAGAAGAACUUGUAAACAAGGCAAAAACUUAGAAAAAUGACAUAGAACUUGUAAAUUCACAUUAAGUGUGAAAUAAAACAAAAAAUAUGUAAAUCACACAUAAAACUAGUAAAUUAGUGAAAAAAAAUGGUAAAUUAAUGUUGGAAUUGUAAUUUGCACGAAGAACUUGUAAACAAAACAAAAACUUAUAAAAAUGACAUAGAACUAGUAAAUUGACAUUAAUUGUGAAAUAAAACAAAAAAUGUGUAAAUCACACAUAAAACUAGUAAAUUGAUGAAAAAAUAAGUAAAUUAAUGCCGGAGUUGUAAUUUGUACGAAAAACUUGUAAACAAAACAAAAACUUAGAAAAAUGACAUAGAACUAGUAAAUUCACAUUAAGUGUGAAAUAAAACAAAAACUAUGUAAACCACACAUAAAACUAGUAAAUGUAUGGAAAAAAAUGGUAAAUUAAUGUUCGAGUUGUAAAUUGUAUGAAGAACUUGUAAACAAGACAAAAACUUAGAAAAAUGACAUAGAACUUGUAAAUUCACAUUAAGUGUAAAAUAAAACAAAAAAUAUGUAAAUCACACAAAAAACUAGUAAAUUAAUGAAAAAAAUGGUGAAUUAAUGUUGGAAUUGUAAUUUGCACGAAGAACUUGUAAACAAAACAAAAACUUAUAAAAAUGACAUAGAACUAGUAAAUUGACAUUAAUUGUGAAAUAAAACAAAAAAUGUGUAAAUCACACAUAAAACUAGUAAAUUGAUGAAAAAAUGAGUAAAUUAAUGCCGGAGUUGUAAUUUGUACGAAGAAUUUGUAAACAAAACAAAAAUUUAGAAAAAUGACAUAGAACUAGUAAAUUCACAUUAAGUGUGAAAUAAAACAUAAAAUAUGUAAACCACACAUAAAACUAAUAAAUUAAUGGAAAAAUAGGUAAAUUAAUGUUAGAGUUGUAAAUUGUAAGAAGAACUUGUAAAUAAAACAAAAACUUGUAAAUGUUGCAUAAAACUUGUAAAUCAACAUUAACUUGUAAAAGUUUCAUAAAACUUGUAAAUCACACAUAAAAUUAGUAAAUGUAACUUGGAACUUGAACAAAAAAGAGUAAUUACCUGCUACUUAGGUAACAAAUUACCUAUUUAUUUAGAAUUAAUGGUAGAAAUUUUUUAUUCAAAUCUAACGGUCCACGUCCAUUACGGCAUCAAUGCCGUAAAUUUAGUUACGGCAUUAAAGAAUGACCCUUAAAAAUAUUAUCUUGGGUGGAUCCCGCCCCUAAGCAUAAGUGAUGGGGAAGUUAGCUGCCAGCCGGGCCCCACGACUCAUGCAAUUCUCUAAUGCGUAAUUUUGCCGUCCGAUUAUUGUUAUACUUCAAAAUGGGCCAUGGGUUUGUUACUUACAAAAGAGAGUUGGGGUCUGAUUGGAAAUACUUGCAAGAUGUUUCAAAAAUGAUUUUGAAAAGUUAGUAGUUAAUUUAGGUGUUUGAUUUUUUUUCUUAAUUCCUUUGGAGAAAAUUAUGCCAUGUAAAUUUUAAAAAGUAAAAAAUGAGUAACUUUUUUGAAAUCUAAUUUUGACAAUCAUUUUUUAUAUUUAAUAUAAUUUCAUAUAUAUCUUCACAUAUAUUAUAAAAAUUUAAAAUUAUCCUUAUUAAUUAGAAAUAAAAUUAUUAAAUUUAAAGAGACUAUUAUUAUUGCCAAUUAUAUUGAGAUAACAAAAUAAAAAUAAAAUUAAUAAUAUAAAAUAUUUUUUUUAGCUAUCAAAUAUUAUAUAUACACAUUAAACAAAUAUUUUACAAACAUGUUUAUAAAUCUGUUAAUAAAUUUUAUUCAACAUUAUGUCCAUUUCAGUCGUUUAUAUUCUUAUAACAGUUGAACAGUAAGAUUUAUCAAAUACAUAUGACUGCUUUUAAAACCUAUAAUACUUUAAAAAUAAAUCUUACUAAACAUUUUAUUAAUUCCGUUCACAACUGAUUAUUUUGACAAUGCAAUUAACAAUAAUUAUUUUAAAAGAUACAACAUUAUUAAAGUGGUCCUUAGUUUCUCGGGCUUACUCCUAAUAUAGGAAUGAGAUUCUUUUGGGCUCUCUUUUUAUGAGAUUUAAUUUUUAUUAUGUGAUUUUGUUGUUUUUCGUUAAUCGGUUGUCAAUUAAUUGCGUUUUAGAAAUAUUUAUCUUUUUAGUUUUUAAGGAUUGCAUUGGAAAUUUUUUAAUAAAAAUGGUUGAAUAUGACCAAGUAAGUAAUAAUAAAUUAAUUAAUUAAAUUAGCAUUGUUUACAGAUAGCGUACGCAGAGUUACGGAAUCCAAGAAAUAUACUAAGUUAAUUAUUGUAUUCAAUUUUUUUACGAGGCCUUCAUCUUAGUAAUGCUAAGGCAUUUCUAAUAUCAUCAUUUUAUUGUCGCUGGAGACUUGCACUGCAUGCAAUAAAUCCUGGAAUCAAAUUUGAUGUAAAACCUUAUUAAACCCAAAAUCCAAAUUUGAUGCAAAUCCUAUUAAAUCCAAAUUCAAUAAAAUCACAUAUUAUUGUAUACCGUUCUUUUACCUCUAACCUUCACCAUCACCAUCGGCGUAUCGGAGUAUGUAGAGACUCAAAAUAUGGAUCUAAAGAUUGUACUAUACUUUUUGUUAGUGACAGUAUCGAAUCACGUCACGUGCUUCUUUGAUCAUUAAUUGGAGAAACAUUUGAAAGAAAAAAAAUAAGUUAAUUUUUCGUUUAAUUGUCUCCAACAUUUCAUUAGUAUUUAUCUAUAGAUAUAGGUGAGGUUUACUAGGUUUACUUUGGCUAUAGAUUUUAAGACGGUAUAAAAACUAUGCUUGUCAAGGCAAAAAAGAAAGGUUACAGAAAGAGAUUAUGAAAAAAAAAAAAUCUUUGAAAAUGUUAUUAUAUUUGUACAAAAACUAAAAUCAUAUAAAGUUUAUGUCUCUUUUUACCUACUCACGACUAAUAAUUUUAUGCCUUCUUACAAAAUAGUUAUAACUAAACCAAAUAAAAAGAAUAUCACUGAAAUUUAUAAGUAAUAAAUAUUCCCGUAUUUAGAUACCCAUGAUUGCUGAUUUAGGAGUCGUAUAGUCAUUUUUUCAAAAUGCUACAGCAGGACAAAGUUUCUCACUACAGCUCCAUAGUGUAGUUCAUCUGUUAACUAGAAAUGCCUAUACAUAGAUAUAUAUAUAUAUAUAUAUAUAUAUAUAUAUAGAGAGAGAGAGAGAGAGAGAGAGAGAAGUUUUUUAUCAACUUGUUAACAGUUGCUCUUUGGUUGGCACGAAGCUAACAAAUGCUGUGCCUAGUUUCCAUCCGAAGGCAAUUACACUGUAGAUGAUGUUUCUCUCGCUUACAUUGUUGGUGCUGCUUGCUCUCCGAAUCUUGGACCGUGUGAUGAGAUGGAUGAUUGGAAGCCUUUUCCUGAUGGAAUUCUACCGGAAGAAAUUACUACAAGUGACGAUGAACGUGUUGUGUACAUAUGCUUUCGUGAGGCUUCUGAGGUGAGAACAAUUGAACGGUGGGAAGUUGAGCAUUGUUGCCGUAAGUCAAUUAAGGUAGGGUCAAGCAAGAAGUGUCGAGACGAUUAACGAAGAUGAUCAGCAGCCUGUUCGGAAUAUUAUUCAUGAAUUUUGGCUCAUUGACGGGACUUCUUAUAUUGGUUGUGUUUAGUUUUCACCUGCCGACAAGGUUCAGUACACAUACUUGAAUAAAUUCAGUUUAACAUUUCAACUACGACCAUGAAGUACCCGUACAGGUUGCCACCUUGAGACUCAGUGUGUAAAAUUAAGAAUGAAGGUGCUUGAUGGAAAUGAUGAAGUGUACUAUGAAAUGCCACAGUGAGGUUAUUUUGGUGGGAAGACGAUAAUUAGAAUUUAGCAGCUCAAGGUACUCUCGAAUCAGCUAAACAAACACCCUCUAGAAGAGCUCUAUAGAAUACACUAGAAUACUGAAGAUGAAGCCAUGAAAGAUUGUGAUUCAUCAAGCUUAAUAGCAAAAUGUAUCAAGAGUUCUUAUUUCUAAUUGUAUCAAUCUAGACCCAAUCCUAGCCAUUUAAAAAAUAAUAAAUGCAAUUUAGUGUAUAAGCUUAGACUAAAAAGCCUGCAAAAUCACUUGCUGGAAAAGACAAAAUGAAUUUAUCGUAUUUGUGCGUUUUUGUUCUUUGUUUCUAGUUAUUCAUUUACUGCUUUUUUUUUUAACUGGACCGUCGAUGAAAACAUUUCAUAACUUGUGAUAUUAUCAUUUUAAAAUAAUAUAUAUGAUACUCAUCCAUGAAUGAUGAGAUAGUUUAAUUCAUAAAAUGUUUCAAAAAUUGUAAAAAUUUAUUAUUCACUUAAUAAGAAUCACAUGACUUCGAAACAGUUCCUUUGGUCCUUGCAUUCAUUAGCUGCUAUGCUAGUGCUCAUCAGUUGAGAAGAUGAAUGGGAUUAAUUGCUUUGAAUUUCCCAAAGUUGAAUCUCUUUCUUCUUCCACUCUAUUUAAAGCCUUCACCCCAUCAACUUGUUAUCGAUGGACUGUUUUUAAUUUUGACCUGCACGUAAGAUACAGAACCUGAGGAUGAUAGCCAAUUAGCCAUGAAAUAAAUUACAUAAGGUCGUUUGAUAUUAAUUUCCACUAGCAUUUGAAAUUUAUUUCCGUUUUCAGUUAUCUGAUCAAUUUUGAGAAACACAUAUGCAAUGUGGUUUCUGUUUUAGUUAAAUUUUAAAUUAUUCAUGGAGUAGUACUUAAAAAGAAAGUAACUUUGAGAAGAAUGGGCAAAUAAGGUAAUUCUGUUAUCACUCUAAUUCUCAAUUUAUAAUCACAUAAUUAUAGGCUCAAUUUGUCUCCUAGCCGUUGGAGUCAAUCGUGCAGCUGUAAAUGAGAUAAUUUACUUUCCAUGCAAGGUUAUAACAUUUAAUAGAUGAUUUGUUGCCAGACUUGGUUAUAACAUUUUUCAAAAUCCAGGAGUGAUUGAUGCAAAAUUUAAUGUCAUUGAUUCUGAAAAUCCUUUAGGAUGUUUCUCUUUAUAUAAAACACAAGUGUAAAAAUUAUUCACCCUGCACUCGACACAAAGAUAGUUAAAAAAUGAGCAUGAAAUUCUUAGGUAUACAAAUUGCAGUAGCAUUUACAUUUACGUUCUCACCUUGACCAGCAAAAUUAAUGGCUUUAGAAUUGAGCUCACCCCAAGAACCUCCAUUGAUUCGGCUCUGUUUCCCAAAGACCUUUCUCCAGAAGAAAUACAUCACAGAAUUGCUCAACUCUCCAGAGCUCGCGCUAUUCAUCUUAGAUCCAAUCAAGAACCCGAAACACUAAAAGCACCUGUUCCUCCUUCUCCUUUUGUUAACACCAAUAUAUACAUAACAAAGAUAUCCAUUGGCUCAACACAGUUCUCACCUUACUUGAUAGUGGAUACCGGUAGUGAUGAUACAUGGCUUCAAUGUGAGGGUUGCACAAGUUGCUUUCCAAUCAAGGGAGGAAGCUUUCCUGUCAAGGAAUCAAAAACUUAUCGCGGCUUAGCUUGUGAGCACGCUUUGUGUCCCCAAAUUGUGUAAUAAAGGUCUAUGCUCAUACGAUUGGAAGUACAAAGAAGGCAGUGGAACUAAGGGUGUGCUUUCGUCCGAAAGUUUCACUUUUCCUGGGGAUAAAAAUACAAGCCUAACAUUUGCAAAUGUAACCUUUGGUUGUGGCUAUGACAAUCAGAACGUAUCAUUUGGUGGAUACAUGGGAAGUGACAAUAUAAUUGCGGGGGUGUUUGGUUUAGGGGCAGGGCAACGAUCAAUCCUGAGGCAAUUGGAGCCUGAGACCAACCUACAUUUCUCUUACUGUCUUCGCUUGUACCCCACAACAGACGGGAGCAACACUACUUACUUGCGAUUUGGCCCUGAUGCUCAGAUAAAAGGAGACAAUAAACGAAAAGUUCAGACAAUAAAAUUGAACCCAAGCCUACCCGGGUAUUUUGUGAAUGUUACAGGUAUUAGCGUUGAAGGAAAACGACUAGAAAUAGACCCAGCUUUGUUUCAGCUGAAACAAGGAGGCUCUGGUGGAUUUGCUAUUGAUUCAGGUGUUGGACCCACUCUUCUUGUUCCUGAGGCAUAUGAAGUCUUGAAACUAGAAAUCCUCGAAUUCUAUUUGGCGCGAGGCUUUCAUCCUGUAAAAGUAUUGCAUGUGCCGUAUGAUCUUUGCUAUGCUAUUACACCUGCAGCUAAUGCUGAUGCUAGUGUUUUCUUCCCGUCAAUGGUAAUCCAUUUCGAAGGGGCUGACCUUUUUCUGGAUGAUACUGCUGUGAUGGGGUUCGUUGCUCCUCAAUUGUUCUGUUUGAUUUUCUUGCCUACGCAUCCAUCCGGACCGAAUCUUCUGGGGGCAUUUCAGCAAGAAAAUCAAAGGUUUUUGUUUGAUGUUGGAAAAUCUACUGUGUCAUUUGUUUCUGAGACAUGUAAUGAGCAAGAAUAAGAUUAUGUGACUCUAAAAAAAUUGCAGGCUUUUCAAAAAUUUUUUUUUUCUUUUUCUUCCCAGAUUGUCAGCUUCUUUGGAUUCAGGUCCUGCAAUUUUAAAGGCCUGAUCAGUACUCAAUUUUAGACAUAGCAGGUGUUAAAAAUGAGACUGAUGCAAUAUUUAAUUACGAAUUCUCCAAAUUUGAACCCUACGUAAACUUGAUUUAGAUAAUCAUGAUGUAAGAAGCAAUAAUGAUACAUGAUUAGGUGUACAAAAAGUUAUCGUUAAUGUAAAUAUAGAAAUUUGUAGAACUGGCAGUCGCAGCUCAUCAUGAUUAGUUGUGCAAUACCUUUAAUGGUAAAGCAUUAAUGAAAUUCUAUAAAGACUAAAAACCAUUUAAACCAAAAGAUAUAGAUUUGAUUGCCGCUCACAUGGGUGGGAAAGGGAGUAGAUUACUAUUAAGCCUAAUAAUAAUAAUAAGGAGCCCCUACGUUACGAUUAACGUAACGUACACUCACACACAGCAACAGUACCAAUUCAUUCAAUUCCUCAAUACCCAAAAACGCUGAUCUAAGCUUGCUUUAGAAAAGAUAAUUAUUAGGUAAGAAACAAUGAUACAUGAUUGGUGGUGUAUAAACAUUUAUCAUUUGUGCAAUAAUAUUGAAACUUGAAACACUGAUAACAUGAUUAGUUGUACAAUAUCUUAACGUUAAUGCAAUUUUAAAAAGAGUAAAGAGCAUUUAAAUGCAAAAUCAGCACCAAUUCCUCAAAAGCCAUUUGUUCUUCUGUAUAUCCAUACAAAAUUACAAAUGAUGCAACAAUGUUCUUGCUACUCACAAAAUAUAGAGAUUAUAGCUGUGAAACCCUUUGAUUUACAGCUACAACGGGUGGCUGCAGUUGCCCUUUACAUUUACAUCCUCACCGAGUUCAUGAGUACAACUUAUAGCUUCGAAAUUGACCUCAUUCCAAGAACCUCCAUUGAUUCAAAUCUUUUCCCCAAACACCUUACUCAUGAAGAAACAUAUCAUAGAAUUGCUUCACUUUCGAGAGCUCAUGCUCAUCAUCUCAGUUCCAUGAAUUCUGCCAAAUCCUCCCGAAAACAAAGCACACCCCGAGCCUGAUCAGUGGAUGCAACCACCAACUUUUUCUUUUCCUUUUGCUAAUAUAUAUGUAACAAAGGAUCGAGUUAAUUGGUUCAAGACAAUUCUCACCUUACCUGGUUAUGGAUACUGGUAGUGGGCUAUAUGUGACUUCAAUCUGAAAGAUUGAUUAGACAUUGAUCCGGCAUUGUUUGAGCUAAGCCGUGGCAGUUCAGGUCGGGUUUGCUAUUGAUUCACGCGUUGGACUGAUAAUUCAGGUUCCUGCUGCAUAUAAAGUUUGAAAGCUGAGAUGAUCAAGCACGUUGUUAUACAAAAUGGCUGGCAUCUCGUAGAGGCAGAGAAUUCAAAGAAAAUUCCAUAUGACUUCUGCUUUUGGGUCACACCAACUGGCAUUAAUGAUUCAAAACCAUCAAUGACAAUCCAUUUUGAGGAAGCUGAUCUUGUUCUGGAGCCUAAUGCUGUGUCUCAGAAAGUUGGUGAUCCCUUAUGAAUGAAUGUUAUCCCCAGCUAUCCUAAUGGACCAAAUCUAUUAGGGGCUUCUCAGCAGGCAAACAACCAUUUCUUGUUCGAUGUUAGAAAAUUUAUUUUGUCAUUUAUUACUGAAAAAAGUAAUGAAUAGGUAGGUUACAAGGUUAAAAUGUAAUGACUGGGUAGAUUAUAAGGUUAUCAAACAGAAUAAUUAGAGUUAUCUGCAUGAACAUAUAUAAGAUAUGUAUGACAAAAUUCCAGAGGCUAACUCUUAGACUACAAUAUUUCGGUUGAGGUUGAAUCAAUAAUUUAUCCAACUCCACAGCAUUCCAUCAUAUAUUUGUAAAACUCUUGGACUAUGAGACGGGCAAUUUAGUAAAUUGAACAUUAAUUAAAUGAAACAUACUUACAAAUAUAUUUAUGUAGAUAUAUUUCAUUAUUAAAAUUAUAAUUCAUACAACACAUCAUUUACACAGUUACGUGCCACUAAAAUUCUCGUUCGUCUUAACUAUGUUACAAUACUGUCAUCAUCAUCAUAUGAGUUUUUGUUUUACCGUCAAAUUAUGAUUGAAAUUUUGACCAACCUAUCUUCUUGUCACUGUUGGUGUACCGUCACCACAGUUUGUUGAGAAUCAAAUAAAACGGGAUUGAAUGAAGUUUUCAAAGACAUAAUCCGCACUUGUCAAAAGGAUAAUCUGCACUUGUCAAAGACAAGAUCCACGCCGAACGGAUUGAAACAUUUCCUUCCGUAUUCACAUAUGUAAACUUUGAAAAAAAUGUAGUCUCUGCAUCUAUAAAUAACUCUCAGUGUAUAAUGUUUUAAUUAAGAAAUGAAAACAAGUUUCUUCAUGGUAUCAGAGCCAUGAAUACGCUCAAGUUUCUUCACGUUUUGCUGCUCUGUUUGCAACAAAAACAGAGGAAACCAAAUUCUUCCCACAACCAUCUUUCCCACCAUUUUUCUUCCUUACAACCAUUCCUACCAUUUCAGAAAUCCAUGCCGAUCAAAAAAACAAGCCACCUAUACGUAAAAAACUUGAGUUUACAAAUUUAUCAACAAUCCUAUAAAUUUUCCAAGAGUGUGUUCCUCAAGAACCAAGAAUACCAUUAAAUUUCUCAGUUUCCAGUAAGUAAACUGUAAAAGUUUCGCAUUUAAACACAUUUCCACGCGCUCCCACGCACCACCCGAAACCACACCCAGUCAACCACUCGCCUCUGUCAUCUUCACGCGCUCCCACGCGCUCCAGAGGUUGAAGAAGACUUCAACCGACAUGUCGUUGUUUAUCUCCAGAGUGCAGCAGUCAUAAACGACAUGUCGUUUCGUAUUACAUUGAAACCGACAUGUCGUUUGUAAAGUAGAGACAAACCGACGUGACGUUUAAUUUCCAGAGGUGCAGCAGUCCUAAAACGACAUAUCGUUUCUAUUCCAUCAGAACCGACAUGUCGUUUUUUCAAGCAGAGGCCAAACGACUUGUCAUUUUUUGAUCUAAAAAGGUUAUUUUUUUUUCUUCUUUCAAUCUAGACCCCAAAAAAACAAAAAAAACAAAAACAAAAACAAAAAAAACAAAAAAAAGGAAAAGGAAAAGGAAAAAAAUAAAAAAAUGGAGAAAACUCCAAUUGAAUCUGCUCAUGUUGUCAUUCAAUCUGUUCAAUCUGAUGGAGUAUUUAAUGCUGGAAUUAUCCUCACUGAGACAAACUACGAUGUUUGGUCUCAAAUAAUAGAGAUGCAUCUUGCAGAAAGAGAAAAACUCUCAUAUAUUCGUAACAACACAAAGUCAUCUGAGGAAUCUUCAAAGGAAUAUGAGAAAUGGUAUAGUGAGAACCAAAAAGUAAAAAAAUGGUUACUCAUAUCCAUGUCUCCGGAGAUCAUGAAGCGAUAUUUACGAAUUCCUACAGCCUACGAAAUCUGGGAUGCAUUAUCAAAAGCCUUCUAUAAUGGAAGCGAUGAAUUACAAGUUUUCACUCUAAACCAGAAGGCAUUCUCUAUCAAGCAAAAUGGACAACCACUCUCUAAAUUCUACGGAGAAUUGAUCAAAAUAUUUCGAGAACUUGAUCACCGAGAUAAAGUGGUCAUGAAGGAUCCAGAAGAUGUUGUAAUAUACAGAAGGUCUGUUGAAAGAUUGAGAGUGCACAUUUUUCUUGCUGGGCUAGAUGAAGAAUUUGACCAAGUUCGUGGAGAAAUUCUACGAAAAGAUAUUAUCACAGACUUAGAAGAGUGUUAUUCUCUUAUCCGAAGAGAAGAUGUACGGCAAAGCAAACUAAACAAGAAGGUCGACUCAGAAACGUCUGCUAUGAUAGCACGACAGCAGCCUCAAAGGAAGCUUGUUGACAAGUCAUCACUCAAUUGCACUCAUUGUAGAAAGAAGGGUCAUACGAAAGAACAAUGUUUUGAAAUCAUUAGAUAUCCUGACUGGUGGGAUACUCGAAAGAAGAACACCAAACAUGGAUCAAAAACUGCAGUAGCUGAAUCCACAUCCACUACAGAUCUUAGAAAAGAAUCUUCAGUGCAAAUCGCAACCUCUAUCAGUCUAAGUAAGGCCCUUAAAACUCUUACACCUGUUAUUAAUAGUACAUGGAUAAUUGAUUCUGGGGCAACUGAUCAUAUGACUUUUGAUUCUCGAUAAGUUUCUCAAUUGAAACCAUCUUCACAAAAACAUAUUUCCACUGCAAAUGGAACCACAACCUCAGUUAUUGGGGAAGGAUCUUUACGACUCACAGAUGAAUUAAAUUUAAACUAUGUGUUAAUUGUUCCAUCUUUAGAUUAUAAUCUUUUAUCUGUGUCUCAAUUAACCACUUACUUAUCAUGUGUUGUAAUUUUUUGGCCCGAUCAUUGUGUGUUUAAGGACAUCCAAACGAAGCAAACGAUUGGUUAUGGUAUUAGACGAGGCAACUUGUACUACUUGGAGAUGUCAUCAACAAACACUGAAAAGCUAAGCCCCACACUAGUCGCAGAUAGUUCCAUAAAAAAAGAGAAAUCAGAAAUUUGGUUAUGGCAUAAACGUUUAGGGCAUGUGUCAUUUGGUUACUUAAAAAAAUUAUUUCCUAAUUUGUUUCUGAAAUUUGAUGUUUGUAACUUUAAAUGUGAUGUUUGUGAACUUUCAAAAAGCCAUCGAACUACUUUUUCAUUGUCCUUAAAUAAAAAUCAAGUUCCUUUCAUGGUAGUACAUUCUUAUGUAUGGGGGCCAUCUAAAGUUUCUACAAUUGGAGGUGCUCGUUGGUUUGUUACAUUUAUUGAUGAUUGUAGUAGAAUGACAUGAAUUUUUCUGAUGAAAUCGAAAGAUGAAGUAAACCCUUUAUUUCAAAGAUUUCAUAAGAUGGUCACGACUCAAUUUCAGGCACAAAUUCGAGUUCUACAUACUGAUAAUGGAGGCGAGUAUAUGAGCACAGCAAUUCAACAGUUUCUGAAAUCACAAGGAUCUGUCUAUCAAACCACUUGUGUGGGGACACCCCAACAAAAUGGCGUUGCUAAACGAAAAAACAGACAUUUACUAGAAGUUGUUCGAGCAUCACUAAUCCAAGCCCACAUGCCAUUAUCUUAUUGGGGAAAAGCACUGGCAUCCGCAGCAUACUUGAUCAACCGAACACCUUCAAGCUCUCUUGGAUUCCAGACUCCUUUCCAGGUUCUGAAUGAUGCAAUUAUGUCACCAAAUGUGCCGAAUUUACCCCCACAUGUGUUUGGUUGUGUUGCCUUCGUUCAUUUGCCGCAACAAGACAAAUUAUCUCCUCGAGCACUACGUUGUGUGUUUGUAGGGUAUGCCUUACAUCAAAAGGGAUACUGCUGCUAUCAUCCACCAUCAAGAAAAAUAUACAUCACCAUGGGUGUCGUCUUUCAUGAAGAUAUCAUGUACUACUUGUCAGAGCCUGAAUUUCAGGGGGAGUAUAAUGAAAAGGAAAUUCAUACUCUUACAUAUCUUCCACCUGAAGAAGGUCAAUCUUCCAUUGAGAUAGUAAACCUUCAAGAUACUGGAAAAGAUAAUGGUGAUGAUUCUCAGGCUAAGAUAAGUGAAGACACAUUUGGGGAGCACAAUAACUCAGACACAACUGCAAUCGAGAAUGAGUCACAUGAAGAAAUACCUAACCAAUCGUCUGCAGAGGAUGUUCCUACCACAAGUCCAAUCAGAAGAAUUCUUCCCUAGCGUCAAAAUAGAGGUAUCCCUAAAACCACAUAUGAGCCUGACUUCUCUAGUAGAGUCAAAUACCCUAUGAGUCAUUUUGUGUCUAACCAUCGCUUGUCAGAAUCAAAUUAGUCAUUUGUGAAUCAAUUAUCUAUUGUAUCUAUUCUUAACAGUGUGCAGGAAGCCUUAAAAGACCCAAAGUGGAAAGCGGCUAUGAAUGAUGAAAUGAGAUCUCUUCAGAAAAAUCAAACAUGGGAACUAGUUGAUCCUCCACCAGGAAAGAAACCAGUGGGUUGCCGAUGGAUCUACACUAUAAAGUACAAAGCAAAUGGCUCUAUUGAACGAUACAAAGCAAGACUCGUAGCUAAGGGUUACACCCAAACCUACGGGAUAGAUUAUACCGAUACGUUUGCACCAGUAGCAAAAAUUAAUACUAUUCGUAUCUUAUUAUCAUUAGCAGUCAACUUGGAAUGGCCAGUGCAGCAGUUCGAUGUAAAGAAUGCUUUCCUCCAUGGAGACUUGUCUGAAGAAAUUUAUAUGGAUCUGCCACCAGGAUGCAGUGGACCAGAACGACUCAAUCAGAAAGUAUGCAAAUUGAAGAAAUCAUUCUACGGGUUGAAGCAAUCCCCAAGAGCAUGGUUCGGGAAUUUCACAAAGGCUAUGGUUCUUUUUGGGUAUAACCAAAGCAGUUCAGAUCAUACCUUGUUCAUUAAAAAACGACAAGGUAAAAUCACUGCCCUUAUUGUCUAUGUGGAUGAUAUGGUAGUUACAGGCAACGAUGAGGAAGAAAGAAAGGCUCUUCAGAAGUACUUGUCGAGAGACUUUGAGAUGAAGGAUUUAGGAGCCUUAAAAUACUUUCUUGGAAUUGAGGUUUCUCGAUCUAAGGGAAGAAUAUUUCUGUCUCAAAGGAAAUAUGUCUUAGAUCUAUUACACGAAACGAGAAUGACAGCUUGUCAGCCUAUUGACACCCCAAUAGAAGAAGGACUGAAGUUUUGUAUUACCUCAGACCAAGUUCCAGUAGACAAAGGAAGGUAUCAAAGGCUGAUUGGAAUAUUGAUGUACUUGUCCCACACAAGGCCAGAUCUUGCUUAUGCAUUGAGUGUUAUAAGUCAGUUUAUGCAUAAUCCCGGAGAACAACACAUGAAAGCAGUAAUGCGGAUCCUGAGGUACCUGAAGACAAAUCCAGGAAAAGGAAUCUUAUUUUCCAAAAAUGAAGAUUACAGCAACAUAGAAGUUUAUACUGAUGCAGAUUGGGCCGGAUCAGUUAGUGAUAGACCCUCUACUUCAGGAUACUUUACCUUUGUGGGAGGCAACCUUGUCACAUGGAGAAGCAAGAAACAACAUGUCGUUGCCCGUUCGAGCGCUGAAGUAGAAUAUCGAGGCAUGGCCCUUGGGGAUAAGCUCUAUCUUAAACGAUUUGGGCUAUCCAUCACAACAACCAAUACAACUAUACUGUGACAACAAAGCUGCACGAGAUAUUGCUCAUAACCCAGUUCAACACGAUCGAACAAAACAUGUUGAGGUAGAUAGAUUUUUCAUCAAGGAGAAAUUAGAUGAAAAAAUCUUAGAACUGCCGAAAAUUCGAUCAGAAGAUCAACUUGCAGAUAUUUUAACGAAGGUCAUUUCAAGCAGGGCAUUUACAAAAUUCCUAGACAAGCUGGGUAUGUAAGACAUCUAUACACCAGCUUGAGGGGGAGUGUUGAGAAUAAAAAAAAACGGCAUUGAAUGAAGUUUUCAAAGACAUAAUCCGCACUUGUCAAAAGGAUAAUCUGCACUUGUCAAAGACAAGAUCCGCGCCGAACGGAUUGAAACAUUUCCUUCCGUAUUCACAUAUGUAAACUUUGAAAAAAAUGUAGUCUCUGCAUCUAUAAAUAACUCUCAGUGUAUAAUGUUUUAAUUAAGAAAUGAAAACAAGUUUCUUCACAGUUUUCUUGAUUGGUGCACUUAAACGUAACGGGGCCAAAGUGGGGUGUAAUAUGUAGAUUCAAGAGAGCUUAAUGGUUAAGGAUUAUAAGUGAGGACUACUAAAUUUUAACGAAAAGAGGAAAAAUUGUGGACUAGUAUGAUUAAAAAGACAUUAAAGAAGUGUGGACUAGUAGUAAGUAACGCAUAUGGAAAGAAGAAAUAAAAAAACAUCAAUGAUCUAGUUAAUUACAUUUGGGUGAUACAUAUUUUGAUAAAUUAAAAUAGUGACACAUAAUUUAAAAAUUCUCGAUCAAGUGACAAUACGUAAAUUUUUAUCAUUAAUUCUAACGAAUGAAGGGAAAAAUUAGAAAAAAAGAUUUAUUUUAGAGUUAACUACACUUGGAUGACACACAUUUUGAUAAAUUUCAAAAUAAUUACACACGUUUUAAAAAUACUUGAUUAGGUCAAAAUCCAUAAACUUUUACUAUUAAUUCUAAUGGAACAAAGAUAAAAUAAAAUAAAAAUAGUUUUUUUUUCAUUUUUCUCUCUCCCCUUCUUCCUUCCUCUUCUCUAGUUUUUUUCUCCUUUCCUCAUCUUCUUCAGUUCAUUUCCUUCUCGUUUUCUCCUUUUUUUUCAUCUUUUCAAUUCGUCCUUUUUUCUCCCUCUUUCUCUCCUUCUUUCUUUGUCUUCUCUAAGCAUCUUCUCCACACCCAUGGCAAAAUAGUAGCCAUGAGUUGCUAAGGUUGACUCAACAAGAAUUAAAAAAAAAAAAUAGUUUGAUUUAACAGAAAAAAAAAAAUCCUUGUUAGUUAGACUGACCUAGAUUCAAUUAUAAGUAAGUAGGUACAGAAACACCAUUUUGCAACUAAUUGUUGGGGCAAAAAUAUUAUUUUCUUAUUAAUUGACUAAUUCCUUUAGUUAACGGAUUAUUCUCUAAUCAAGUAUUUUUUAACGAUGUAACACUUUUUUUAAAUAUGUCAAAACAAGGUCACUGAUGGUAAUUAACUCUAAAUUAAAUCUCUUUUUAUUCAAUUUUAUCCUUGAUAUGUUAGAAUUAACAAUAAAAGCAAUGGAUUGUAUGAUAGAAUAUUUUUAAAAAAUGUGUCAUUAUUUUAAAAUUGUCAAAACAUAUGUCAUUCAAAUGUAAUUAACCCUUUUAUAAUCAUCUAUUAGCUGUAAUGGCUUGUCUUAAUUUUCUGAAGGCACAUGGGCGCCAUGUUCAUUCAAUUGAUAGAAAUUUGGUCUAUUGAUCAGGUGUUCCGUGCCGUUUUUGUCUUGAGAAUUGAAAAUCAGCCUCAACCUGAAAGCGUGUUAGCUUUGAAAAAAAGAAAAAGAAAAAAGCGACACAUCAUUUUCAAGCUGAUUAUAAUUCUUCUUAGUCUGUGUUUCGAUGGGAGAAGAGAAAAAGAGAGAGAAAAGUAAUUUAAAUUUUAUUUUUAUUUUUAUUGCUUGACUGGACAAAAUAUACAAGAAUUUAAUUUCUAUUAAAAUUUAAUAUCUAUCAUAAUGUAAAAUUUGAAUUUCACACCAAGUAAUGAAAAAUUUAAAUUUCUCUUAUGUUGAAAAUCAAAGCUUCUAAAAUUACCUUUCAACUUUUUAACUUGUUUAAUGCCAUUAAUAAUUAUUAUUUAUAAUUUUAUUUUAUCAAUAUAAUACUAUAAAUAAUUUUAUAUUAAUAAAAUUUAAUAAAUGAUUUAAGAGAUUUAACAAAAUAAAUGAACUUAUUUAUUUUAUUUAUUUAAUGCAAAAAUAUAGAAAUAUAAAUUAACUAUUGCCGAAAUUCCACUGGAAUUCAUGUGGAUUGUUGCCCUACCACCAACAGAACACCGCCGAAUGUAUGUAUAUAUAUAAUUCUAAUAAAUCAUGAAUUGUUUUAGAACUUUUUGACAUUAAAAAGGUUUGGUAUUGAUAUUAAAUUAUAUUUCAUUACUAAUGUAGAUAGUUUAGUAUUUAAAGUAAAAGAUAAUUUUUUCCAAAGAAAAAUAAUUAUAAUUUCUUUCCCUAUCAAAUUUUAUGUCAAAUUAAAUAAUAAAUUUUAAUUUCACUAUUCUCCUUCACUCCUUUCUUCUCUCUUCCCUUUCAUUCAAUUCUUUUCCUCUCUUCCCCUUUCUUCAAGCCAAACAUGGCCUUAGUCCUUUCUUCUCCCUUCCCCUUCAUUCAAUUCUUUUCCUCUCUUCCCCUUUUUUUCAAACCAAAUAUGGCCUUAGUAUAAUUUGGCUCUCAGGGCAUAGAAGGAAAAUUGCACGGGUAAGGAAAAAUUUCUCUAUUAAUUUUUUUUCUAAUGAAAUAAACGAUCCAUAUUAAAUUCUGAAUUUGAUAUUAACUAAUUUUUUCACUACAUUUAGAAAAUUAUGAGAGAAAAAUAAUAAUAAUAAUAGUAAGAAAGAAUCAUAAUCUAUAUUGCACAGGUUGUCGCAGUGACUCGUGAGUCGUGUGUCGUUUUUCGUGGGCGGGUGACUUGGAUUUGGCCUCAUAUGUCACUGCUCGCGUCAUCUGAAUUUCUCUUUCAUAAUCUAUAUUGCACAUAAUAACAGCGAUUAAUUAAGAAGCACUGAAGCACAAAGCCGCAAACCAGAUUUGUCAUCAAACCUAGUAAUUGCAGAUUACAAAGCUUGUACCAACAACCAAAAAUGAGCUGGUGGUGGGCUGGGGCAAUUGGCGCUGCCAAGGUACAGACUUAUAAUUAGAUCAUCUCUUUCAAUUGCUGUGCUUGAAAAAUUUAUUCUUAUUAGUUCAUAUUUUUAAAAUCUUGAGUUUAAUUUUCAUUUUAAAUUACAGAAGAAAUUCGAAGAAGAUGAGCGACCACCGCAACCUCAAGACUACCAGCACGUGGGACUCGUGAUAGGCAUUACGGGAAUUGUGGGAAACAGCCUAGCUGAGAUUUUGCCCCGACAGGAUACUCCCGGGGGCCCGUGGAAGGUCUACGGAGCGGCCCGACGCCCCAGGCCCGACUGGAACACCGAUCACCCGAUCGAGUACAUCCAAUGCGACGUUUCCGACCAGGACGACACGCAGGCCAAGCUCACAAAACUCACCGACGUCACCCACAUCUUCUACGUGACGUGGGCCAGCCGUCCCACGGAAGCCGAGAACUGCGAGGUCAACGGCACCAUGCUUCGCAACGUGCUCCGUUCCGUUAUCCCGAACGCGCCAAAUCUCCGCCACGUCUGCCUCCAAACAGGAGCGAAACACUACUUGGGACCGUCCGAGUCGUUCGGCAAGAUACGGCCUCACGACACUCCUUUCACCGAAGACCUGCCAAGACUGAAUGUGCCAAACUUUUAUUACACUCAAGAAGACAUACUGUUUGAAGAAGUUGAAAAAAGAAAGGGGCCGUUGCCAUUGACUUGGUCCGUACACCGGCCUCAUUUAAUAUUUGGGUUUUCACCGUACAGUUUGAUGAAUGUUGGGGGCACUCUGUGUGUGUAUGCGGCUAUAUGUAAACAUGGAGGGGUUCCUUUACUGUUUCCAGGGAGUAAAGAUUGUUGGGAGGGCUACUCGAUUGCGUCGGACGCGGAUUUGAUUGCGGAGCAACAGAUUUGGGCGGCGGUGGAUCCGUAUGGGAGAAACGAAGCUUUUAACUGCAGCAAUGGGGAUGUUUUUAAGUGGAAGCAUUUGUGGAAAGUGUUGGCUGAGCAGUUUGAGAUUGAGAAUUAUGGGUUACCACAGGAGGGCGAGAGAGUGAGAUUGGAGGAAAUUAUGAAAGGUAAAGAAGGUGUGUGGGAGGAGAUCGUGAGAGAGAAUCAGCUGCAGCCCACAAAGUUGAGUGAGGUGGCUGUCUGGGGGUUUGCAGAUAUGAUGUUAGAUGGAGGGUUUUUGUGGUUGGGUAGUAUGAAUAAGAGCAAGGAGCACGGAUUCUUGGGCUUCAGGAAUUCUAAGAAUUCUUUCGUUUAUUGGAUUGACAAGAUGAAAACUUACAGGAUUGUGCCUUAAGAGGAGUGAUACUCUUGUGAAGGUUGUAAUUGUUGUUUGGUGAGUAAAUGGUUAUUAUGUUUCAUUAUCAUGAUUCAUGUAACUGUUUGAAAAAUCAAUGGUUUUUGGUCUGAAGUUGGAAAAUCUACAGUCUCGUCGCAUCUGUUUAAUAAAAAUAAAUCGGAGGCUUUUUAAUUUCUGUUUCUUUGUGUUCAUCAGUUCAUCCCGGCCUUUCUUUCAUCUUUCCUUGGUACACCAACCAGUUGUAAUAAUUGCACAACAAAACUGAUAGUGUUACAGAGAUCUAUUUAUGGCUAUGCUUUGGUUAAUGAAAAAACUAAUGUAUACGACAUAAUUUGUGGCAGUGGGGGCCUGCGUUCGCGCGGCCCCCUCCCCAACUCAUUUAAAAUUUUGAACUAUUUUUGUGCGCCAUUAUCUCAACGGCUAUCUCUCAACUUACAACUAUUUUUGUGCGCCAUUAGCAGCCUCCUUAUUCUAAGUGAGUUUCAUAAUCCUGAUCAGACUGAAAAUCUUUUGUACAUUGUCGUCUGGUUGUGACUAGUGCCCUAACGGUGUUACAAUCAGAUCUCUGCCGAAGUCAAUGCGUAUCUUAGUAUACUUACCUAAUAAGAUCCUAAUUAAGGUUUAUUUUAUUAUUUAAAAAUUAAAAAAAAAAACAAACUGAAUAAUUAUAUUUGCUCACCUAAACGUUAGGCCCCAUCUUAAUAUAUAGUUCCACUAAAAAAUUAGUUUUUCUUUAUUUUCUUGUUUAAAAUGUAGGAUUUUAAUUUUUUUCAAUUAUUUAACAUUAAAUCUUGAUUGAAUUUAGACCUCACUGAGAUUUAGUUAAGGAUUAUUCUCUAUUUUUAAAGUUAAAUUUCCAUCAAAUAAGGUUGUUUAAUGAUUUCUACUUUUAAAAAAAAUCAAGGCAAUUAAAAAUUAUUAUGUAGAAAAUUUGUUAAGGAUUUAUAUUUUUUUAAAAAUAAUCAUACAUAUUUAUCAUAAAAAAUUCAAUCAAUCUCAUGUUAACCUUUUUUUUUAAAAAAAAAAAAUUUUCCUAAGACCUAAAAUUUAAUUGCGCCGACCCUAACCCACAGUUUAGGAUGGAUAGAUUUUGUUGUUUUUUUUUCCAUAUGACGGUAUUAAGAUUGUGGAUACAUGCCUUAAAUGGACUUAGACCCUUAUUACCCUACGACGUGUAUCGCCUAAAUUGACUAUAAAUAAAAUAAGGCUGGAAAUGUAUUUAAUAUUCUAAAAGCUUGUCCGAAAUUGGCUAGAAAUAAAAUAAGAGCAGAAAUGUAGUUAACAUACUGAAGCUGGUAGCUGCAUCUAAAACUUUCCAACGGCUAGUCUUCUAUGUCUAACAUUCAAGACCCUGCUCAAGAAUGAUAGCAUUUACCAAUCACACGCUCAUUAAAUAAAUCAUCUUACCAAAAGCACUUUCAUUUUUGUAAUAAUACAAUUUUAUUAUUGUAUAUUAAAUUAAGUGCAAAAACUAAAAAAAAUCAGUUAUUGGGAGAUUAUGGACCCUUGGAGAUCCAUUGUUAUUAUUCAGAGAGGGGAUGAAGAUCCCUCAAGCAAUUCUGACAAGGACGGGAUCAUAUGCGGAAUAUUGGGAAUGGGUACAUGGAUUUCGACCUCCUCUUCUCCUCUCCCCAUUACCAUUUAAGGUUUAAACGAUAAAGGAAGCAUGUUGAUUUUAUCAUGAUUAAGUAAGUAUGCGUGUCACAGGUGCAAUCAAGCUUUGGAAAAUCAAUUGUAAUGGUUUGAUGUUGGAAAACCUUCGUUCUGCCAUCUCUUUUAUUACUUGUUAUGAGCAAAAAUUACUUGGAAACCCUUGUACUACCCAAAUAGAAGUCAUGUUUGUUGGUUAGAUUUCCAGCUAUGUAUUACUUUGUUGUUUGUUAAUAGCAAAUAAAUAAUUAAACGUGUUUGGGGAAUUAAAUAAGGUGACCAUGAUCUCCUCCAAUUAAAAGUGAGCAAAUAGAUGAGCAGAACACCUCGAUCAGGUGGUAAUUCUUGAGACCAUGAGCAGACCACCCCGACUAGAUGGUAAUUAUUGAGAUCAUGAGCAAACCAUCUCGACCAGGAGGCAAUUCAAGUGAUUGUGAGUAGAUGGGUUUGAGGAGACCAAAACCAGGUCGGUCCACAGACCCCAAUUAAGUUUUAUUGACGAGUUCCCUUUGAAAAUUCGGGCAUGACGUCCAUGCAUGGCCAGUUGUUAUAAUUACAACUCAAUAACUACUAUGUAACGGGCGCAUUAACUCAUGAUUCAAGCGGCGCAUUCAACCCAGUAACGCCAACGCAUUGAAGAUGGUAUGAUAAUUUCGGAUGCCUAUAAAAGUACUAAAAAAUCCAAAGGGAGGGGGUGACUUUUCUCUCUCUAUGAUAUUUUUUACUCUCUUCAGAGUCUUCAUUCAUCUUUAUAGAAAAAUAAAAAACAGUUUAUUUUUUUUAGUUUUAUUUUGGUAAACCCAUAAACUGACUUGAGCAUUGAAGGGUUCAUGCUGUAAAAGCUUAUGGUGCCUCUUACCGUUCUCUAUUAUUUCAGGUGUUCGCAAAUUAUUUACGAGUGGUUGCAAGGUAUUCUUGACGAUUGGGCAGCCGAUUCUCCACCAAAUAAAUUUAAUGCUGGUGCAGAAGUCUAGUAUUCAGUCGCUAAUCAACUCAAUUGGAUUUCAGCAUCAACAAAACAAUUUUACGUCAUUCUCAAACUUCAAUAAAAUUGAGCAUAUAUACAAAAUAAAAUUGACCAAAUAUUUCAAAUUUUGAGGAUCAACAUUAUCUAUCAUAGACAACAGCUAGCAAUACAUAAAGGCAGCUACCAAUGUAUAAGAGGAUAAGAUCGAUCAACAAAAGGGUGGGGUUCCACGAGGGCCAGGUCGCCCGCCGACCAUUGGUCCACAACAGCUCUCAAAAAGUGCAGCAGUAGCGCAGCACAUAAAUACUAGGGAUGGCAAACAGCGGGCCUGGGCCGGGCUUUUUCAAGCCCAUGUCCAAGCCCUCUGUCAGCUAAGUGUACAGGCAUGGGCCGGUCCAGGCCCAUUGCGGGCAUGGGCCGGUCCAGGCCCAUUGCGGGCAUGGGCCGGUCCAGGCCCAUUGCGGGCAUGGGCCGGUCCGGGCCCAUUGCGGGCCUGGGCCGGGCUUGGGCUUUAUUUAUUUAUUUUAAAUUUUUUAAAUUAUUGUAAAUUUGAAAUAAAUUAAUGAUCAACAAGUUAUUACAAUCAUAGAUAAAUUAAAGAAAAUGAAUAUUUCAAAUUAAAAUAAUAAAUAAAGCAAAUAAAACUCAUAAUUUUAAUUUUCUUUAAUACUAGAUUUUCUAAUUCAAACGCUCUCUUAAUUAAUUGACACAAAAGAGAGAAUUUAGUAUCAUAAUUUUAGUUUUUUUGAAUCAUAAUUGAUUUAUAAGUUAAGAAUUUAAGUUUUCUUCUUUUAUUUUUAAAUUACUUUUCAAUUUUAAUCAUAUUAUUCUAAUUUAUAAAAUUAUUUUUUUAAAAAAAGUAGUGGGCUUGGGCUUUGUCCGGGCUUUUUUUCUUGGGCCCUUGUCCAGGCCCUCAUGGGUGAGGGCCGGGCCUAAGCCCGCGGGCCUGGGCUUGGGCCGGCCCGGGCUUUUUUGCCACCCCUAAUAAAUACUAUUACAAUAAUUAAUAAUGCCCUAAAUAAGUACCCAAAAAAAAUCAAGACUUUUUUUGUAGGGAUAGCGAGGGCUCGAUUCAAUUUGGUUUGCUUCUGGAUCGAACUAAACUGAUCAAUUUUUGUCCAAUCUAUAAACCAAAUUGAAUUGAUUCGGUUUGAUUUUUAUAGUUUUGAACUGUAAAUUCUUUUACAUUUUGUAGUUUUUUCAAUUUCGAUUUUUUUAACCAAUAGGGUUUUCUUAAUUUUUUAAAUCACACCGACGUAGAUUGAACCAAAUCAUCGGUUCGAUUAAAUUUUUUCUUGGCAUCAGUUUUUAUACCCGCCCCUAAUUUUUUUGUAUCACCCAAUUCAAUUAAAGUUACCAUAAAGAAAUAAAACGGAAAAUACCACCAAAAAAAAAAUUCAAAGUAACCACACUCGGCCCUCCUAACAACGAACCCCAGCCUAGCAGCAUCUUCUUAUCUCUCCCUAAUUAGAAUGCAAUGCAAGGAUAUAUAUACGCUGAUGGUUAUUGAUCAAGCAGAUGUAGAAAAUAUACAGUGGUGUCUGUGCGCGCGCGCGCGUGCGCGUGUAGAUUCAAGAAAGCUUAAUGGUUAUGGAUUAGAAUUGUGGACUAACAAAUGGAGAAGGUAAAUGGAAUUUGUUUAAUUUAUACAGCCUGAUGUUCCGCAUCGAUAAUGAAAGACUAGUAAGUACUAAGUAGAAAGAACCAUUUAUAUAUAUAACCCAGUGAUCGAAGUUCAAAUUGUUCAUGACACUUCGAUAGGAACAGGUGAGUCAAGUUGAUGAAAAGGUAAACGAAAGAAUGUAAAACAAAAUGUAAAUUCAAAUUUCUCGGUUUUUGCUUCAUAUAUGCAUUAAACACAGAACGCUUCUAUGUUGAUUGUAUGUUAAUAUUUGCAACCAAUCACUCUGUCAACAAUUAAAUGACUCUUUAUAUAUAUUACUAUUAUUCGAAGAAUUCGAGUUUCUCUGCUGCAAACAAUAAUGUUUGGCAAACCUAGGAUUAAUUAGAGUGCUCUAUUUAUAUUUAUUUGUGGGAUGAUUUAUAAUAAGAGAUUUCUUAUAUAUAUUUUAGCUUUCCUUUUGCUAUUGUAGCUGUCUAAAUAUUUUGAGGGGUAAGGCUCACUAUGUCUCCGCUAACUAGGUAUAAAAUAUUUUUGGUUUUUAAUAAAAUUACCUCGCUAGCCAAAUUUCAUUAAAAAAAAAAAUUAUCUAUUUAUUUAUUUUUUAAUGUUAGGAGGUCCCUCAAAAGUUAAAUCGAUCUUUUUAACCCCUAUGACCCUAUCUCUCCAAAUUGUUUAAAAGUUCAGGACUUUUUUUUUUUUGGUUUUGACCACGAGGUAUCCUGGGGAGGGCCCCAACUGUGGGAGGCACCUUUAAGGUCGUACCACAACCCAGACUAAAAGUCCUAAAAGUUCAGGACUUUAAUUCUAACAUAUCUUGAUAAUAUAAUAUGAGUAAUAAAUUGACACUUACUUGGCAAUUUAUUUAAUUAUUAAAAGAUGUCACACGAUUGGCAUUUCGAUGAUUGAUAAACCACAAAGUUAAACAACACUAUACACAUCAUAAUUAAUGAUAUGUGAAACAAUGAUUUGAGACAAACUAUAUAAACCCCAGUUUCGUAAAUGUAAUAUAAUAAAUAAUUAUUAUACAUUAUAUUUCGAAUCCAUCCUUUACACGGUAAGAUUGAAUUAAUAAGUAUCAAGUAAAGUAAUGGUGAAUUAGCAUCAUUUUCAUCCGAUUAAACUUUCAUACAAUAACAAUGAACAAAACCAUCCAAUAAAUCAUAGUUAACUAUCUUAAACAAAUUCCUUAACAAUUAAAACUACCGUCUUCAUUACAUAAACAACAUCGGAGUAAAAGUAAAGCAGCACAGAAAACUCUAUGACAAGGUGGCAACUGGCAUGCAAGAUGAUCACGGAGGUGGUGGGCCGAAAUCAGUUGGACCAGGAGGACCAAGUUGGCCCAUUGGAUCACCAAAGCAGCCUCGUUGCAACCAGCAGCGGCUCACAAAGCUCAAGCUGUCAUAACAAACCCAACGACAAGCAAUCAAAAGCCAGUACUAGCUUUUUCAGCCACUGAGAAUUUUUGUCAGUAUGUCAAUUUUUUCGUGAUUGUUCAGUUGCAUCUAAAGUCCCCAUUUUGACACGUUUUAGUGUAUCUUACACUACCUGAUAUAUCAACGAUGUUUACUUGGAACAUGGAGAAUUUUGAAACCCUCAACACCUAAAUCCGAUGUUUAAUGACUUACCAUGAACCGAUGACGUCACAAAAGCCAACGAAAAAUUAGUACUGUUACCGGCUCUUUAAGCAAAAUUAGUACACGCCAAGGAAAAUAACAAGAGACUUUCACAAGUCCAAACUUGCUCUUGCUUGUAUAUACAGAGAUGCAAAACGUUUUCAUGUUAAAUGGACGUGGUACAAAUGCCAGAAGGUUUCUUGUGUUUAUAGAAAGUGCAUGCUUAGGAUUUAAGCAUCCAUCUUUGUUGUCACAUUUGCAUCUAACACUUUCCAACUGCUAGUCUUCUAUGUCUAACAUUCAAGACCCUGCUCAAGAAUGAUAGCAUUUACCAAUCUCACGCUCAUUCAAUAAAUCAUCUUACCAAAUGCACUUUCAUUUUUGUAAUUAACAAUCACAAUAGUGAUUUUGAUAAUUCAAGUGAUAAUCGCUGUAGUUAAAACCCAUUUAACAACCUAUGGAGGAUUUGUGCACGCAAAUGUGACCGAAUGGUUUUUAAAUAAUUUUAUUUAAUUGGCUAUCCAACUUCAAAUCUUAAGAGAAAUAAGGGAUUUAAACAAAAUGAAUUUGAUCAAAAUGAAUCUGGACUUUGCUCACUGCCUCGAAAAAAAUAAAAACUACAUAAGGUUAUCGACACGAGUCUUCAAUGAUAAGCAAUUAGAUUAUAUUUUACUUUCCAGAAGAUAGCAUGUCUCAAAGAGGUUUAAGUCAAGAAAUUUCUAAAACGCAACAACAGAUGAACGAGUGUGAUUAGAAAGUGCCACAGAGAAAUGAAAAGAUGUUGGUGAAUUUUCAAAUAUGGAGGCAAAGAGUAAAGAAAAUUUCUUAGGAUUUGAGACGUGUUUACACACUUUCCUUUAAGGUUUUAUUUGCCCUCACCAAUCUUGGUUUGCUACAGAGUUUUAAUGGCAAAUUUCCCCCAAGAUAUAUCAAAUCCUGAAUACAAUCUCUAGCAAAUAAGAUUGUAUUUCCAGAACAUGUAUGAAACCUGUAAAAUCUGAUAUUAAUCUAAUUAUAUGUCUAUCUUUAAUGAAGAAGAUAUUUAAUUGAAAGAAUACAACCAUUAGAAAUGGUACUUCUUCAAAGACACUCUUUUGGUUUGAAUUUGCAUCGACUGACAAUUGAAAUUUUCAAGCUUGCUAACCGUUUUUCCAGUUGACGUCUCUCUGGAAAUAAACGGUUAGCCGUUUUCUAAAUAACGGCGAGCCGUUUUAUUUCAAAAUGUCAAAUAAGUUACUCACUGUAAAUAAACGGUUAGCCGUUUUCUCAAUAACGGUGAGCCGUUUUCUCUAAAAUAUGAAACCAAAGAUUGAAAAAUAUAACAAUCUCUCUUACAAAAGAAUACUAUAACUAAUACAUCUAUAAAUCUUAUUUCCAUGAUGACAUUAUAGCAGUGGGUUACCAAACCCAAUUGAAUUAUAUAUAUAUUUACUCGAAAAUUAGGUUAAACUGAUUACACAAAUUCUAUAGAAAAAUGGCCAAAAAAGAAAAUUAAAGAAAGACAAGUGCAGCAAAUUAAAGAUGUUUAAUUAAACCUCUCUAACCUUAAACAUAACAUAAGUCGUUGAGGUGCCGAAUAUGCAUGGAUCGAUCCAGUACCGUAAGUAACAAGGCAGCUUCUUCUAAUUAAGCAUAUUUCCGUUUGCCAGACCGCAACCUCACCCAGGAUCACAUGAUUAUCCUCCAACAAAACAAUCGUUGCCAAGGUCAUAAUGAAGCCAUCAUCAGACUGUCCGUGCUCUCCACGGACGGCAGCAGCUAUAAGCUCCUAAUAAAUCCAUCACAUUGCAACAACAUUUUCCAUCAAGAAAAGAUGUGCGGGACCCAAAUCUGCACUACGAAAAGCACCACGAAAGAAGUUGAGCAGCAAAGGUAUGUAAAUCGAGAGAAGAAAAUAAUGCACAUUGAUGGUUAAAGAGAGCAGAACGCCGGCCCGCCUGCUUUGUGUGCAGACAUGAGAUAAAGCUACUACGUAUUGUGCCCAGUAAAAGAUCGAAGAUGCUGAUUCGAUUCUGAUGCUGAAUCCCCAGACCAAGACUAAGGUUGGAGCAAGGGUUGCUAUGGCUGCAUAUUCAGAGCCCAACACCUCCGCGAACAAGAUCAUCCAGCUGUUUAAGUUUGUGAUGAGAAUCAUUGUUAACAAAGAUGACAUGUCGGGAAGAAGCUCAUGAUUGUGGGUUGGCCAAAUGGGCAUUUUCCCUUUUUUUUUUGUAAAUUUUUUUUCUCAGUAUUGUAUGUAACUUGUCUGUUUGGCUUCUGGGAAAAUAAAUAUGAGAGGAGAAAGCGAUUGGAGAAAAUUAAGCUGAGUCACAUGAUGAGGAUUGAGGCAGUCCAAACCAUGUGCUUCUACUCUGUUAGUGCAUUUACCUAUCUCAUAUAACAAAUGGAAAUGGCAGAGAAUUCAAAUUAAAGCUUCACAAAAUGGGAAACUGAGGUAUAAAGUGCUGGGUGGAAGUGACAAAUUAAGGAAUUUUGAAGGUCAUAGUCAUCUCAAUUUAUAGACUUCAUUAAUGCCAAUAUCUUAUUAAUUUCUGAAGUUGAAA
Molecule: long non-coding RNA, 114134 nt
Filed under: Citrus maxima (pomelo)
Lineage: Eukaryota; Viridiplantae; Streptophyta; Magnoliopsida; Sapindales; Rutaceae
Description: long non-coding RNA (CMAX_LNC001527)
Rfam family: U1 spliceosomal RNA (bases 32925-33086)
Source: RNAcentral